RNAcentral lists this long non-coding RNA (100367 nucleotides) under Coffea arabica (coffee). RNAcentral describes it as "long non-coding RNA (CARA_LNC000814)". The record is from RNAcentral. Lineage: Eukaryota; Viridiplantae; Streptophyta; Magnoliopsida; Gentianales; Rubiaceae.
UUUUUUUUUUUUUUUUUUUUUUAAGUUUUGCAAAAUGCAGCUAUCAAGAUUCGAACUCAAGACCUUUGUAAUAUAAGACCAAUGUAUUAACCGUUGCACAAUCACAUCUUAUUAGUUUUUUUUGAUAACUUAUUUAUAUAAAACAAACACUCAUAUUUCUUUUUUUUAUUUUUCUUACAAAAUCUCAUCCUCUCAUGUCUCUUUCUUUUUAAUCUUCAACUCCCUCUCUCUCUAUCCUCUUUUCUUUUGUCACUCCCUUUUUAAUCAAACCUCUUUAUUUUUAAUUUAUUGAUGUUUUCUUCCAUCUUUUAAUUUGGUUUUUGUCCAUUAAAUUGAAAAAAGUUAAAAAAGAAUUAUUUUUCUUUAACCCAAAUUAUUUAAUGCCACAACCACUCACUUUUAUCUCAUUUUUUGUUUGUUAUCAAGUUUACAUUUCUAUUUUCGAUUCUCUUGACUUCCUUCGAACUCCAAACUUCCUUUUUUAAAUUGCAAUCUCUAAAUCCUAAAACGUAAAUUAAAAUUUAAGUUCACAAUGUCUAAAUUCUCAUAGACGUGAAUUUUGUAUAAUUUCAAAAUAUUGUGAUAUUUUUGGGUUGGAUUUAGAUAUAAUUGAAAUUCAGAUGAAUUUUAUUUGUUUUAACUUAUAAUUUAAAAAAUUUAUUUUUAAAAAUCCAAGUUAUUAAAAAAUAGUAAACUUUUCAUCAUAUAAAGUAUUAAAUUAGUCCAUUACAUGUCUUAUUUUGUGCAUAUAUAUAUAUAUUUAUAUAAAUUAUUUUUUAAAAAAUUCAUUGAACCGGGGUUGAACCUCGACCCUUUCACUUCACCGGUUCAAUUAACGGUCCGGUUUUUAAAACAUUGGUUUCUUCACCAUAAUUAUCUCAAAAAGAAAAAAAAAACUUGGCACAGUUCAGCUUUGGCUCUGCCCUUUUGAAAAAAAAAAAAAAAACGUACUUCAUUAUCAGUUGCAAACAUUAAUAUACAAUUUGUGCUGCAUUCACAAGGCAAUUGCAUGGUUGGUUGAUGAGCAUAUGCAUCUUGUAUACGUGCCACGGCACUUUCGUGCGAGCAACCUUUCCCCUAGUCUAUUCACAAGGCAGCUGGAAGUGAGCCGUUACGGUCCAAUGAUCCCGCAGCUUAGUCCUUAUUUCCACAGUUGGGAUCCUCUAUGCCACUAUUCGGUGCCAAAUCCGGUGUCAAUCUCACUUAUCACGUGAUGAUAGAAGAAAUUUAAAUAAAUAGCACAUGACAAAUUAAAUAAAUAGGAUAUUUGGCAUAAAUAUUGAAGUGGCACUGUAUUAUCAAGAAAAAAGUGGCCCUGAGAAUCCCGUGUGUUAUUUCCAGGGGUUUCACGUAAAACACUCUUUAGACGAGGUGCCUUAAAUCUAUCUGACUGUCAGGUUUCUUCAAAGUGGAAAGUUUAUAAUUAUAUAUACCCUCAGUAUGACUUACAUCCCUCUCUUAUAGAUAUGUACUUCGUGGCAUUCUUGGUAGGACUAGAUUUCCACAACUAUCACUUGCACAGAAGUGGAAUGUGAAUUUAAUUAGUAGGAGCUAACAAUAAUGAUAUUUAGAUGUUUUGACAAUAUAUGAAUGUAUAUACGUAUGUAUGUAUAGCGCCGAAGACAAUAUCGAGCGAGUAAUAACAGCUUCUAAUUGUACUUCUCCAGUGGCAUCUUGUAGAUAAAUUAAAUGCCUUGUAUUGUACUCCUAUAUGUGGUUAACAGCAAAGCUAAAAGAGGAAAGAAGUACGUAGUAAGUAGUACUAGUAAGUUUCAAAUAUGGCAUUAGCAAAAAUGGCACGCGCAAUUAAUGUCCGUAAUUUCUCAAUUUACUCAUUAACCAACAUAUUAUUGAGGAUGAUGCCCUUUUCCAAAUGAAAUUAGCAAUAGCCAAGGGUGUGAUAUCGUAAGUGGAGUGUGGGCGCCAUCACCGUGUAAGCGGCACUAAUCAAUUUGGAAUCCCUUUCGUCCCGUUAUUCCUGCCCAAUCCAACUGGGGGUUUGGUCCGGUGUUCGCCUAUUCUAGUAUUCUCUUCUUCUUCGAAAGGGUAAAAUGCAGCCCAUGUGCUUGGAACAACUAGUAAGUAGGUUACUAAUGCCAACGAGAGGUUGUAAGUUCAAUUCCUGCACGUGAUGCCUUGAAAAGCUUUAGGAUAGACCUUCACCCCGAGGGUAAGAGCUGGACUUUGCGGCCGCUCUUUGGACCAAAUCCGAAUUAGUCUCACCGAGGGUAGGGCGAAAGGUCAAAUCUUAUCUCUCAUUACUUUGUAAUUAUUUGGCUUCUCCAAAUCUAUAUGGGUGCAUGGUGCACCAAAUUUCAUUCAAUGACAGUUCAAACUCCGUCAAUUCCUUUAUUGACUCAGUUGGACCUCUCCUAAAAUAAGUUAGAUUAGAAAUAGAGUAAAUGAUAUCUAUUGACAAAAAAAAAAGGUAAAAUGCCAGGAAAAAGGGUGGUUUUUGUUGGGUCUUGGCAAGUUCUUGGAACCGUCUAAUCUAAAUGAAGUCCAAUCCAUCCUACACAAAAGGAAACCCCAUUUGAGUCUUGUCCGCCCGACCAUGGACAUAAACAAACUCGCAUUACACGAAAACAAAUUGGAACAAAACAUACGCUUAUUAUGAGUACCUUUCAAUUACGAGGGUCAUAGAACAGUUUUUUUUUUUUUUCUAUUAUCACUAUCUACAUCAACUUCUAUUUUAAAUUAUGCUUGAGAAUGAUCCAACAGGAUCACAGGAAAUCAAUAGAAUUAAACCACCAUCAGAUUAUAAGAAUGCAAAAAGCACUCAUUUAAAUUUAAGAGAAAUCACAUGAACUUUUAAUGAAAUGCGAGAUUUGAAAUUUUAACCCUUUGCCCCACCAAAAAAGACACGUGUGAGAUAAUUGGUUUCAUAGAAUAGUUCAAGGACCCGAUAUUUGCCUUUGGUCUCCUCGUGAAUUGUGACGCCAUCCCUUGUCGACAUCUCCAGGGUCAAUCACCAACGCCCGCCCGUCACUUUCCUUGCGUGGAUAGUGUGUAUCCCUCAUAACCAGCCCGAUAUGAAUCGCGCCGCAUAUCAUGAAUACAGACUUUCUAACAUUCCCUUAAACGGUCCCAAUUAAAUUGCAAGGAAGUGGUCUGCAGGUGGCCUCGUCCAGCGGAAUCAAAUCCUACUGCUACCAUUUCUACAGUGGUUUUGCGAUCUCGUGAUGCCCACUUUGUCCUACCUGUUUAGCUUCAUUUUCUUCUCCACAUGUAUUUGAUAGGCUCUUCCGGUCCCCCCCCCCCCCUUUUUUUUUUUUUGGUUACAAUAUUUAGCUUCUUCCUCAAACGUUGGACAUCCAUCCUUUUCCCAUAUAUUUUCUUCCGUGUCAGCAUAUCAUCAACCUAAUCCUGAUUUUUUUUUUCCUUUUUGUUAUUCAAGUAUUAAACCAUCCAUCGUGUGGUAUCAAGAAACGUUUUUCCUGACCAUGGAGCAUCGAUUCGCACUCUCCAAAAUCAAAUUGAUGAUGUAGAAAUUCAAACCAGAAAUUGUAUUGACUUUUGAUUUUUUGUAUGCUACUGAAUAUUAUUGAUUGCGUGAGAUAGAUACGAAUACCACUUACCAACUUGUGACAUAAACGGGCGUCUUACAACCUUAUAAAUAUAAGUUUAGCAUGCAAAAUUCAGAAUAAACAUAAGGACCAGAGCAUCCGAGGAAAGGGCCCAUAUGACAUAACUGGCUUUCUUGCCAAGGCCACCAGAGUCUUUGAUGCUUAUCGCCGUAUAGCAGCAACUUCUUGUUUGCAUGCAUGGUGGUGGUUUUUAGCUAAAUUGCGCUGGCGCACUCUUUUUCCUUUUUUUCGUUUGUUUUUUUCCGGUCGUCUUCUACAUUCCGUCCUCAAAUGUACACAUAUCAUCAAGAUGAUGAUUGACUUCACAUUCUCUAUUUACUUUGAGAAUGAUACAUACUACGUAGCAUUUAAUAAGAAUAUCAUAUGGUUUGACGCUGAAAACUAAUUGCGGGACUUGUUGAUCCCAUGGACUGGCGAAGAGGUUUAGUGCAUGAAAAUCUGUACCAGGAUAUUAUGCUGGAACUAGAAAGGGGAGGGGAUGAGCUACUAAAAUGAAACGGAUAAUAAAACAUUCGUUUUCAGGUACGCCUGAUCCUAGACAAGUGCCAUAUUGUUGCUGAAUCAUAUAUAUAUUCAUCUAACAAUCACUAAUGUUGCCAUCCAAUCCGGUUCUUGUGGUCGUGAAAAACCAACGUUGCUUUUUCUCUAGUAUUUUCAUCAUUUCUUCUUUCCUCUGGAGCCCGACAUAUAUCCUGACGUUACCUGUUAGAGGAUCAUCCGUGAUAUAGAAGGGACCCAUUUCUGUGAGCAUAUGGAUUUUGGGGAUCUAAACGACGCUGCUGAGUUUUUAUGAACUCUCUUGUCUUCUAGCAUGUGACGCUUUUCUUAGAACUACGGAGAAAAGCUGCAAAUUUCUGACUAAAAUUAAGAGAUUAGAGAAAAAUAUUUUGACGGGGACUCCUAUAUAAUAAUUGGGCGAUUAAGCAACAGCUAGAAUAACAAAGUAGCAAACGAACCCCCAAAAAACAAAAAUCUAAUUGGUAAAUAAGAGGCCUUUAGGCCGUCUCUCCAUGCACGUAAAAUUUCAUGUACGUGUGUUAUAACAUAAACUCAUCACAGAUUCGUCAGAAACAAUUCACUAAAAUAAUGCUCCCACAUUCAUAUACACAUACACAGCAAAUGUGAUUGAAUAGAACUAAUAAUGAAAUCCAAAAAGUUGGAUGUAUUUGGAAUUUCCAUCUGUCAACAUCGCUUCCUCUUCACAUGCAUGGACCAUUAAUUUUGUCAUGCAGAUGAUAUCUUGGACAGCUCCAGAAUAUUUAGGGCAACUGCAGCCAACAGAUCUAGAGUAACAAGCUAGGAUGGACCUAGUAGCGUCUGCAGCUUUCGUCGUGCCAUUGGCUCUCUUCUCCGCAGCUCUGCUGGGCUGCUCUCUCUCUUACUCUGCGUCUGUGUGUGCGUGACACGUAGAAAGAAACAGAGACUGAAGGUUGACAAUAUUUGCCCAGAUGAGUUUUGUUCUUCAUCAUUCACAAUCAUGAAUCCCACCCCGACUAACUUGAAUUUUGGACGUACCAGCAGCGCCAAAGCACUCACGUAUAUAUUCUGAAUGGACGAAUUACUGAAUUGAAUGCGCCAACCUCCCAUGUAACGUACCCGCCAAAUCAAUCACCAUAUAUUCCCGUCCUGUGAUUAUGUAUGUAUAACUGAUCUCUUAAUGUUAUUGCAUGGCGGAUUCCAAUUCAAGGACUAGCACUGUAUUGUUAUUUUAUAUAUAUAUGAGACAUCAUAAUACUAUCACACCCUCUGUCACUUCUCUAUUUCUUAACUCCAACUAACUUGAGCGUCGGAGUCACAACGGGGAGUUAGUCCCGCUAUUUUGCUCUUUGCAGGUCAGUUCAGGAUCAAUUAUCUGGUGCUGAGACCACCCCUGGUAUCCUGUUCGGAUCGCGCUCUCGAUAGCCGCAUCAAUAUACAAACAAGAGUUUGUUUGGAUAAGAGUUUAUUUGGAUGAUUUAUUUGAGAUAUUUACUGUAGCACUUUUGUGAUGUGAUGUAUGUGAGAUAAAAAGGUGGUUGGGAAGAUAAAAAGGUGAUUGGGAUUUGUGAGGCAAAAUUUUUUUUUCCAAAUUUCCUUUGUCCAAACAAACCCAAUUUAAUGUUAUACAUUUUUCUACCAGAUAAAGUCCGAGUUCAACAGUCAAGCGUUAAAUAGGCCGUCCUUCUUAAUCUAAUUUAUUGGACGUGUGCAGUAUUGGAAGAACAACCUAAUUUAUAGUCCGGUUGCAAAAAAGAAGUUGGAACCGCCAGAAAAUCUAUAUCUAUAUCUAUAUGUAUUGCAGAGAGGGUUUUUAGCCGAGACCCUCUCAAUGGUUUCCAAUCUUCUCAUUCUUUUUUCUAAAAUUUUGUGAAUAUUUUAAUACAUAAAAUCUAAUUAAAAACUUUAAAAUAGUGGGUUAUAACUAAUCCUAUCACUAGUCAAAUUUAAAAUUUAAAACGUUCUCGCUAUCUCCUUCAUAAACCAUUUAUAGUUUUUUAUUUAUACUUUAAGUCCUUUUUACUUCUUAAUUAAAUAAAGGGUUAAAUGCAGAAAACCCCCUGAACUCUCAUAUGAGUUGCACAAUACACCCCUAAAUAUGUUUAUAGGCACUUUGCACCCAAACUCCACUGAAAAGUAACGGAUAUUUACACACCGUUUAUUUUAUGACCCAAAUGACAACUUUAUCCUCAGAUAAUAACUGAACGGACAAAGGCACCCUUCUUCUCCUCCAAACCCAUUAUGUCGAGCGGAAAGUACAAGGCAAAGCUGAAUCUUGAGUUUGCCAAAAUUUUUUGCCUUUUACUUACGAUCGAGGAAGAACCAAAGCUGAAUGACUGCAGAGGGUAACUAGAAGUGGGCAAAAGACGGUUUGAAGAAUCUAAAACAAGUGGAAUAUUUAGAGUAUCUCAGCAAAUCAGGUCAUAUGCAAAGCCCUAAUUUUUUCUUUAUUUAAUCGACUUUUUACCCUUUUUGUGUGGAUCUGGAUGCCCAAACUUAUAGUUUUAUGCCGUCAUUCUGCUGGUAGUUCAUUGUUGUUUUUUACUAGUUGGUUUUAUGUUCUCCUUGCCAUGAUAAAUGAAUGAUUGAGAGCAGUGGUCAGCGGUACACGGUGAAGCUUGCAACUUUUUCCCUUUUGUUCGCCGCUGCUUUCAAUCAGUAGUAGAGUUCAAGUUGUGUUGUUUAACGAUUGCCACUGGGUUUGUUCCGACGUCUAGCAUUCACGGGUGAGUUUUUAUUAUUACAUUUUUUUUCUUCAUUGUUGCUUUCUGAAGGUGAGAUUUUGACUGUUGAGUUUUGCUAUGCUUUUUCCUUUAUUGUUUCAGGCUUUUAUUUUUUUGGUAUUUCAAGUAGCUCAGAAAUUUGUUCAUUUUUCUCUGUAAUUUUUUUUUUAGUCUUUCAUUUGGUUGUUAGCUAAUUUAUUGGGUUGGCUUUGGUUUUUUAAUUUGUGGCUUUGUUCUUGCGCAUCUUCUUUUCACUUUUUUUUUUCUUUUUGUUCACUGUUGGAACACAGCUUUUAUCUGACUGCACUUCCCUUGGUUGAGACUUGAGAGACCAUUUGUAUUGCUUGUGCUAAUUUAGAAGUUUUUGCUUUUAUGUAAAGUAUUUUGAGUCAAUUAUUUUCACCAUGGUCAAAUCAUUGUUCUACGGUUGGAUGAAAUAUUUUUUGAGAUAAAGAUAAGCCAUAUUGAAGGAUUAGAUCACUUGAGCUGCAACUAUGUGGACUGUGUUCCAUGUGAGUAGAAGAAGAAUUGUGCAUCUGUGAAGAAGAGGAAAUACAAGGGGGGAAAAUGAGAAGUGAUGGUAGGUAGUUCUCAUUUAUAUUCACUGGAAGGAGGGCAAUUCUGUCAGCAAAUUCAACGGACAGAAAGUGGCUUCCAUGCGUUUUGUUUCACCGUGAAAUGUGUGAACGGUCGUUUUCUCAGGGUGCAAAAUGCCUAUAAACAUAUUUCGGGGUGUUACGUGCAACUUCCAUGAAAGUUCGUGGGUGUUUUCUGCAUUUAACCCUUAAAUAAAAUACAUUUGUCAAGCCAAAUUUCUCAAGGAUAAUUGAUUAGUCUCAUUUUACAAUUAUUCACCCUAUUAUAUCCUUAUCACUUUAGCCCCUUUUAUUCCUUGAGAUAAUUUAUCUAGAGGAUUAAAGAGGAUUAAUUUAUCUAGCCAAAUCCUUGAGAUAAUGUGAUUAGUCAUAUUUUUUAGUUAUUCAUCCAAUUAUUUCUUUGUCGCUUUCCUUCUGGGUACAAUAAUCAUUUGUCAAAAUAUUCUAAUGAUAUACUUGAUUACUCUUAUUUUUUAAUAAUUUAUGUUUCAAUUACUAAAUCAAUUUUCUUGUGGCCUUAAACUUUUUUUUUUUUUUUGUAUUCAGCAAGCUAAGGGCACUUACUAGGUUUGCUUUAUAUAAUUUUUAUAUUUUUUAUGUUGGAUUUUAUUCAGUAGGUUUGUUUUUUAAAGUUUUAAAAUUUGAAUGUUGAAAUUAUACUCUAACAUUAAAUUGGAGUAUGUAAAUAACAAUUAUGACAUUUUAUUUGCACUUAGAAUAAUCUCAAUAUUAAUAUCGUGCAAGCAUUUAGAUGACUUUUCAUUUAGCACAUGUACACCAAAAAGUGUAUGUAAAGAAAAAUUUAUGUAUGAAUUUUAAAUUAAUAAAGGUGUAUUUAGAAGGUUGCUUUUGGUGGUAUUUUAGCAAAAUUUUGAUAAAAAGGUUGUAUUUCACCAAUUUUACAUCCGAAACUUUACUCUUUAUCGAUGAUUGCAAUUCUAGCUUUUUAUUUGAUUAAAAACACUUAAAAAUGAGGCAGCAACUUGGAAAAAUAAUUCUAACUUUUUAUAUGUCCAAAAACACUUAAAAAGUGAGAUAAUGAAUUCUAAAUAGUGAAAGCAUUAAAAAGAUAGAACUAUAAGGUUAGGGAAGGUAAAGAUUAAGGGACAGUUAUCAAAUUUGAUGAUUCAUGUGAGUCUGGGCAAGUUAUAAUUAGGUUAAUCUAUAUAUUCCUACUUAGUUAAUGGUUCAAAAUAGACGAGUCAUCAAUGAAUAUAGUUUUAUAUGGGUUUGGAUUAUCCAAUCACCAUUCACAGCCCACUACUAAAUUUUAUUUACUUUUUCAUCCAUAUUUUGUUUAGCAACAAAAUAGUAAAUCAUAUCAACAUAUCAAGUUAAUAAAUCAAUUUUUACCUAAAGAAAGAGAAAAAAAACAUAAAAAUUGCUUAAAGGAGCCUAAAAUGAUCAUCAUAGUGAGUUUCAAAUUUUGUCACUAUACGACAAUCUAAAAAUAGUUUAGGUAUUAAUGCAAACAAUUAAUUAACAUUCAUGAAAUUUAUUAAAUUUUUAUGAAAGGAAUGAAGGAAGUAGGAUAAAUUUAAAAAAAAUAAAAUAAUAGAAAUUAAAGAAGAGGAAAAACGAUGAAUAAAUCUUUGCAAAAAUUAGAAUAUAAUUAUUAGAGUAAUUUAGAUUUACCCACUAACGAUUGAGUUUGAAUCUACGUCUAAUUUAAUUAAGUCAAAAUAAGUGAUCCAAAUAUGUCAAUUUCAUACCCACUAAUUAAUGGGUUAAUUUGGUCACCCAUUUGAAUCCAAUUAAAUUACACACGCAAACUCAUUUGUUAAUAGGCAAGCCAAAUAAAUAGGUUACCAUUUACAUUUAUGAAUAGAUGAAAAUAGUAGUAGAAUAGGAAAUAAGUGGGCUGUAAAAUUAGACAAGAGAUAGGAUAAUUGAGUGGCAGCGAGAUAAAGCAAAGAGAAAAUUGGAUUUGAUGAAACGAGAAAGGGUUGUAGGGAUACAAAAAAAAUUGGGUAGGAUUUGAAGGAAUGACGAAAGGUUGUAGGGAUGCGAGAAAGUUAAAUUCAAAUAGUGAAAAGGAGAGUAGUGAAGAGUAGGAGGAAUAUCGAGAAGAGAAAAGGUUGAGAGGUCAAAAAAAUGGCAGGAAAGGGAAGAUAUGAGAUAAAUGAAUAAUAAAUGUUGUGUUUGACCAUAUUUCUCCUCUUUCUCGUAUAAACCCGUGCAUAGCACAGGCCAAAAUACUAGUUCAAUCUUUAAUCUCAAGCCGUUGCCUCACCAGUCACCUACCUUCGGCCACCAUUCCAUUCUUCACACAUUGUUGGAUGAUUCCGGAAGGCACGUACGUACUCCUGGGGCAACACCCAACAGAUUUUUAUUUUGCAACUAAACCUUGUCGUUCUUUUAUUGGCUCCCGAUUCUGCGUUGUCACAGGGAAACAGAGUCGAGUCUGUCGUGAACAAGGGUUUCCUCUGCAUGCGUAUCAUGUAAGAUGAUUCGAUGAAUGAACCAAACAUGAAGAUCCUCUUUAUGACUUUUACGCAUCUUUCGUCCUCCAUGACCAUUCUUGAUUCUACAAGUAUCCUUCCCCUUUUACAUCAACUGCGCGCGGGGCCUGUCCUCCCGCUUUUUCUGUUUUACAAAUUAGUCAAGAUCAAUAAUUGCACAGCACCCCCCCCCCCUCCUCCACCCGCACCGAUUAUAAUCUCAUGCGCUCUGCAAUUUGCACACCCAUGUCUUCCGAUCUUCCAUAGCUUCUUAUUAUUCAAGAAAAGGUAUCUUUAAAGAUCGCCAUCGAUCGUCUUGUCGGCUAUCGGUAUCAGGUUUGUUCAAAAGCACAAGUGGACUGAAUUAUUCCAGACCAAAAAUGACCCGUCCUCUUUUUUUUUUUUUUUUUUUAAUUUAAACCCACGUUGAUACUUGUCAUCGUAGGAACGGCCACGUUAUUAUCAUUCGUUAAAUCCAUUUUUUUUGAAAGCAUCAUAGGAGUUUCAACAAUUCAUUCAUCUUGUCUCGUGCCCCCGUUCGCUCGGCUCCAGCGGCAGAUUUACUCCGAACUUCACAAUCCUUGUUCCCUCACAGGAUCAAGAAAACAACACGCGGAUGUCUCCAAACAAGGGGUGAAAUACCAAGACGCGUUAACCGCCUAGUGAUUCAAAUCCAAUGGGCUAAAAGUUAAAAUAAGUUCCUUGGCUAACAAGGAUAUCCUCCCCCCUAACCGUUAGCUUCAAGAACCCUGUUUUGUUGGCUUUUCCACCCCCACUGUGCAGCAAGUACUUCAAUCACACUACUGUUUUUUGCUGAAAAAGUUCCAGUAGUACAAAUCAAGCCCAACCGUCAAAUUCAUGACGUGUAUAGAAUCUGUUAACAACCCAAUAUUCGCAAUUUGGCAUGUUUCAUCCACGCAAUAUCAGGCGAUGAGAUUGACAGCAGUAGCAAAACAGCAGCGUUUUUCAUCCUCCAGUUUUACACAACUAAAAGCGAGAAAAAGGAACUCUCAUAACCACGCUCUUCUCUUCCUUCAUCUUUAUCGAGUCACCAAGGCACAAACCAAAGACAACAAACUGGAAUCCUCAAGAAAACUUCCGACUUCUGUAAAAUGUACUUGUUCUCCGUCAUAAACUGGGGCAUUCGAUAAUUCCAACUAAUAAAGAUCCCCAAGUACACCAAACACGAUGUAAGACGGACUUUAAAAGAAAGCAAAUGUUCUUCUCUUUACCUCUUUUAGUGUUGUUCGAAGUAUAAGGGGAAGGAAGGGAAGCAGAAUGUUACAACAAAGGAACCAACCCGCUAAUUGAAUGCACUUGCAUUCAGAGAUUCUCGUUUUCAUUCCGAUGUGCACAAUCAUAUUACUGUACACAAAUGCGGAGUGGCAUUUGAAGGCACCAAAGAAAGGAGGAAUAAAGCUCAAAGAGAAAUAUGUACUCCUAUUAUACAAAAAUUAAUCCUGAACUUCCAAGGAAAAUUGGAUCUUCAAUCUUCAAAGGAAAAAAAAAAAUCCUUCAUGUACAAGAUGAAUCUUAAAAAAAAAAAAGUUGGAAAGGGAACAAUUACUAAAAUAUCUAAAACCUUAUGUAUCAUUCUUGUAUGACUAAAAGGCACAAAGCCUAACUGGAGGUAUUCUUCUUUGCAGCAUAGGAGCGAUAUGCUGCCAAUCCAACAACAGCAACAGCAGCAGCAACUGCAAUAACAGUUGAAGAGUCAAAGCAAAUGCAGAAGGCUUGAGGAACCUUUUAUGUACAAUCACCUCAAAGAUUCCCCCUUUUAUUCCAUUUGCCCUUUCUUUUGGGGGUGACUCUUUUCAACUUAAUUCCAGAUUACUAGACCAUAGCUCAAAUCACAGUCAAAACUUAGGACACCUUCUAGCAUACAGGAUAAAUUUCUAGUAAUUUACAAGCAACUAGCCUCAAUAAGGUAGUGCUACUGCCGUACUAACAUUUUAGUUUCAAAAGGAAGGCAUUUGAGAGAAAAAUCAUACCUGAGACAAACAUGAGAGAGCGACUAACAAAAUGGCGAUACAGUUUCCUGUUUUGUCCAACCUCAGUUUCCGGAAUGUUGAGAUGAGGGCGAUCAGCUGCAUGCACUAUUCUCUGGAAAACAUUGUUCAGAUCUCUUUCCUUCACACUCACAUGAACGGGUGCAUCUAUUCCCAUAUCCUGACAAAUCUAAAACAUAAAGCAUACUUACCACAGUUAAAAGAUUAGUAUAUGCUCAUUUAUGUGUUUGCGUGGGCGUCUCAGUGUGUGUGUGAGAGAGAGAAAGAGAGAGAUCAUCCUUUGUAUUGGUUUUGUAGUUAACUUUUACUAAUAUUGUGGAAGACGAGGUGCACACCUCGACCUCCUUCCCAUAAAAAUUAGAUGCAAUAAAGCGGAACCAAUCAAGUAACAAGUACCUUGGCUGAAUCUUUUAUACCAUUUGAAUAGGAAUCCAGAUCAUCUUUGGCAGCAAUAAAGAGACAUGGCACCCCAAAACCGGUCUCUUCACCUUGCCUAGCAACAUCCUUAAGCAAUUCGGAUGCUCUUUUUAAAGAAUUUUCAUCCGAGCUAAAGAAAUGAAAAGUAUCGUGAGAAACAUCAGCAAAUUUUGGAGAGAAAUCUUUAGGAGAAAAUUGAAAAAAACAGACAUAUUCUAAGAGUAGAGUUCUCUCAUGCAUCAGUGAUAAUGAGACUUGAGAGGCUAACCAAAGCAACAUCUAAGACUUCCAAUGACAGCUACCAACAGGACAUAAUUAAUCAUUUAAUCCACUGAAUCCUAAGUAGUCACAAUUCACGGUUAACUCUUUGUUUAACAUGCUACAAUCCCCACCUGUCAUAAACAAAUACUGCAACAUCACAAGCGGCCAAAGACUUCUUAUCAGACAACAAAUUUUUAACCUCAUCUUCAGGAAUUUCACGAAGCACAAGAGUUUUUCUAGUUCCCUGCAUUAAAAAGUGUAUAUCGCAAAUAUGUCAUCACCAUGGUAUUCCAAAGAAUUUAAACUGUAUAAAUAUGCUUGUGACAAGACAUAAUAAUUGUUUUACUCAUAGAAGACUGAUAUGGUCUUACAUUAAACAUGCUUUUUACAAUUAGUCAUACUCAUUGACAUAAUAUGUCAUGCGCAUGUUUAUGGAUUUGUGCAAGAGAUUGAGAAUUUUGAGAUGGUACAAGAACAUAGUUUAUACGAAUAUGUGAGUGUGCAUGUGAGUUCAUAUGCAGAAGUGUGUGUGUGUGUGUGUGAGAGAGAGAGAGAGAGAGAGAGAUUCUUUCAAUCUAACUCCAAAGCAUGACAUUUAAGCCACUAGUACUCACCGCAGCCUGGUUAACAACAUUCACCACAUACCAAUCACUACUAGUUGGUCUGUAAUUUUCUGAGAACGGCCUUAAAUACAAGAAAGAAAUGUAAACGACGUCAAAAUCUUUGUGGGAUGUAAUAAAAAUUAUGCACAAGGAAAGACAGAAGCCAGCACUGGCAAUAAUACAAAGCAGAAAGUUAAAAGGAUUAGAGACAAGUUUCUCCUAAAUUUAAACUAAUCUGAUUAAAAUAUGAGAAAAACCAUAAGCAAUACACCUUCCAAGAAAAGACUUUAAGAGUGUAGACUUUCCAGCAUUUUUAGGUCCAAAGACAAAGCAUUGAUGCACAUCUCGUUCUGUUCUCUGUUUCUUGCGGUCCACAGAUCUUCUCCUAGUUACAUGGAAUGCUGAUGCAGCAUCACAGUUAUAUCCAAUGUAUAUUAAGUUAGCCAAACUUUGAUUGGGGUUCAGCAAAGUCAUAAGAGCCCACUGCAAUCAUGUGCUCUGUAUCAGUGACAAUUAACCGAUAGCUCAACAUCAGGCAGAAAUGCCUAAGGUAAAUGGCAGAAUAAGAGACAGCAUCCAGCAAAUGAUUCAAAAACAGGCAAAAAGUACAGAACAAAGAUAAAAUGCAGCUAGAAUAAAAUAUCAGUGCAGAACUCCCAUAAGAAAUCAAAUAACAAGCAGCAAAGGCCAACUGUAGCUUUUGUGAGGAACAACCCAUAAACCAACAUGCAACAUAACAUUAUCUGUUGAAUAGAUAAUGUUGCAUGAACUUAGUUCCACAUGACAAUCAUAUCAAAUUGACAGAUCUAUGUUGAUUUAUCAACAUAUAAACAUGCGCAUAUGCAUGUAUAGAUAAAUAGAUGAUAACAACAGAGAUAUUACAAUUAAACCUCCCAAUUGCAAAUCUGAAGCUACAGAACUUGAGAAGUUUUAAGAAGCCAACAGGAAUAACCACAGGAGUCAAAAACCAUAUGACAACAAAAAAAUAUAAACGUACGAUCAUAUGCAAUCAUCAAUAAAAAGGCAUAUCUCUAAUAAAAAGGCAUAUCUCUAAUGGCAAACUUCACUAGGAGUAACCACUACAAGAGCUUCAAACAACGCACCUCACAUAGAUAUCCAGAAAGAGAUAAGCACCCCAUUGGAGUUCUGUCAACUGCAUCCUUAUAAGGAGCUUCUUCCCACGGACUGAAGUUUAAAAAAUAAGACAGAUUUGAGAAAUAAUAGUAUUUCAAAGGAAAAAAAAUAAGAAUAAAACCAUGAUUCAUGUGUAAUACUCACCCACUAACAUACAUACAUGCAUGCAUGCAUAUACAUACAUACGUAUAUAUAUAUAUAUAUAUAUAUGUAUGUGUGUGCAUAGAUAUAUAGACACACACACACAUACAUACAUACAUAUAUCUAUGUAUAUACAUGCAUGUGUGUGUGUGUAUAUAUAGAGACACACACACACACGUAUAUAAGCCUGAAUAAGCCUCAUAAAUCAAUAUCCAAUCUCAUACAUUUGAUAACUAAAAGUCUCGUGCUUUAUCUGUGUUUAAAAUGCAUAACAGAAACAGGAAAACUUUGUAUUAUAUCUAGACCAGCCAAGUCAAGUCAUAUUUGUACGUGACUCUUCAAAACAAAUUGACAAGCACAACAUGCAAAAUGAAGCACCACCAUAAACCAUAAAGUCAAAUCCAAAUAGAGCAGUUCAGGGAGGACUGAAGACAAAACUGCUCAAAAAACCAACCUUUCUGGUGCAGUUGAAAAUAGUUCAACAAGCUCAGAAUACUGAAGAACACCAUCCUGUCAAAGAAAAACUCAGAAAAUGAUCUUCAACUGUCGAAUAUCAAUUAAUGUCUAAAAAACAGACAUAACUGAAAUUUGAAUAUAAGGUUAUGCAGCUCCAUAGUAUGAGUCAACCAUAGGAAACAUGAAUUAUGCCAACUUUAACGCUAAAAGGGCACUAUGAUCCUACCAACAUUAAAGCCUUUGGUGAUCCCUUGUUACCUAGAUAGCCAUAAGAAGAUUUUUUUUCUUGCAGGCCCCAUUAGGGACUAGCUCAAACUUCAAUCUUCCAAAACUCAGACAUCCUAAACCCUCCACAGAUACCAUUUAUUUUUGUCCAACUUGCACUUCACAGAGAAUUAGACAGCCUUUGAGUGGUAGACAUAUGAGUGUGUUUGGAUUACACAUUAUUUCCAUCUUAUUUACACAUACUAAUUUGCUUGCAUCAUCAACACAUUUUCCAAUCACCUUUUUAUCUCACAUAUAUCAUAUCAAAAAUGUGCUACAGUAUUUUUUCACAAAAUUAUCUCAAAUAAUUUACUAUCCAAACACACUCACUCUCUCUUGCUUGCCGGCUUUCCCAUGGUUACAAAUGUACUCUUUUCUAUGUAUAUUCAGUUGCUAUAUUGGAAUGAUCUUUUCCACAGAAAAAAUUUUCCAGAGAAUGCAACUAAAGCAGAGCACAAAAGUUCAGGCCUAGUUAACACUAACAUUUAAAAAAAUUUUAAAAAAUUAACUUAAAGAUAUACGAUUGGAAGAGGACAGGGAGAAAGUAAUCUCUACAGUAAAACACAGUACAUUGUAGGCUUCACGAAACCAGUUAGCUGUAAAUUUUCACUGAAAGAGUUACUUGAUAGGUUUCAAACAAAUUAGAACUUGGCAAAAUACAAAUUCUCUUAGAAUGAACUUAGAAUGAAGCAAAAUGUCUACCGUACUUUAUCACCAUCAUAUGUGCUGAAGACUCCCUUCAAGAACUCCAUGGCUUCACUUGUCAAUUCCAUAUUCUGCAAGAAGAUAAUGGCAAUUUUAGAAAAACGUUUUAGACAUACUAGACUCUCUAUAGACCCCAUUCUUAGUACAUCAAAGAGAUACUCAGAAAGAACAGGACAAAAUAUCAUAAAACUGAACCAUUACCAUUUUGACCAAAUUUUAGUUGAGAAACCAGUAAGUUCAUAAUAACAGAACAUGCGAGACUCAUUAAAAAUAUCUACUCAAGUACAAGCACAAUCACAGUAUUGAUUUUUCUCCGGCUAAAUGCUACGGUUAGAUUAUCUCUUUACUUGACUUCUAAGGAAUUCUUGGAAACACGUCAUGUUUAACCAGUAAGGCAGUUUCAUGAAUGUGAUGACAUUAGACUGCACAAAAACCUUAUCCAAUCAUGCAAAAGGAAAAGAGGUAAUUCAUGGCUUCAUUAGAGGAAUCACCUGGUCAGGAGCCUUUUUGAAUGGAAUAGAUAGAUAAGGAUCCCUCAGCUUAAUUUCAUCAUCAUACCCAAAUUUUCUUAAAACAGUCCAAGUUGUCUCAAGCCGACCUUUUUCAAUAAAAAGAGCAUGCAAAUAAAGAAACCCUGUCAGGGUAAGCCCAAGGUCAUUGACUCCUUCACCCAACUUCUCUUGUACGACUCUCUUCACCUCCACUAUUUCAGCAGGCUGUAGCGGAGCAUUGAAGCAUCUAACCUGUAUCAUAUCAUUUCAAAUGGUAUAAAUGAAGGCACUAAAACUGGCAGAGACAAAAUAUAAACGGGAAGAAAAAUGAUAAUGUAUGAUGAAACAGUAUCAGAGAAAAGGAAGUGGGAAGCAGCAACCUGAAACUCAUUCAACUCUUCAUCAUUGAGGGCAUCAUCCAUGUCAUGGUCACAAAGUAUAAAUAUCCGUUUUAACGCUCUUACGCAGCGGGGUUUCAGAGUUUGAGUCUCUUGAUCAAAUAGUGGGGCAGUUGGAUGAAGUACUGCCUUUUGAGCAUAAUAAAAUACUUCAGGGACCUAUAGACAAACUAGCAUAAUAUUAAUAGCAACGGACUAUAAUUAAAAAAUUUUCAUAAAAUGAAGUGACAGAAUCUCUAACGAAUAGAGGCAAACCUGAAGCAUAUUUGCUGCAGAACAUUCUAUACAAGUCUCAAUCUCUCGAAACUGUUGCAUAAUUGGGGCCAUUACCUGCUCCAAACUCAUAUGAUACUCCUCAUCUCGCUUAUCCAGCUUGCAGCCAACAACUAUGACUGGUGCCUUUAUCUGAAAAUUGCAUUUAACAAAAAAAAAGUAUCAAGGUGAGUGGCAACAAUCUCCACCAUUUUGGCCUUGAAUCUUGAGAAUGAGAAUGUUGGGAUUGUAAUCGUUGGUAGUGAUAAUGCUAUUAAAGAAGGACAUCUUGCCAAGCGCACUGGAUCUAUUGUGGAUGUUCUUGCAGGAAAGGCUACACUAGGGCAUGUGGUCAACGCGUUAAGAGUACCUAUUGAUGGAAGAGGAGCUCUAAGCGAUCACCAGCGAGCCUAUGCAAACAGGUCUAAAAGCGGUAGAUAGGCCUCGUUCCUAUAGGUCGUGGUCAACAAGAACUUAUAAUUGGGGACCGACAAACUGGAAUAAAAACAGCUAUUGCUAUCGAUAUCAUGUUAAAUCAAAAGCAAAUGAACUCAUCGUAAUUGAAAAUAGUUUACCAAAAGAUUUAGCCGUUAAACAUUGCAACAAGUGUCAAAAUAGAUGCUUAUGAAACAACAUAAUUCAGGAGAACUCCAGAAGAGAAACGGUAGGCUUGCAGCAUCAGCAAGAUGCUAUAUUCGGCACUGGUUUGCUUCUCGGAUUUCACUCCGAUGUUUAUUACCAACCAAACAAAAAAAGAAAAAAGUUGGAUAAAUACUCGGUAACUCACAUCAAGGUCCACUGUCUGCCCAAUAUACCACAAAAGAGCAGAGGAAUCAAUGAAAGAGUCUACGCGGGCACAGAAGAAUAUCGGGAUUGAAAGCGUACCUCUAAUCGGCGAAGUUCGUAUAGCCAGAAGGUAGUGAGGCGCUUGAGCGUGGCAGGCUGAUCGCAUGCAUAAGUCAGUACUACUACAUCGGCUCGCUUCAAUUCUUCAGCAAGCUUACCUCUGUUCUCCAAGCUAAACUAACCAACAAUCGAUAAAAUACAUCACUCAUUACCCAAAAAAAAAAAGGAUGAAUUAGAAAAGAACAAAUAAAAAAGCACUGGUGACUUGACGAUUAACAUAACGUAGUAGAACGAGGAGGAAAUGGAAUGAAGGAGAGUAAUUGUGAGAACCUGGAUGAGGUAUCGAUGAGAGUGAGGGGGACGUUAUCAGGAUAGAAGUCGGGGGGAAGGCGAGUGGGAGGGAGAACAGGCUGGACUUGGAUGGGGAAACUUUCGGAGGCGGCAGCGGCAAUGAGGCUUGACUUGCCGGUAGCGCGGUCGCCGACGACGACGACGCGUAUGUUUGUGCGGGAGGAGGAGGUUGAAGAACCAGGCAUCGAAAUGAAUCGUGUCUGUGAUCAGAGUGGAGUGCAGAGGUGUGAAGAGACUUUGAGAGGGGCGUGAUCGGAUGAAUUCCGGUGAUCGAAUCAACUAUUCACGGAAUGUCGCGUCAUGUUCCUCUCGUGCUCUGAGCUCCUGUUACGAUUGGACAUUUGGCGAAAAUUUUAGUUUGCCACCGUCGCCCACUCGGCCUGCGUUUCCAUCCUGUCCCGAGGUACAGGGAAAUCCAUACAAUGCGCAUCGGACCUUGAUUAUCUGCUGUCAUCAUUGGGCUCGGGCCGCCAUUAUGUUUUGCUUAAUUUAAUGGGUCCGUGAUAAAUGUGAUGCUAUAUUGCUAUGUCCCCACGCAGAUUUUUUGCAAGGUCGAAUUGAUUUUUUUUUUUUGCUAAAGUCAUGUGAGACACACACCGCUAAAGCGUCCAUGCCUUUGAUUCCAUGUUGUUCUAAUCUUCCUUUUUUUUUUUUUUUUAAUCUAUUAUCAUAAUUUACUCCUCCUACUCCUGCUCUAAUAUAUACUAAAGGGAUCUCUAAGCUAUACUAAAGGCUACUCUAACCUCACAAUUUACUCCUACUAAGGGCUACUCUAACCUAUAUAAUAAGGGAGUAUAGGGUUAUGGGAAUUAACAGAACUGAACCAACAUCUAACCAUACAAGUGCAAGAAGCAUUGAUAUAGAUUUAAGAGAAACCAUGUUAAGUGACAACUUUUGACGGAAACAAAAUUUGAAUUCUUAACUUCCCACCCCAUAAAAACAUGUGGUGGUCAAUUAUUCUAGAGGUAGUUAGUUCCAUAUUGUUCUAAUCAUCAUUUCAUUAUUUCUAAUAAAGUAUGUUUCUCAACUAUAUUUUCCUAUUCUCAAAAUGUAGAAUUAUUUCUAAUAAAGUAUGUUACUCAACUAAUUUUCCUAUAUGCAAAAUGCAUAAUUUGGUGGUUUUUAAAAAAAUGCAAGAUUUGGUUGAUUUUCUAUUUACAGAUAACAUAUUGUGGGUUCACAAGAGAUGAUUUUGCAACAUACAUCAUCCUUGUCUAUUGGAAGAAUAAGAAUAUAAGGUUCUCUAAAAUAAGAUUCUCUAAGUAAAAGAAAAUAAAAAAAUUUAAAGCCAAUGUACUCCGCUACUUCAUUAAACAACUCUGUGACAUAUUCUCAAUUUAUUUUUUCAUAUAUUAAAAUUUAAAUGAUCAAUAGAAGGGAUAUAAAUGUGAGAGUAAAUCUUACAGAAAGCUUAUGGUAGUUUUACGUGGUUAUCCCUUAUUAGAACCAAUUAUUAGCAGAAAUGGUAGAAAAGAAAAGCGGGCUGAUUUAGGGCGCCUUUUUUUGCCAGAAAACAUUCCUCGGAGCAAGUUGAAGCGUUUUUUGGUUGUGUGAACCGCAAGCCCGGUUCUAUUUUGCUCCGGAAUGCCCCAGCCUUGUCUUUGGUGUCCCGUGAAGAUUAAAGAUGUUCCCUCGUUUGUUGCGCAGAUCCCUCGCCGUCGUGCGCUAUUUCUCGGCAGAAACCAUUGGAGCGACGGUGAAGUCCCCACCAUCAGGUGGUGCAAGCAGCAAAAUCACGAGCACUGGUGGAAGAGACACCCUCGGGAGGAGGCUACUGAGUCUGGUAUACACAAAGCGCAGCGCCGUCAUCGCCAUUAGAAAGUGGAAGGAGGAAGGCCACGUAGUCCAAAAGUACGAGCUCAACCGCAUAGUCCGAGAGCUCCGUAAGCUUAAGCGCUAUAAACAUGCCCUCGAGGUGUCUUCUUCUUCUUCCUUCUCACUUUUUCCUUCUGUUUCUUUCUUUAUUUUCUCAGAAUUCUUUUGUUUAUAUUUCAUAGUGAAUAUUACUGGGAUGAAUUAGAACUUGAACUUGCUAGUAUAUCAAAGAUGAUAAAAUUCUUAUUUCUUCUUAAAAAUAAAUCAAUAAAGAUGAUGGAAUAUAAAGUUCUAUGGGACCCCUAAUAGCUCUAAUAAGAAAAGAUAGCGAAAUGGAUUCAAUACAUUUACUUGCAGCUGUGUGUGAGCUGUGGUGAACAUUGAAUCCGGAUGAUCAUCCAUUGAGUUGCUCCUUGCCAGCUUUUAGUAUUUACCAUAAUGCUCAAUAAAAACCUUGCACAAAUUUUAUUUUAUGUUUUUGAGUAGCCUUGUGAGGCAUUAUCCUUUGCGGAGGUUUUAUUUGUUUACUAGUCAAUCUGAAUACUGUACUUCUGUAGGUAUGUGAGUGGAUGAGGAUACAGGAAAAUAUCAAGUUACUAUCUGGGGACUAUGCUGUCCAUUUGGACUUGAUUGCAAAAGUCCGAGGCAUGAAUAGUGCUGAGAAGUUCUUUGAAGAUCUUCCUGACAAAAUGAAAGAUCACACAACAUGUAGUUCCCUUCUUCACACCUAUGCCCAACACAAGGAAUCCGCUAAAGCGGAAGCUUUAAUUGAAAAGAUGUCAGAGUGUGGUUUCUUGAAGAGUCCUCUUCCUUACAACCACAUGUUGACCUUGUAUAUCUCCACAGGGAAGUUGGAGAAGGUUUCAGCGAUGAUUCAGGAGUUAAAGAAGAACACUUCACCAGAUGUUGUUACAUAUAACCUGUGGUUAUCUGUCUGUGCGCUGCAGAAUGACGUAGAAACUGCAGAAAAAGUAUUCCUGGAGCUACAGAAGGAAACACUGGAUCCAGAUUGGGUGACUUAUAGCACAUUAACCAAUAUCUACAUUAAAAAUUCACUCAAGAAAAAAGCAGCUUCGACUUUGGGUGAAAUGGAAAAAAGAAUUUCCAAGAAAGUUCGUCCCUCUUAUUCCUCUCUCAUUAGUUUACACACUAGCCUGGAACAUAAAGAUGAGGUUUAUUGGAUUUGGAAGAAGAUGAAGUCAAUGUUCCACAAGUUAAAUGACUCCGAGUAUAUGUGCAUGAUUGCAUCCCUAGUGAAACUCCAUGAAUUAUGCAAAGCAGAGAAGCUUUACAUGGAAUGGAGUUCUAUUUCUCCAACUGGGGACUCUAGAAUUCCGAAUAUACUUCUUGCUGCUUAUAUCAACGAUGGUCAGAUGGAAAUGGCUGAGAAGUUCUACAAACAGAUGGUAGAAAAAGGUAUGACUCCUAGCUAUACCACUUGGGAGCUUCUGACAUGGGGCUACUUGAAACUAAAGAAGGUGGAAAAGGUACUUGAUUGUUUCAACAAAGCUAUUGGUAGUGUGAAAAAAUGGGAGCCAGAUGUAAAGAUGGUCAAAGAAGUAUCUGGGAUGCUUGAAGUGAGUGGCAACAUUGAGGGUGCAGAAAAAUUGUUAGUUACUCUUCGGCAUGCUGGACACUUGAAUACAGGAAUGUAUAACUCACUUCUCCGAACUUAUGCAAAAGCUGGUAAAAUGCCAGUUGUAGUUGUAGAGAGGAUGAAGAAGGAUAAUGUCCAACCGGACGAGGAUACCAGGCAGCUCAUACAACUAACUAGCAGAAUGUGCGUGACUGAAGUUCCGAGCUCUAUCCUGGGAGAAUAACUUGAGAUUUGUUGUCUAGGAGAUAAAAAAAUGUACCUUGAUGUAUGCCUUUAUUCAAUUUGAUUCUGCAGUUGCAAGGAUUACUGACACAGUCUGCUGCUUCAAUUUUGUAAAACGGGGAUAAGUAAGAUCUUUACAAAGCGAGGAGACGGUUCUUCCAUUCCGUUGGAUGUUUGUUACUGAAUUAGAAAUUCAUCGGGGUACAGAACAGGGAGGGUCCUCGUAGGCUGUGAAUUUUGAUGGCGUAAUAAAAUGGUGGAAGAAGGUUGGCUGAUUAAGGAUCUUAAGCAGAUUUCCGGCAACUCAUAGGAUUUUUGUUGUUCAGUAAUCUCCACACCCAAUUACAGGGCAUCUGUUCAAUCAAAUGACAAACUGUUUAUGAUGGUAAGGUUCUGGAGCAGUAGCAAAAGGAAAACAAAAAAACAGGAAAAGGACCUUCUCUGGAAUUUGUUACAACAGCGAGACUAAUUAAGCCAUACGAUCCUACGCGGCAAUGUAAAUUUGCACAAUCUCGGCGCCUCUUUCCCCAGUCUUGGGAAAACGAUGGAUGGUUCAAUGUUGGGCGAUUUUGGCAUUUGAGAGAACAACAUUGGACUUGUGGAUGAAGGGAAUAUUCAAAAGAAACAUGCGUUUUUGCCUUUAUUAUGUCAUUUCCAUGAUAUAUAAUUACAUCAAUAGGUGGAAUGUAGUAAAUUUACAUGAUAUAACAGGUGGAAUGUAGUAAAUCGAAAUCGAGAACGAUGACUAAUACUAGCACUAAUUUGUUCAACCAUAUUCUUCGCUUGCUGCUACCUCGCGGCUUUCCGGUUCGUAGUAAUUAGGUUGGGGGGAUAAUGGUAAAAUCACAAUCUGAGAAGAUGGGGAAGGGAAUCAACAUGAGCUGGUUCGUUCACUUGUUCGUUCGGUUGAUCAGAUGGAUGGUCCACUCUCCUAAUUAAACCAAAGUUGGUGGGGUGGUUAAGACUUGAGAAUGAAAGAGCCUCUUCCCUUCUACUAAUAAUAGUAAGUAUACUUAAUACACUAUCCGCUGCAGCGUUAGAAGAUGCAGCUAUUUCCAACACGCACGCGCUCAUACAUUUCCUUCUCUCCAAUAUCUCCGGACCGACAAACCAACUGCCGGCCAUGCAGGUCAAGGGAGUGAAUACCUUGACUUGCAUUCAUCUUCAAAAUUUUUUGAAAGUUUUAUCAGCUGGUACGUUUAGCAUUCAUUUGAUUCGACGGUAGUUCAAUCUUUUUUGAGUUGGGCCUAUUCCCUGCCCCUUAAUAUAAAUGAGGAAUAUGAGUAGAAUAGAAAAGCUAUCACGUAAACAAAAAAUAUAUAUAUAAAAAAAUCACAGGACCAACACGGAUGAAAAUUUUGUUGACUCCGAAACUUUUAUAAGAGAAGGCCACGGAUGAUACGAGGAAUUGGCAUAUAAUUGGACCAGCGCGAAAACCUUUAAUCUAAGAAGAGUAACUGCAACGACCUGGAGAGGGGUUUACCCAACCCAACCCAACCCAACCUAUCCACCUAUCCUCCUAUCCUCGUCCAUGUCAUUAUCAUCCUUAUUCGUGGUCUUGUUUCUCAACUUACUCAUCAUCCUCCCUCCCCGCUUAUAAAUUGAUAUGUUUAUUAUAUAUAUUUAUAUAUAAAAAAAAAAAAAUGCGUAUUCCGCAUUGGUAUCUGUUAUUUGGGGAAGGGAAAGAAUUUCGAGUGGAUGAGGGAAGGGCAAAGUGGUAAAACGCGGGCAAAUGAAAACAAACGUUUAAGUUGAUUCUAUCCUUAUUUUAAAUCCAAAAUCCAGGUCAACUAUAUAUAUAUAUACCUUGCUUCUUAAUUUCCCAUCUCUCCGCAUAAGUAAAAUUAGUUGCAUUGCAGGUUCAGAGUUGGAGCUCGACAUUCUCUCUGGAUCCGUCCCUCAAAACCAAAAAGAAAAACAGAGCAAACCAUAUAGUAACCGCACCCCUUUCUCCCUUAUCUGAUCGUAAAUAAUGGCUGAGAAUGGAAAUGAGAACGUUAUUCGGUAUGAAGAAGGAAUGUCGUGUCUUCUUCCCGCAAAUGCUUUUGACCAGCAACAAUCAUGCUUGCAAGAGAAGGUGUUCUAUUCCAUCUUUCCAAGCUCAGCUCAUCUGUCAUGCUUCCCUUCCAUAUAUCUUUAUAUAUAUAUAUAUAUAUUCUUUUUUCCUCUGCAUAUGAUGAUAUUCUCAGUCCCUUUUAAUUAAUUUCGUCUCCUCUUUUCCUUCCUCCUAUUAAUCCUGAUCAUUCGACUGAAUCGCUUGGUUCUGUUCUGUUGCAUUGCUGGGGCAGUUGAGAUAUCAAAAGCACCACCAAUCCGAGCGGCACUACUCAAAAUCACCAGCAGCGGAUAAUUCGGUACUUAAAUCACUUUUUUUUUUCUCUUGUAUGUACGUAGAGGAAAACUUUUAUUUUCUUCUUGUUCAUGAUGAUCAUGAGCUUUUUCUCUGGUCUUCAAUAUGGAGUAUGUGUGUUAUUAUGCAGUUAGGAUUUUCAAAGAUAUUCAUAGUAAGUCAGCAUAAUAACAGACAAAAUUUAGUAGAUAAUUAAACAUGUGAGGAAUAAGUCAAGGAUUGUAGAAGAUGCUUCCGCCAAAUGUUGCGGGGCAACUCUUUGGGAGCGUGAAUUUAAAUCCGAAUCUUUCCGCCAAUAUGAUAUGGUAAGGAGUACUUAAUGUCUCUCUCCUUUUUUGUGAUAAAUGAGGAUUGCUAUGCCAGUUGUCAGUAUUAUUUAUUUUGGCACACAUUAUUGUAGAAAUAUUGCAGAAUUCAAACUCUUCACUGAGUACGUGUAAUAUUAUUGAUCCUGUCCUGUGUUAACUUAAGGUCCACUUGGCGAAGGAAAGAAAAAAUUCUGACUGAAUUAGCGCUAGGGAACCUGUAAAUUUUAAUUCCCAUAAUCUCUCCUUUGAAUCCAAAAUAACUGUCUCCCACUAUGAACCAGGCAACUGGGGUCCAUUUUAAGUACUACUAAGAUUUACUACAACUGUAAGAUUAAUUUAAGCUUAAUUUUAUCUUCCCCCCCCCCCCCCCCCAAAAAAAAAGAAAAAAAUUAAUAACCUUUGUUGUCAUUUCAAGGAUUGAAAUCCCAGUAGUUGCACGUUAAGUACAGAACAAAAAGGAGGAUAGAACUUGUUAGAAGCCAAUGACAGCAUUUUUUUAAAAAAAAUUUAUUUUUCCUUCUCUCUCUCUCUCUCUCUCUGUUUGGGCUUGUCUCGGCCUAUGGCAUUAAUUAGGCAGGCCGAUAGAAUGAAGAUGUAAAAACUGAUUAAUUUUGGCAUGGUUGACGACGAGCAUCGAGUAGCAUUGGAAGUCCGGCCAGCUGGGAAACCAAAGAACCAGAAAUGGGGGGUCGUCGAACACGAAAUGGGCAAUUGGUGGUCCUGGAAUGCAAGCCCUGUUCUUGGAUUCUGGGCAACGAUCCUGCGGAACAGGAGUGUUUCUCCCUCGAAGAGCAGGAACCCACUUUCCAUCAUCCAAUAGGCCAGGUGGUUGAUCAUUCGCACCAGCUAUCACUCCACCAUGCAAUAAUUCUUGUUUCUAUGUAUGUACUUUGUAGCACCUAGUUAUUCUCUUCUUAAUUUUAGUUAAAAGGUCUUUUCGCGAAAAUGCAGCCUGCCCUCCUGUUCUCCUUCCGUCCCGCGUCGUUCAGGUCCUCAACCUUAAUGUCCACGAACUUGGCUUCCAGUCCAGGCCCCAACAACAAGGUUUGCAUUAGCGUUCCUCCACUCACUAAGUUUAUCUUCAAUCGUCGACUCAGCUCCUAGCUCAAUAUGCAACUUUCACACAAAGUACUGCCAGUAUAUAUAUAUAUACUAUAUAUGUAGGAGUGUUAACUACUAACAUGAGACCUUCGACUAAUAAUAUGCAGAGCGUACUGGCAAGCAAUCCAAUGCUGGUGGUAAGAAAGAGAACAUUAAUGCAGCAGCCGGAGUGGGAAGCGGAGGCGGCCAGUGUUGUUCGCCGGAGAUUUUUCUCCCGAAGGAAUGGACUUACUAGCUUGGCUGGCUUUAUACCUCGUACAGAACACUGACCAGAACCUGCAACUCGUUUCAGAUUGAUUGCUGCUGACCACGUGCCUUGCGGUGAAUUAAAAUAUAGUUUAAAUAAUACCAGCAGCAGCCAAAAGAAAUAAAUUAUUUAGAAAUGCUGAAUUGCAUAGGUUUUCAUUCUUUUUGCACGAAAGAAGUAGAUGGUACAUAAAUUAUUUAGUUCUUGAUUUUUAUUUUUUUUGAGGAAAGAUUAGUUAUUGACUCAAUUCACAAUAGUCUGUAAUUAAUUUACCGUUAUGAAUUCCAUUCGAUCGAUUGUAUCCGUUUUCGGAAUAAGGUUGAUGUAUGUUACAGAUGCGCCCGAACAAGAGACGAACUCCUCUGCCAUUCAAGACUUCUAGCAAUAAAGUCCAUCACCGUGCAUGGAUCAUUGGAUGGACUCGACUCACCUGGGCCUGGGGGUAUGAUGCAUGAGAGCAAUGAUACUGUCGUUGCCCAUGCCCAUUUGAGUAUUGUAUGAUUUUUUUUCCCCAUAUUUGUUUUCUUUUUAUUUCAUUUUCUUUCUCUUCACCCUCUACCUUUACAAUACUCUUGCACAAUCUGGAGAAUAGAAUUCUUCUUAUUCUUUCCUUUACCCUUUCUCCUUGUAGAAACGUAACAAUACUAAUAAUAGAUAAAAUACAAGACAUAGCAAUGCUUACAUUUAAGUUAUUUAUAAUUUGACAUACUGGAAUUUAUCUUUGAUGCUAACCCUACAUAACUUAACGGAAGUCGACCAUUUUACUAUCAAACUACAUGAUUUCUUGUGCAAGUGAGAGACAAAAUAAUAAAAUAAAGGAAGAAAACAAAUUACAAAUAAGUUAAGGUCAAAAUAAGGAUCAGAUUGGCCAAACACGAAAAUCUAAUGUAACGAACGCCGAGAUAUGAGAUUUAUAAUAGAAAGAAAGGAAAAUAAAUGGAAAACAAGGAAGAAUUAGGCAGGCAAAAUUUUAAGGGGGAAAAAAAGGAAAAGGAGCAGAUUAAGAAAAAGUUGGUGUAAAACAAUGCAAAUUAUCCACAUUUUGAGGGUGCUACAGUCAGGAAAAUUAGAUGGGGUACCGUAAAAUGCCUACUAAAAAGUUGAGGGUGGCAGAGUGGAACUCAUACCAAAGUUCACGGGGCUUUAAAGGAAUUAAUCCUCUAUUUGCAAAGCCCUCCCUAAAACCCGAAUGGAAGACCCAAACUACUAACCGGAUCCGAGAAACGGUCUUUAUAAGGAUACGGAGCAUCCGGCUUUGAGCACGGGGUUCUUUUCCUUCCCAUUACUACACUAUUCUGACAAACUCUGCGCAUUUCGGCCAUGGAAACCACUAUAGUCAGCUCUCAGCUUCAACUCUUCACCACCAAUUACUUCAAGAUUUCAGGCAACUAUUCCCUCUCUCUCUCUCUUGAAUUUGUUCAUACAUUUACUUUUGUUACUAUAUCUACCUAUUUUAGAAUUCUAUUCGCGUAUAUUCUGUACAACUAGAUAUUUUUAUUUUAAAAGAAUUACGAAGGUCUCAAGAAUCUCGACAUUUCGUACUGUUGGAAGUCACAAGAAGUAAAUAUCCUGCUAACUGUUAGCAAUUAUGUUUAUUUCUUUUUUUUUUUGGCCAACCAUGUUAACUUAAAUUUGGCUCAGAAUUAUGCAUAUGCUGUGUUAUUUGCAUCAUUCUCCGUAUCAUCACUUAUUGGAAGAAAUUGGUUUCUUUUGUGAUGUUCUAUUGUUGGAACUUUAAUGCGCUAUUUUUGGUCUUCUUUCCUAAGGCGUGAUGUUGGCAUCCCUUUUCUCGAUCCAACUUGUGUCUUAUCAUUGAGUCGGCAGCAGGAAAUCUAUUUGGCGGGGAGUUGGAGUUCUACUUUGAUUUCUUUUUCCCGGUUUUAUCAAAAGUGCACCAAUACUUGAGCUAUUUUCAGUUUGUGAUUGAUAUUCUGAACCAAGGACAAGGAGAACUCUGAGGGAGGGUGCUUUGGAAUUUGCUGUAUCAGACUAAGUGUUUUGUUUCAUCUCUGAUGUUGCAGGAAACGAUAUUAUGCAUAGGGAGAAAUUUUGUCAUCGACCAAUUCCUGGAUUAUUUCCACUCAAGAUAAAUUGUUCAAGAUUCGGUGGAAAGCCCUUAUUGUUGUUAGAUAGGCAAAAUAUCAGACCUUCUUAUGAUAUUGUUUCUAAGCUGAGAGGAAGAUGUUUUGAAAUUAAAGCUGCAUCUACUGAGUCUUUAGGUUAUGAACAAUUCCUGCCUGAACCUAAUGCUGGCGAAGUGGUUCUUCCCUUGCAUGAUUCUGGUGGCAAUGAUUCGUUGCGACCAAGGCCGAAAGCUUAUAAGAAUAGAUUUUUGAACUUUGUUCACCUCAGUUCAGUCCUUAAUACUGCUGCUGAAUCUUUCUUUAAAAGUGAGAUACGAAGGAGGUUAUUUGUGACUGCCAUCCUUAUUGUGAUAAGUCGUGUUGGCUACUUCAUUCCUCUACCUGGUUUUGAUCGGCGGUUGAUGCCCCAGGACUAUCUUAGCUUUGUCUCAGGCUCAGUUGGUAAGUCGUGGUCUUUGUGAUCAUAAUUCCUUUGUAUGAAUCUACCAAAUGCUCAAAAUGAAAUGGCUGUUUUUCUGAUGUAUCAAAUGCGAUUACAGCUUUUCUGUGCAUUUUGUGCUUUAUAUUGGUCAUUUUUUGGAAAUUUCUGGUGGAGGACUUUAUUGAUUUCUCAAGACAUAGUAUCUUUUUAAGUUUUCUUUUGGUAUUCAGUUAAUGAUAUCUUGGAAAAGUGGAAAUCCCUGGAGUGUCUUCUUCAUAAGUUUGGGACAUUAUGACAUUUACAUUGUGUCUCUGUGAUGAGUUGGUAUGGCUGAUAGUCCUGUCAUGGGAAAAAUUCUUACUUGUCAUGGUUUUUCUGUAGUUUACCUUGUGGCUGGUAAAGUGGUUAGGAUAAAUAAAGAACAUGUUUUAGUAAAGUGACUAAAAAAGUAAUGUUAUAGCAAACUUGGAACCUGUUUUGGGGAAUAUGGACAAUAUUUGAAGCUCUAGUUUUUAUAAUUUGCUGUUGUAUCUUGUACAAUGUCUUUAAUAAAUUGGUCACGCAAAUUUCACCCAUUGGAAAUGGUUUCUAGUAGUUUGAACUCUAGGUUGUGUAUACUUCCUCAGUAAAAAAUGUUUUUGCUUCUAGAUGAAGCAAGAGGUAACAUUAUGUUCCUUGUGGAUUUGAGGGUCUAUCAUGCAAAUUUUUUUUGCCUUCUUGCUUCAAAAGCGGGAAGGUAGAAAAAGAGAAAAAAAAAGGAACUCUGUGACUUUGCGGGUAAAAUCAUUUUUCACUUUCACUUUGCAGAUGAACUAGGUGACAGCACACCGGAACUUAAGCUUUCUUUGUUCCAAUUGGGUAUCAGUCCUCAAAUUGCAGCAUCAAUUCUCAUGCAGGUAUCCUGGGUUUCCCAUGAUAGAUCAUGUUUUUGAUGGUUAUUUGGUAGUAUUAUGCUGCUACACAGGCUAGUGCUUUCCACAAUUUAUUGUUAUCUAGGAUUUUUGGAGCUGCACAUUACAUAAAAGACAUUGUGAAGUUAAUCAUGUAUAUUUGUCAGUAAAUCUUCCAGCUUGGCCUCAGAGUUUGUAAUGCAAGGGAUAGUACUUUGUAUAAAAGCAUUUAUAUAGGCCCAGUUGGUGUGUCCUGUAUAUAGAGCUGCUACACAUACUCUUGCUUGCCUAUGAUUAUUCAGUCUAAGAACCAUUAUUGUCACUUUUCAGCAUAGUUGCCUGUCGUUUAGCAUCUGAGGUUGUAGCACCUUAUUUAUAAUGGAGCACAUUCUCUUUUACAGUUGUCUUAUUUUGUUGUUUUUUCUUAAAUAGGAGUAGAUGACGCGAAUCUUUUGAGUUAAUGUGCUUUAUGCACUUUGCAUUUACCUAUAGAGUCUAUUAUGUUCUUCUUUUUAUUAUGAAUUUCAAUGAGCUUAAAUCAGAUUCAUUUUUGUCAUUCAGGUUCUUUGCCAUGUGGUUCCUUCUUUGGUGAAGUUGCGAAAAGAAGGCUUGGAUGGUCACGAGAAGAUUAAGAGUUAUAUGUGUGUCUUGGUUAUCUAUUUCAAGCAGUGAAAUGAGUUGUUAAGAAAAAUUUUCCUAUGUUAUCAAGUUCAUUUAUCCUUUGAUCAAGUUAAGGACUAUAGCAAAUAUUUAUUGAUCUCAGAUGGUGGAUUUCGCUUGGGUUUGCCAUAGUGGAGGCUCUGGUUCUUUCUUGUUAUUCGCUCUCAUAUUCCAUUUAUGCUGCCAGUUACAGGUGAUUCGAAAAUAUGAAUUUCAUUCUUGACAAUGAAUUUGUGACAGAGUUGGUUUUCUUAUCUGAUCUGGUUACCUUUUUUUCUACUGUGGGUCAUCUAAUCAUGCAAAAGUAUUGUUUGUCUCCAAUGAGUUGCAUUUUUGUACUAUUGCUGAAAUACUCUGUUAUAUCUAAACAAUUUCUUAUGGAUAUUUUCAUCUUGGCUAUGGUGUAUUCUCUAUGGCAGGGUAAAGCACGUGAUGUUGACAUCUUCCCUUUUGGUGUGUGGUGCAAUGACUAUGACAUGGAUUUGUGACAAAAUAACAGAUGCUGGAUUUGGUAUUGCCUGGAAUUCUCAGUUAUCUGCCUUUCCACAACUUUUUACUGCUGUUGUUUCUGCAUGCUGCAGGGAGUUAACAGCUUUUUUCAUUUUCUAGUCAAGCAAUAAAGUCAGUCUACCUAAAACCUGUCAAGCUUAGGUUUUCAUUAGAAACAGUUGAGUUUUUAUCUCUUAUAGAGAUUAGUGAAUGAUUUUUCGGACGAGUUUUCUGUCCAUAAUGACCUUUUGAACUUUAUGGGGGUUUCUGCAGGUCAAGGCUCGUCAUUGAUUAUCUGUGUGGGGAUUUUGACUGGCUACACAGAUACAUUGUCCAAAAUGCUUACUCAACUAUCAGGUGGGCAACAAAUUGCAGAAUGUGAAACCUCUUCUGGCCACAUGAUUCUCUGACUCGUGGAAAUAAUACUUAAAUGUGAAGUAAGACAUGUAGUAUAUAGCUUGUGCUCUUAUCUACAAAGACUAUUAUGAACAUGAAAUUGGCUUAUGUAAUUAAACCUCUGGAUUGAUGAUUAUUCAGCGCAUAGGGGCCUAUUCUGAUCCCCCUAAAAAAUAGAAAGAGAUUAGCUCUUAUGUAGAAUAUUGCAGAUUCCUCCUAUUUCUUUGCAUGAAAUUCAGUUUCUUUUUUCUUUUGAAUUUUAUUGCAUGCUAUGUGAUUCCCUGGCUGGUACCUUCUCUUGCAAGCAAUUCCAGGUCCUUAAUUAUUUCUUUCACUUGAAGAAAUAUGCAGGUACAGUUAUAAAUCGACUUGAAGAGUAUAUUUCUGUUAAUUGAUUCUUUUUACCAUUUUGACUGAGAUUGUGGAGUAAUUGGGUGCUUGUUGUUUGAGCAUCUUCUUUGAUAUCAUGUUGUUUUUCAAGAAAUAUUGCUCUCAUCUUUUGCAUGUGAUAUUAAUUUGGACUUCUUGCUUUUUGCAGGAACUGCUGUUAGCUGGUGGCCAUAUGUACUAGCUGUUUUUGGUGUUUUUACUGUAGUAACUAUGUGGGCAGUUGUUGUGACUGAGGGUUGCCGGAAAAUCAAGCUGCAGUAUUUUGGUUUUAAACUUGCUUCAGCUGCAAGGUUAUGCAUAUUGGCCUUUACAAUACUUACGUACUCUUGUAUAAAUUAGUAAUGACUUUGCAUUGCCAUGAUAAUUGAUAAGGACGUCAAAUCUGGUGACAGAUUGAAUUCACUUAAGUUUGCCAGAGUUGAACUUAAAAAUUGAAUCUCUGCUCUAAUUUGUCACACUUUUGGAUAUAGACUUAGCUAUAACUUGAUUUUUGACUAACUUAGAAACUAUUUGAUUUUUUCUCAUUUAAUUAAAUGUAACCCAGCUUGCGUUAAUGUAAGAUUUCUGUUUGGUUGCACCCUUAUUGAUCAUUAGACCCUAUGUUUUGAGCAGAGAAGAUUCUCCAAUUAUUGAGGUGGAGCCUUACAUCCCGUUCAACAUAAAUCCUUCAGGGAUGCAGCCUGUUCUCACAACUUCUUACCUAUUGGCUUUUCCCGGCAUCCUAGCAAGGUAACUUCAUCUGUGAUUCAGCACUUAGUCGUUUUCAGUGGUUCCAUUUUGGUUUCUAUCAAACUUCAGUGCUAUAAAUCAUUCUUCAAUCUAAAACUUGUCCAAAGCCUCUUAAUUGCAUACUAUCCAGCACACUGGCUGCGGAUAACUGGAGCCUGCUUGUUUUCCUGGUUCUUGUGUUUUUGGUUGUUUCUUAGCUAGAGCAGUAUAAAGCCUUGCAGUAAUAUUGUUAUUUUCUGGAGAGUUUUUGCAGAUUAAAUUCCUUGCUCUGUUCUGUUUCUUGUGGUCCUCCAAUUUGCCACUAACUAUACUGGUGUCUAUCUGAAAAUGCCGAAUUGAUAUCUAUUUAACUUUAAAUGAAGUAUCUUGUGAGCAAUUCCAACCUAUAACUCUCUCAUUUGGUACUUUCCUGACAGCCUUCUUGGUUCACGCUUUUGGGAAAAUGUGAGAAAUACCCUGAAUCCUGAAACUUCUCUUGGUGCUGAGCCAUGGGUUUAUUACACAAUUUAUGCGUUCUUUGUGUUCCUCUUCAAUAUAUUUGACAUUGUAAGUUUUCUCACUCCACUUCAUUCUUUGUUGAUGUGGAAUACAAUCUACAAUAAGAUCCAUUGCUUUCUUCUUUCUGAAUCUCUUCAUAAAUUGACUUGAUAGUUUCAUAUAAAUGACUAGCAAGGGUUGUUCUUUAACACCAAAAGUUGUUGGAUGUUUUAGUGAUAAUUUCGUCCUUCAGGAAAAUAUACCCGAUAACAGAAGCAUUUUGGGGGUCUGUUUUUGGGGCAUGUUUCAAUUUUUAAGAAGUGGAAGGUAUCCUAUUGUGCUUCAAAAUGCUCUCAGCAUAAUGUAAUAAAAAGGAUGGUUUAACCAUCCUUUUCAACUUUGGAAUGUAAAAAGGUAUAAAUUUUGGUCGUAAUAAGAUGUAAUUCUCCCACUUGAUAUUAACUUAAUGCUGCAGCAGAGUCCAAUUCUAUUGAUAUUAAUUUUUGAUUGCGUGGUGUGUUUGAUGAUUUAUGAGAGGAUGAGAGGAUGAGAUCUCAUUCUUUCUUUUGCUACGGGGACAUGUAUCUGUAGGCAAACAUGCCCAAGGAAAUAGCUGAUUAUUUGAACAAGAUGGGGGCCAGAAUUCCACAUAUAAAGCCUGGAAAGGCUACCAUUGAAUAUCUGACAAAAGUUCAAGCUUCAACACGUUUUUGGGGUAUGGAUCAACCAAUUCUUCCUUCAAAUUUCAAAUUUCAUCUGAUGCUAUUACUAGUUCAGCAACGCUAUAUUUGCAUCUUCUUUCACACUUGGGGUUCACCAGGUCGCAUGCUGAACACCUGCAGGUGGUUUAUUGUUAAGUAUUUUGGCCACCACAUCUACAAUACUUGAUCAUUAUUUACGCCGCAUCAAUGAGGGAUUUGCAAUAGGUUUCACGUCAGUUUUGAUAAUAGUAAGUCUUUUACUCUUGGACCCUUUUUGAUAUUAAUUUCUCCUCCUGCCUCACGUUAACAAGGCACUUGUCUGCAUGUUUGCAAGUUACUACACCUUUUGUUCUCUUUGCAUAUCACAUUCAUAGAAAUUACUAUAUGGAAAGGGUAUUGCUCUCUCUCUCUCUAUAUAUAUAUAUGUGUGUGUGUGUGUGUGCAUCCAAAUGACCCACCUAUCUGUAUAUAUAUUUACACACAUACACACACACUCGCAUGCAUGUAAGUUCUUAAUUAAUUACCCAUUUUCUCUCUCCAAGGUGGCAUAACUAACUGAAAAGAAUUGAUGGGUCAUUUGGAUAGUUGUGUUUUAAUUAUAUUCAUAUCGAACUCUUCUCUAACUAAUUCUUCUCAUAAUUUCUCUCUUUUUUAUCAACUUAAUCCUUUUUAAUAAAUUUAAAUUAUAUUUUAUUAUGGUUUUCCUCUCUCUUCUAAUGAACUUUAUUUUUAUUUAUAAAUUCACUUGAUUUAUUUUAUCCAUAUGUAUCAAUUUUAUUUGGUGCUAAUGUACGGGUUAAAAUACUUGUAUUUUAUGGUAUUUGAAGUCUUGAAGUUUGUCAUGGAUCUAAUUAAGACUAAAUGAGAUGACGAUAGCCAGCGAUUUCGAUUUAUCUGCUUGCUGUACAUGUGGCUGAAUGAUUGAUUGGACUUUCAGGGAAGGAAACUUCCCCUUGUUAGUCAUAAAAAGAGAGAGGACGACUGGUUCUUGAAUGCAGCCAAAGUUGGGAGUUAACAAUCUGAAUCACUUAACCCUCCUGAAGAAAACUUUUUAUUGCUUGUUAUGAGCUGAUAUGUCAUAAAGGAAUAAUUUUGAUGUACACUGGAGGAGACACAGGUUGUGGAUUAUCAUAUGACCUCAUAAACCAGAAUGUACCAUGUAGAAACUCAAACACAAACCAACUUCACCAUUAAACCUGAAAAGAGAGAGAAAUAGUCUUUGAAGAGUUUAUUAGUGUGCACUAUUUGCUAGGAAUUUGGCAGCAAGCCUGUAGGUUAGGUGGGAUGACAUUUUAUUUUUCCAUAUCAUUGACUUGAUUGGGUUUUCCUAGUGAUUCAUGUUUCAGUCCUGGAUUACAGCAGGUCUUUUGGUAGCUAUGAUUAAUUUCAUUCAACAUCUAACCAACUCCUUGUUCUUCAAUGGUUUGUAGGUGGGUUCAAUCAUUGAACUCAGAAGAUCUUAUCAAGCUUAUAAUGUGAUGCCAAGUCUGAGCAAUGCAUUAAGGCGUUAUGGUGUUUAACAUCUUCACAUGCUGGCUAAACUCUCUCAGAACUCCCUCCAUGAUAUAUUUUGGUGGAAAGUGUGGUAUUUGCAAAAGAUCUUUGAUCCAUGGUUCACUGGAGAUUGAAGAAGCAGUUGGUCUUCGUAGAGGUCUGGUCAUUUUUUGGGGGAACAAGACGAACUAUUCAGAGCUGACUCGGUAUGCAAAGCAUUUGAAGUCUAGAGCCACAAUGACAGGAGGCACUUGCUUCAACGCUGGAAAAGGAAGUUCUUGCUCCGCUCCUUUCCUUGCCAUGAAAACAGCAAAUCUCUUGGCUUAAUGGUUUGCAUGUUUAAGAGCGAUUUUCUGCAGAUUAGAGAUCAGGAACCUGCUAUCUGAAAUGAUUGGUGCAUGCUCAUGAAUUGAUGGAUCUCCUUAUUUGUACCCACAGGAAAAAUGACUAUGAAUUUGUGGAUUCAAUCAAGUCAGUGGUAAUAGCAUCUCCAGAACUUGCAUAGCUGCAAGGAAGCUUGGUCGUCCGUCCUAUGGAAAAGUCUGUUUAACUGGCUGAUUCUAGGGUUGCUACACAGUUGUAAACCUGCAUGUUUAAUGUGUAGACGGUAGAUGUAUGUUAUCGUAAUAGCAAGGCCUAGUUGCAGAAGAAUUGCCGCCCCGCGGGCCGGGGGGGGGGGAAUGGUAGAGGUGACAAUUUGUCCCAAGUCCCAAUGGGUUACCCAUGCCCAUGGGGACUUUGGGCGGGAUGGGUAUUGAAUUUUGAUAUUGGGUUUAAAAUGGGACAAAUCCCAAUUAUACCCAUUAAUUGAUGGGAAUACUUGGGAAAUACUUGGGUACCCAUUGGGCUCAAAUAACAAGGGCUCUGUUUGGUUUAGCUAUUUUUGGGGGGUAUUUUUGAAAUAUUUUAUUAUAGCAGUGUAUAUGAAAAAUUUUUACUAUAAAAUUUUUUUGAAAUAUUUGAUAUACUAAUAUGGAUGGGAUGUUUUUUGAGUUAUUGUAUAUUACUGUAACAUUAUAUUUGAAAAACUUAUUUUUUGAAAAAAUAGCCAAUCCAAACGGAGUCUUAGAUUCAAAAAUUAUCUUUAACAAUUUUUAUAGUCAUACUAGAGAAUAUAAUCUAGUAGUUUUCCUAGUCAUUGUCCACAAGAAUUUUCAACAUUUCAGUCAAUUUAGACCUGUCAUCUUUGGACAAUGAUGAGAAUAAAUAUUCAACACCUUAAGUACCUUGGCCAUCUUGAUAUAUGUUGGAAUAUGACUGUAUAUCUAUUUUUUCUUUUAUUUGUUAAUCCAAUUUUUGAUGGGAAUCUUGAGUAUAAAGCACUUGCAUGUUUAUUUAAUAAAACUAAAAAAAUUUAAUAAAUAAAAAAUAUUAAAAUUAUAUAAAAAAUAAAAAUGAAUUAAAGGAAAAAAAAUAUGUAGAAAAUAGAUUUGGGUAUUGGGCGGGAUCAAUCUAAACCCAUCCCAAAGUGAUCCCGCCCAAGUUAGUCCCAAAACACAUAUGGGUAAGGUUGGUCCCAAACCCAUAUGACUCGGUUCUAUCACAAACCCAAGCAAAUCCCGCCCAUCCCGCCCAUUUUGCCACCUCUAGGGAAUGGAUAGAGGAAUAGCAAUUUUUUGAAAGAAAUUGCAGACAGUAGCGAUUGACUAUAUGCAAUAUUCUGGAAAUACAUGUAAACAUACACAGGGUAGCUAUUAGCCAAAAUCCAAAUACUACUAUAAAGUAGGACCCAUAUAUAUAUAUAUCUGUUAACGUUUGUGGAAAAAAAAAAUACUAUAAAGUAGGACCCGGAAUCAAGGACUGCAAGGUACUCGCCCUUGAACUCUGUUUAUAAUUGAGUACUAGUAAUUUAAUUUGAAAAUGUGAAUAGAAUUGAUGUUUUACUGCACAAGCAAAUAAAUCAAGAUGCAUAUGUUUGUCAUGUCACUGCUCUAUAAAACUCAAAUCUACUAAGUAAUAGAGUGUUGUAUUAUUCUAGGAGCUUAUUCUCUUGGGGUUGGUUGUGCAUUUCUGCUUCCCUCAUAUCUCUAAAGCCUGUAUCAUAUUAAGGUGUCAUUCUAAAAUUUUGGCUCAAAAAAAAAAAAUUAAACUGACUGGUAUUAAGGAGUGUUUGGAUAGCAUUAUUAUUUUAAAUAAUAUUUCGCUUGCAUUAUAAACACAUUUUCUAACUCACCUUUUUAUAUUCCCAACCACCUUUUUAUUUCACAUACAUCACAUCACAAAAAGUAUUACAGUAAUUAUUUCAAAUAAUAUUUUAAAUAAUACCAAACAAACAAAUUGUUUCGAAAAGGAAAUUUGAAAUUACUAUUUUAAAGCAGAUGCAAAAUUAGAUGUUACUACUGCUAGUACUACUAGUAAUGUAAUCAAAAAAACAUAUAAUAACAUUCUACUAUUAUUUUCUUUUUUUGUUGUCUUUAUAACUCGAAGGAAAUUGAACCACGUGGAUGCACUACACACCUACCUGAAUUUUUUAAACAGAGCCGCUUUAAUGUGAUAAAUUGAUGGGAGGUAAAGUUUCAAUCAAUCAAGUUUUAAAUUGAUGGAAGGUAUUCUCGCGGUCUUCUUGCUUUCCCUAUCAUCGAGUUGAGCUCUUCCAAAAUCCUCCUCUCAGCAGCAAAAUUUUUGAAGAAUUUUAGGCACAAAUAAAUAUUAUGUGUUGUAAGAUACUCACCUAAUUAUUAGAAACCUUAUAUGCUUUGAAAAAUGUGGCAAAGCUGUAAUUCUAUUUAUUUAUUUUCAUUUUGUGGGUGAUUAAAGUUUAAAAUUGACUGUUAAACUUGUGCGUCAAAAUUCAAAAUAUAACCUAAACGUCAGAAGCCUGCCUUCUGCCGUAAUUCAAACAAAUUGAGAGAAAUUGACAGUUGAUUAUUUUUUUAAAUAUAUUUUUUUAUAUUAUUAUUAUAAUUUUUAAUACACUUUUUUAUUUUUUUAAUUACCUUUUUAUUUCACAUACAUCACAUCAUAAAAAGUGUUACAGUACAAAUAUCUCAAUUAACUUACGGUCCAAACAAACUUAGCAAGAAUUCCCCACCUCCAGCUCUCCACUCGUCGUAGGUCAUAUUUUCCGGCGAAACGCUGCUGCUCCACCUCAACUCCUCUCCUAAGUGAGGAAUGGAAGAAUCAGCCAUCGGAAGUUGGGAGAUGCAGGAGUUUACCGACAUCGACACAGCAUCCGACUCCCUCAACAGCUCCGUCAUUUUCCACGUCGUCACCGACAUUCUCGCCUUCGUCCUCUAUAUGCACCAUCAAAUCCCUUCGUUUGCACACUAGCCUCAUCUGCUCUUUUUUUUUUCUUUUUCCUUUUUCCUUUUUCCCCUUUUCCCGUUGACAGUUAAAGAUUCUGCCAAAAAAAUUUUUUCAAAUUAUACAAUCCCCAACUAAUGCAUUCGUUUUUACUUUCUCUCCAUAGUGUUUUGCAGGAUAUUAGCCUCGAAUUUGACGAAUUGCAGAAGGAGUACAAGGAUUUGGUGAGUAGAGCCUACUUUUGUGCUUGUCAUAUUGAUUUUCCUCUGAAAACCCAAGGAUGUAUUUUUUAAAAAAUUUAAUUAUGGAAUACUAGGAAAUACUACUAGCUUCGCAAGCUGAGAUGAAGGCAUCCUUAAGGAGAAAGCACGUUUCCAGAAAGAGAGAGGUGAAGCAGGGUAUCAGAAGACUGGAAAAAUUAAUCAACUCUGUCUCUAAUUUCAAGACUGCUCUUCAGCUCUUGAUCCCUCAGAUUCCACAAGUUGAGCGGCUAAUUCUGGUUCUUGGACCUAGUCCCUUAAGGCCCAUACAUCUCUAUGAACUCUGUUUUUCGAGCGGAACAACUGUUUCCCCUGAUUUUGUCAGAACAAAAGUGGCUGACGGAAUCUGCAGAAAGGUUUUCCAUCCCUCUUUCUCUGUUAUCUCUCCGUCCUCUUUUAUAAUUUUCAGAGAUUGGGAGAACUAGUGCGUCGCAUUUUGUAUCUGGGCUUGUCCUUCGGUUCUUAUGACUUAUUCACAAUUAAUUUUUGGGAAGGCCAUUCGCACUUUGAUCUCGGGAGGCGCUGGAUCAAAUAGCGACUCAUAUUCCGGUACUUGAAUGUACAUAAUGUGUCUUUCCAAGGAUUUAAUAGUGUGUUAUUAGCUAAUUUGUUUCGAUGGAUUGAAUCUAGGCCCUUCAAAGCUUUUCUUGUUGGUAAAAGCUCCCUCCUCGUUGAAUUUGCCUUUACAUUUUCUUCCCAAGCGUGAGUUCAGAUACAAUAAGAAGGUAAAACUAUAUUAGCUUGCUUUUCAUGCAAAUGGUGUUCCCAUGAUAUACUGCCUUUCAUAUUUGUUUCCUAUUUUGUCACUCCUACAAAACAUUGUAGCAUCAUUGGUUUUUACUAUCAUUUUUGUUGAUAGUGGCAUUUCACUUGAAAACUUUGAGAUUAGUGCAUCUUUCUUAAAGUAUUAUUGGUUUGAAAUUGCCUUGUCAAAAUAUAGAAAAGAUUCGGCUGUAAUGGGGAAACGUAAUUCUGCAAAUCACUGCAUGAUGUUAACUUUGAUAAGAAUAGUAUAAUUUCAAAAGAUCCAGUGGAAGUAUCUCUGAUGCCUUUGAAAUUUUAUGAUGUCAGUCUGAUUUAUGCGUUAACUUUUCUUUGAUGCUUCCUGACCCAUGAAGCUUCGAUAUAGUGAUUUUGUCAUUUGUUGCUGUUAUUGCAACAGAGACCGAUACAAAAGCAUUUUUCCGUUGUUUUUUGUGCAGAUAGCGCCAUUUAAGUUGCGGUUCAAGUGCAGAAGUGAACAGCCGGCGUUGAAUGCUCAAGUUGAUGACCCUCAACCUGCUAGCUCCGUGUUGAUGAAUUCAACAUCAACUGAUAACGUUUGGUACUUUCUGUCCUUGCAAAUGUAAUGAUUUUAUUUUUAAUGAGUUGUUAAGUUCGAAGACGAUAUCUUGGUUCUUCUACUUUGAAUCACGAAACCUGUAACGAACUGAUCCAUUUCUUUAAUCCCUGUUCUCUUCUGUAUCAGCUUGUUGCCAAUCUCUGAAUUUAAGCAAUGCGUGUCAUCUCACGGCAUUUGUAACAUCAUUCAUUGUCAAAAAGCCUAUUCCUUUGGCUUUAAUGAUCAGGCAUAUUCUCUUCAGUGUCUUUCCUUGGCUUCAUAACUGUGCCUAUUUUCAUUUGUUUUGCAAUUUUGUCCUUAGAAGUUAGAGCUCAUCCACUCCUUUGUUUUUUUGGUCAGUUUGGACUACAAUUUAGCGCUCAUCCACUCCUUUAUUUAUUUAUUUAUUUGUCAGUUUAGAGUACAAUUUGGAGUAUGUACUCUCAGAUUAAUGGCUGUUUAGAUAUUGGCCCAGUUGUUUGCAUGAUAAUACUAAGUUUCAUAAUUAACUCAACAUACCUAUAAUAUUUAAAGAAAAUUAUAUCGAUUGUGGCUCAGUGAUCUUAUCAAUUACUACCAUUGUUUUCCAAGAGUGUUUAGCAUAAAAUGAUUAUGAAAGCUUUUGCUUUGGCAUAGGGAACUUCUCUAUUUAUGCUUGCCAUGUCUUCGCAAGGAGUAAUUCUUUUUCAGCAAACUUUGCAGGUUUCAGUGUCGGCACAUAAUCAAGGGCCUAGCUUCCAAAUCAUUGUCAACUGAAGGGUGAUGUUUGCCUCGUCACUCUUCACAAACUAAAACAUGACAGAUAAUUUUUUUUGUUGUUACAGGAUGCAGCAAUGUUGUCCUAGUGGUAUUUUUUUCUCUAAUCCGGGAUGCAGAUGCAAAGAACAUUUGGUAGUUUCUUUUUCUUUCUUUAGGUUUGGGAAGCAUAUAAAAAGGAAAUGUGGCUUGAAGAAGCAAUGAAAAUUUCAUUCAUGCAAUUCCUCUUCAUUGUCAAAUUGUUCUAGAUCAACAGUUCUCACAAAUCUGACAUAGAGACUUGUACACAUCUUUACCAUCAGAUUUGCUUCUCUAUUUCCUGUACAUCGGCGGACUCUUAGGGUAACUUGUUGAUACAGAUUAUUUGGAAUAUUAUUUGAAAUGUAUAGUACCAUGUAAUGGGGAGAGGAAGUGACUAGUAUUUAAAGCAUUCAAUUAGCGGGUAAUGUAAAAAUGAAAAAUAAUCAACGAGACAACAAGAGAAAGAAUAAACAUAUAUAAAUUAUCCCUAAACUAUUUAAAAUUCCUCAAUUAGUCCACUAAACUUUGUGGUUAAACUAUUUAUGCAACUAAUUAAAACAUACAUUUUGUGACAAAAAAAAGUGCGAUGCUUUGGUUGGUUGAGUGGCUAAAAGUGUAAGUAACUAAAUAUAUAUUUUAUAAUCGUUUAAAUGACCAUUUUGACUUAAAAAAAAAGUUAAGUGAGCAAAUAGAGAAUUCUUAAUAGUUUAAUCACUAUUUUUGCCAUUACCACCAGCCCUCCUCCCUCUCCCUCCCCACCAACCCAUUCCAAAAAAAACAAAAAAAGAAGAAUCGGUUGCAACCCUACUAUAGGAAUUGUGAAAUGGGCCUAAGGGUCUAACAUAAGACUCAGGAUUUAAUGGAUCGCUCUUGUGUCAUUGGUUAGUUCUUUAGUCUUCCAGAAAUCCAGACUCCUACAGUCCUACUUAAGCUAAUUAGACCAAUACGACAGCGUUAAAACUCCUAUAUAAACCGCAAGGCUUGAACAGGCAGAAGGAAGGGGAAACGCCAUCUCCGAGACCGGCGAGUUUCUCUACGCCGUUCAGUCGUCGUCGUCGUCAGAGGCGAAAGCUUAAAAGCGUGAGAGUGACGCGAUUGAAAGAUGAAGUUCCAAAUAGAAGACGUGACGGUUUAUUUCCCCUACGACAACAUCUACCCGGAGCAAUAUGCAUACAUGGUGGAACUGAAGCGUGCCCUAGAUGCCAAGGGCCACUGCCUUCUAGAGAUGCCGACUGGCACCGGUAAAACCAUAGCCUUACUUUCCCUCAUCACCAGCUACGCACUUUCCAAGCCUUCCAAUCCGAUCAAGUUCAUCUACUGCACUCGCACAGUCCACGAAAUGGAGAAAACUUUAUCCGAGCUUAAGUUGCUCCACAAUUAUCAGUUACAACACCUAGGCCCGGCCGCCAAGAUCCUUGCCCUAGGUUUAUCUUCCAGAAAGAACUUGUGUAUUAAUCCUACUGUGGUUUCCGCUGAGAAUAGAGAUUCCGUCGAUGCGGCUUGUCGCAAACUUACUGCCAGUUGGGUUCGCGAGCUCGCUGCUGAAAACCCUAGGAUUCCGACUUGUUCCUUUUUUGAGAACUACGAGAAGUCUGCUUCUGAAGCCAUUCUGCCUCCGGGGGUUUAUACCCUGCAGGUUACCUUUUUCUUCUGUUUUAAAGCCAUUUUCUCUCUUUUUCCUCCAUUAGUUCGUGGUCUGUAAAUUUUGCUAUCGGUGCAUACAACUGGGGACUCUUGAGCUUCUAGUGAUUUCUAGGUUAAGAUGGAUCUCAAUUGCUGUUUUGAUUAUGCAGGAUCUUAGAGCCUACGGGAAGUUGAAAGGAUGGUGCCCAUACUUUUUAGCGCGGCACAUGGUGCAACUUGCAAAUGUGGUGGUUUAUAGCUACCAAUAUUUGCUUGAUCCUAAGGUUGCAGGCAUUAUAUCCAAAGAGAUGCAGAGAGAAUCUGUCGUGGUGUUUGACGAGGCCCACAAUAUUGAUAAUGUAUGUAUUGAGGCUUUGAGUGUCAGUGUGAGGAUGCAGACACUCGAAGGGGCUACUAGGAAUAUCAAUAGGAUGUCUCAGGAGAUAGACAGGUAUGUACAAGUCAGAGUCAAGUGUCCAUUGCCUUUCUAUUUAAGUAUGUUCUUCCCCUAUAUACACGAGCUGUCUUCUAGUCUGUACUUUAGAAGAUCAGAGCAGUCUAACCCGUUUUGUUUGUAUUUUUAGCAACUUCUAUAAGUAACAGUACCCCUAAAUUCUUGCAAUUGCUGCUUGUUUUGAAAAAUCUGCUAUUUAAAUUACUUGAGGACCAUAUUAUGCUCUUCUCUGCUCAUUGGUACUUGUACAUUGUGAAACUCAAAUGACGAGUUUAACAAUUCCCUUUCUUUGAACUUUUUGGCAUGGUAGGAAGGUUUAAGGCCACUGAUGCUGGUCGACUUCGUGCCGAGUAUAACCGACUUGUUGAAGGUUUGGCUCUAAGGGGAGAUCUGCCAGGUAAGUUAAUUUAGUAUGGGCUCUACAUCUGAUAGUCUUCCACUCACUCUUGAUAGUGAGAUCACUUGGAUUGUCUUUCUCUCUUGCUGCAGCUUCAGAUGCCUGGCUAGCAAACCCUGCCUUGCCUAAUGAUAUUCUAAAGGAAGCAGUUCCUGGGAAUAUAAGGCGGGCAGAGCAUUUCUUGUCUGUUCUCCGGAGAUUAGUUCAGUAUAUUAGAGGACGCUUGCAGACUGAAAAUGUUGAAAAGGAGGGGCCUGUUGCCUUUGUUGCUUCUGUUAACACUCAAGCUGGAAUUGACCAGAAAAUGUUGAGAUUUUGUUAUGACAGGCUUCACUCAUUGAUGCUAACUCUGGAGAUAUCCGACACAGAUGAAUUCUUGCACAUACAAACUAUUUGUGACUUUGCGACACUUGUGGGAACAUAUACUCGAGGAUUUUCAAUUAUAAUUGAACCUUUUGAUGAGAGGAUGCCACAUAUUCCUGACCCAGUGCUGCAGGUAUGCUUAUGUCAUGACCAUCUUCCCAAGCUCCCACCCCCCCCUGCCACCAAAAUUCCCCAAAAAAAAAGUUUUAGAAUACAAAUAAGUUGCAAAUGGUGAAUACUUAAUGAACAAUAUCACAUAUGAGCAGUAAAAUGAGACUCCUUUUGUUUCUGUAUGUCCUUUAUUUGAAGAAGCAAGACUGUGAUAUAAAACAUAGUGGGUACAGCAAGAAGACAAAUUGUUGUUUCUUCAGCUUCUGUAUUUACCAAGGAAUCUAUAAUUUGGGAUGUAAUGGUCCUUUUUUUUGGGUGGUCAUUGUCUUUUCAAUAACUGCAUUGGAAAAUAAUAUUUUUCUAUUAAAUUUCAGCUAUGCUGUCAUGAUGCUUCUCUUGCCAUAAAGCCUGUUUUUGAACGAUUUCAAUCAGUUGUUAUAACUUCUGGGACUCUCAGCCCAAUUGAUCUUUACCCACGUCUUCUAAAUUUUAACCCAGUUGUUAGUCGAAGCUUCACAAUGUCCUUGACUAGGGAUUGCAUAUGCCCUAUGGUCCUCACACGGGGAAGGUAUGCCCUUUAACUAUUGUAGUACAUGUAUUAGUUGCCAAUUUUUGUUUUAUGAUUAGGUUGAAAGUCUACUGGUUCACAUCAUUAUAUCAUUCUUUUUCCUGUGGCAUGUCAUUUAGUGAUCAGCUUCCUGUAAGUACGAAGUAUGAUCUGAGAAGUGAUCCUGGUGUUGAAAAAAACUAUGGAAAGCUUUUACUGGAAAUGGUAUCUGUUGUUCCGGAUGGAAUUGUUUGUUUCUUUGUCAGCUACUCUUACAUGGAUGGGAUAGUCAAUAGUUGGCAUGAAACAGGUCUUCUGAAGGUGAUAAUAGCCUCUGAUCUUUCUCAAAAUUUCCAAAGAGAACUUUAUCUUUAUUUCUUUUUUUUCUGUAAUUUGCCUAGUUUCCUUGUUCAUUCCACUUUAUCCUUGCUUUUCCUAUUCUUUUAUAUUGAAGAGUAUUCUAAAUCGUAAUUUAUUGGCGAAUGGCUCCUUCUUUUUCCCUGACAUGUUACAGGAAAUAAUGCAACAUAAACUGGUUUUCAUCGAGACUCAAGAUGUUGUUGAAACCACAUUGGCUUUGGACAACUAUCGCAAAGCUUGCGAUUGUGGAAGAGGAGCUGUCUUUUUCUCAGUUGCGAGGUAGAAUCAUUGAACUCCUAUCUCCCUUUCCUUCCACCAUCAGUUCAGUACUUAAGGUGCAUAUAUCUGGUGGUUAUUCAACUUUUUGCUCGUUAAGUGGUUCAAUUGAUGAGGAGUAUUCAUGAUCACUGCUCAUUAGGGAUGAUCAUAUAACUCUAGUGAUAUCAUCACAUAUGUCAGAACUUAUGAGAUUACUUCUGCCUUUGCUGUUGCUGCAGCAUUAAUUCAUAAAAGAAUUUUUUGUGUAUUUGAAUUGUUACUGGACUUGGUUUACUGGAUUUUUGCUUGAAACUAUUGCUGAUAUGCCCAUCUUUAGAAAGUGAUACCCAUGUUUUAAUUGCUGUUAUGUAAAUUCAUGGUUUUCAGCAAAAGGCCUCUAUGGAAUAUUGUAUGCUAAAUUGGCAUCUUUCCUACCUUCUGUUGUAAUGGUGUUAUGCAAUUUCUUCCUUGUAGAAGUUUCUUGUGAGCCAAGAUGUCACACAGGAUCAAGGGGGCCUUUUUUUUUUUGUUGGCUACUCUUUGGUGAAUUUUGUCUUUUAGUCUGUUAGUAAGGGAGUGCUAAAGGGCUUGACUGUCUCCACUGGAUUGACUCAAUUACAGGGGCAAAGUUGCAGAAGGUAUUGAUUUUGAUAGGCAUUAUGGUAGGCUUGUCAUCAUGUUCGGCGUUCCUUUCCAGUACACAUUAAGCAGGUAACCUUUCUGCAGGGACUGAACCAGAAAAUUUAAUUUGAGGGGGGCAAAAUGCAUAUGCAUAUAAACUUUCAAAUCAACAUAAUAUUUUUUUGAAAAUUAUUGGGGGGCAAAUAGCUUAAAAUACAUAGGAAUUUUAAAAAAAAUUUAAAAUUUUAAGGGGACAAAAUAUGAAUAUCUAGAACUUGGAGGGGUGGGGCCCCACCUCUUCUCAACCUCCCCCCCCCCCCAACGGGGGCUUCUGUCCUUGUUUCUGCUACUUCUGUUAUUGAUACACGAAGAGAUGUUUUCAGCAUUAGUCGGCUUGCUUUUUGUGGGCACUAAUACAUGUUGACAUUGUCUCAAGCUUUACAGCUAAGACGUUCAAAAGAUUAUAUUUUUUAUUAUGCCCUCAGCUAAUGGUGGUUGACUUUAAUAUUCAAAUGCUACUAUUGACACUGGUCUUUUUAAUCAUCAAUAAGAUUCUACAAUAGCCAGGCUAUUUUUUUUCGAGUUUAUUGGUAGCAUAAUUUGUAGUCCGAAUCUUUCUGUGCUGCAUGUCCCACUGGAUAUUAAAUUACAGCAUUGGGAUUUUCUUUUAUGUACAAACGGGUUCAAACCUUCUUUGGUGUUUUUAACAGAUUUUCAUUUAUGAUCAAUUUUUAUUCCCUGAUGUGGCUAAUAUUGGUAUCAUAAACUGCAGAAUAUUGCUUGCAAGAUUGGAGUACUUGCGGGAUACUUUCCAGAUUAAGGAGGGCGAUUUUCUGACUUUUGAUGCUUUGGUACAUUUUGAUUGUUCCUGUAUCAUUUUUAAGAAACUUGCAUAUGUUUGUUUUUACAAUUGUUUGCAUGCAUCUUCAGAGACAAGCUGCUCAAUGCGUUGGGCGAGUUAUCCGUUCAAAGGCAGAUUAUGGGAUGAUGAUAUUUGCUGACAAGAGGUUUGUAGUUUUCAGUUUUAUAAUUAAUGAACAAGAAACUGAUUAAACAACAAAAGGUCUGUUGUUGGUGGUGUCGAAAGUUGCAUUUGAUAGGAACUGAAAAGGAAGAUAGACUAUUACCAUCUCUACAUGCUACAUGUAUGUUUUGGCAUCAACAAGGAAUCAACGGUAUGGAAGUCUAAGCUUGGUACAACCUGUUAGUUGCAGCAUGGAACUGUGGAUUUGGGUGGUGCCUACAAAAGGUUAUAGUUUCUUUAUAGAAUCAGCAAACUAUAAUUGCUAUUUUUGCUGUUGAAGAAAAGGGACAGGACUGGACUUUAAUGAGAGUAAACAUGACAGGUAGCCAAACUGCUUGGCCUUGUAUUUUGAGCUUGCUAGGUCAUACUACAAGAAGACCUCCUUCAGAAAUCAUACAUGAACAGUUAGAUUGGUUUCUGUUGAUUGUGGUGACUGUUGCCUUCUGCUUACAGCUUCACAUUUAUGAAAUUAAUUGAUCCUAUCUUCUGUUUUGUAUUCAGGUAUAGCCGUCAUGACAAGCGCUCUAAGUUACCUGGUUGGAUUUUGUCACAUUUACGUGAUGCACAUCUUAACUUGAGUACCGACAUGGCUGCGCAUAUAGCAAGAGAGGUGUAGUUCUAAUCCUAUCUUUGUGCUGCUCUUUCCUACUAGUGUCUCCACAAUUGCUUGCCAGGUCUAAAGCUUGAAUAGAGAGUGUGAUGGAGGGGGGGAUAAUAGAUUUUUUUGCAAAUAUCUUUUUCUGUUCUUUAGGGUUGUCAAAUGUCAUUCGUACUGUGUCUUUAAUACAGCAUGUUCAUGGAUAAUAGGGAAUUAAGGAAGAAGGAAUCUCAGAUGAUUAUCAAAGUCGCCGUGCUUGAUUUGAGUAUAGCAUGUGACUCUACAUGAGUUGGUGUAUUGGAUUUUCAUCAGGUUGAUGACAACUGGUAUUAGUUAUGGGCUUUUAUUGGCAUGAGCCACACACAGGGUAGCUUUAAGUGUGGUGCUUCUAUUUCAUCCAGAAUAGAAGUAUUAUUUAUUCUUUUGAAUGAUGCUGCCAGGGAUGAUGACUCCAAAGUAGGGCAGUUUGUUAUCCUUGUAUGUAUAAAGUGGUACUACAAAUGAUAGUAGAAAAUCAUCUGACGUGAACUAACCGCUUUAGGUUUAGUAGUCCUUAUUAAAAGCGCUACAUUUUCUGUGCUUUUUUUUUGGGGUAGGGGGUGUGGUCAGAGUGGACUACUUUUAACGCGUAUCCUUUCUUCUGGAUGCAGUUCUUAAGGAAAAUGGCUCAGCCAUAUGAUAAAACUGGUGUCAUGGGCAAGAAAACCCUUUUGUCAGAGGCAGACUUGGAGAAGAUGGGGAAUUCCAACCUUGGGGAAAUGUUCUGAAGAUUUUGGGUUAAGCUAAGCUGCAGUCUUGUUGGAUGCCUGUGAAUUCACCAAUUUUGUCGUAAAUUUUGACCUUUUUUUUUUUGGCUGUUGUUGCUACAGAUUGUACACUGGUUGAACCAGAAACUGAUCUAGAAGGAAAAAUCUGGAAAUAUGACAGGAGGGUUUUUUUUUUGGGGGGGGGGGGGGGGUGCGAAUUAGAGAAUUUUGCUUUUUUUGAGCGUUUUUCCUUUUGGAUUUGUCUAUUUACAGAAGAAUUUUGGGAUUUUGUUGGAGAUAGGGUGUUUGCAUGGCAAAUUAUUUUAAAUAAUAUUUUAUUUACAUCAUAAAUAUAUUUUUUAAUAUAUAUUUUUAUAUUUUUAAUUUUAUAUGCAUCAAAUUAUAAAAAAUAUUAUAAUAAUUAUUUCAAAUAAUACUCCAUCCAAACAAAUCGGAUUUGCACGAACAUCUUGGUAAUUGCUGGGAUUGUUGGAUGAGAAGGUGAAGGAAACUCCGAGAUCAUUUCAUUUGCUUUGAAUGAUGUAAAUAUUCCUUUUUCGUCGCUUGAGAUCAUUUGUUAUAUGUUAUCUUGUCUUGCAAGUGAAGUGGGGAAAGAACAUUGGGCAUUAAUGUUGCAGCCACAAAAUGCUCCAGCCUUAUAUUUGAGUUGUGAUUAAAGAAAUAAAAUAAAAGUUCGGAAAGGUUGAGAUAUAAUCCAGGCAUCAGCAAACACAUUUCAUUCACCUUGCACUUGCAGGGUUGAUAGCGAUGAAGGCGGGUUAUUUUUUAAGUGCUUCUAGACCUUGCUAGAAAAUCUGAACUCCCAGCCGAGGGGAAGGCGACGUCAAUAUUGCUCGCAUUUUAGGUCCCCAGUGUAUAAAAUAAAGCAUUUUAGGUCCCUAGUGUAUGAAAUAAAGCGACCUUUUAUUGGCUCCUUGAUUACAUUUCCAGCCAUAUUGUUGCCGUAAACGACGUGGAUACGUCAAGCAUUCGAAAUUUUAAGAGCAAAAUUGACAACUCACAAUUUUUGUCGAAAUUCCCACAAGCAACUCAAGUGCAAAUAUCAAUCAUCGGGUUAAAUAAAAAAAGUAAAUUUCAAAAUAAGGAAAUUGAAAGGAAAGCUCAAUUAGGAGGUUCCGAUGAGUGGAGCUGAGAAGAAAUUAAGACCAAGUAUUAUGACGAAUCAAUAUCAUCUUGCCCCGGAAUUCAAUAGAUUUGGUUUGUUAUGAUUCCUUAUGGGAGCAGGCAAUCGUCUUUAUUUUCACCAUUUCCUUUGAAGUGACUUUAUCUUCUUUCGUAAAUCCAUUUCUUUCCUUGCAAAACUCCAGCGGAAAAUACCUCCAGGGGAACUCCAGAUAAAGCUCAUCAUUGGGAUCUCCUGUGUGAAUGUAUCACAAAACUAACAAGAAUUUUUGACCUCCAUCUCUUCAAAAAGAAUUAAAAAAAUGAAAAUUUGCUCCAUAAGAGAGCGCCCAUAGAAACUUUUUUUUCCCUUGUUUUUUGGGUUCCAUGACACCAUCACCAUUGCUGGCUUCGCGAAUUAAAAUUUUUUACAAGUAAUCUCUAUCAAUUGCUCUUCUACAGUGCAGAUUAGGACACACAAAAUUCCAAUUGAUGUGGUUUAUUUGGGUUCUUCAAAGGGAAUAUUGUUAAAAAUAUCCCUUACAUUUUGAUGAAUAUUUUCGUCAUCCACUUUUAAAAUGUUAAAUUUACAAUUUUAAAUUAAUAAAAUGUGGUUCCAAUCUAAAUUUCCAAUCACUUUUUAGUAUGAAUCUGAAAUUACCACUUGACCCACAUGCAGUAAUUUUUAGUAUACAAAAAUGUCAGAUCUUACUUUUUAGUGGCAAAAUGAACAUAUAUUAGAUUAGAACCCACUUUUUUAGGAAAAAUAAAUAUGAUUAUGAUCAAAUCCUACUUUUUAAGGGUAGAAAUGCAUCUAGAUCAAGUUAUUUGCUUAACUACAAAUGGGAUCUAACUUUUUUGCCCCCAAAAAAAUGACUACAUAUGGGUCAUGUGAUGGAUUCAAGGUAAAAUAUGGUUUAAAAUUUGGGUUGGAACCAAAUUUGGUCGACUUAAUUUUAUAAGGAAUCUAUAUUCACUAUUUUAAAGUGAAGAGCGAAAAAAUUAUUUGACAAAAUCUGAUAAACGUUUUGAACGAUUUUCAUUUUUUCAAAAUGGUUUUGGAUAAAAUUUAUGUGGUUCCAAUUUUACCCUUAAAUUUUCAAAUAUGCCAUGUAUCUAUGGCUUUCUCUGACCAAAGCAUGGUUUGAAAUAUGAUCAAGGAAUAAAAAAGUUCGUUUUUAAUUUGUAAGGGACUAAAAUAUUUAAUUUUGUAUGUGGGAGACUAAAAUUUAAUAACACUAAAAUGUAAAAAACUAUUGGUGUCAUCUCGCUCCGGCAAAGAAUUGGUUGAUGGAAACUAAAGGAGGGGUGCAUUUGGGAAGGUGUCUAGGUUUCUAAAUCCCGGGUGAAAAACUGCAAAUUUUGUGGUAUAAAGAACCCCUAGUGCAAAUAAAUCAAACGUACCAUAGGUGUUUAAUAGGUACUUGUUAACCUACUAAAAUUGCAUCUAACGUACCAUGAGAACACGCAAUCACUAUUACUAUUAUACUUCCUACAUUUAGACACUUCAAAAUUAGCUACAUUUUUUCAAGGGUUAUUAUCACUUUACCCUCUUAAACUAUAUCACUACUAUCAGUUUACCCCCUAACAUUAUCUUUUAGUCAUUUUACCCCCAUAAGUAAUUCAACUCAACAUGUUAAGAAAUUUUGGACAAAAAUACCCUUUUAUUUUAUAGCAUUACUACAUUGUUAUUAUCACUUUAUUCGUUUGGAUUAUAGUGAUACAAUCACUUUAGUUCCUAACAUUAUUUAUUAGGCAUUUUACCUCAUCAUUAAUCUAACUAGUAUGGUCAAAAAAUUUUAAAUAUAUUUACCCUCUUUUAUAUAUAAUUAAAAAUAAAAAAUUUGGAAUGGUUAUUCUUCCUUUUUUUCACUUUGAGAGAUCGAAAAACAUAAAAAUAAAAGGAUUUUCUCAAAUUUCUUUUUUUUCACACUUAUUAAUACUAGGAAAAGAAAAAGAUAUAGGAAAGAAGAAAACAAAAAAUUAGAUUUUGCAAAAAAUAAAAUAAAAUAAAGAAAAGUCUAACAUUAUCGUAUUACUUUAAGGUUGUCGAGAUUAGAAUUGGAAUUUGGUGGUAAACAACAAAGUGAAAUAAUUUUAAAAUAAUAAAUGUAUUUAAUUCUUUCUUAUUUGUAAUUUUUUAAAAAAGAAUUGAGCUUCUCUCUCCCCCUCCCCCACCCCUUCUCCAUUUUUCUAUUUUUUUUUUCAAUAUUAAUAAGAUUGUCAAGAAGAAAGAAAUUAAUAUUUUGACUUUUUUUUCUUGAUACUAAAAAGGAGAAUAGUCACUCUAAAUUUUUUAUUAUUUUUAUUAUGUAAAAAGGAGGGUAUUUCUUCUAAGUUUUUUAACUUGCUAAGUUGGUAUGGUAGGAUAACUUAUCUAAAAAAUAACUCUAGGGGGUAAAUUGAUAAUGAGACUAUAUUUUAUGGGGGUAAAGUUAUAAUAAUUUUAAGGGCUAAACAUGUCUUUUUACUUUAAUUAACAAAUUUCGUUACGUUUGACCGUUAGUCUUGGGGGUACAGUGAUUAAAAGAUAACGUUAAGGGGGAAAUUGAUAGUACACCAAACGUUAAGGGGGUAAAGUGAUAAUAACCCUUUUUCCCAAAAAAAAAAAAAAAAAACUUAUACCUAAGGCCUCUGUGCCCAUUAGGCAACCAUUAACGAAACCGAUAAAAACGUAGGAAAUUUCUGCUCACUAUGAAUUUGAAAGUUAAAGAUUAUGCUUAACUAAUAUUUCAAUUAAACUAGUAAGAAAGAUUAAUUUCAAAAAAAUUGUAGAGGGAAAUUGUUAAGUAGUUACUCGUAGAUUGUCAUUAGUUAUCUGUUUAGGCUAGGAACACCUUGUCAUCUACUCGAUUAUCACAGUUUGAUAUCAUCCUGACUAGAUGAAAAAAAAAAUUUCUUGGUUGCCUAUCGAUGUUUAAAGCAAAUACUGAGGGAUUAUUUGGUUAAUUGCCCUUUUGACCUCCAUAAUGGUUGCCCUUCUACCAUUCCCGUAUUCUUUCACCUGAUAAAAAAAAUCAAAAAAUUUUUGGAAUGAGAUGGUCAUUGUAAUUGAAUUAAAAAAUCUUAUCCAACGAAAUUUUGCUAAAAAUUAGCAUUAUAGAAGUGAAGCCCCAAGGUAAGCGUACCUCGGGUAGCAUUAUAGAAGUGAUAUACCUUAGCCCUUAGCUCAGCAACGAAGAAGCCAUUGCUAAGAGAGGAUUGGACGGCUGUGAUCUCUACUCUAAGCUCCCUAAGCAUCUGCAUGACAUCCAACAACAGCCCCUCCCGGUGAGGGCACUGCAGCUCCACCAAUGCGUCACUUUCAAUUAUCGACACCUCCACCUGUAACACUCCCUCGGCCGGAGACACCACCGCUGCUUUGGGCUUUCCUCCGCCUGUAGGACUACCCUCCACUAUCCUCAUUUUCCUCCUAUCCAAUCCUUGUCCGACCUGUACUCGUGCCGCGGUGUUGUUGCUACUGCUUCUUUGCUCCUUGGCAUUCUUCUUGGGGUGUCCAUCGGCCUCCAUCUGCCGGAAACUUGCCUCGAGUUCUUGAAUCUUCUUCCUUAACUGCUUCACAUACUCGAUGGUGUCCCCGAGAAUGGAUGCCUUAUCCAUUUUGGUGACGAAGGGCACGAGGGACCUCAAUAUGAUGAAACGCUCAUUCAGUUUCUCCCUCCGGCGUCUUUCUGCUAGCACGUGGUUUGCGCUGAGCUCUUCUUGUGGGGUGCCUUUGCGCAAGCGGGAGGCUGAAUCUGAUAUUGCCGCUGCGUCUCGAGACUUUGGGGAGGUCUCGUCUCCGGAGUUGGAGGCAUGGAGGAAUGGAACCGUGAAGAGUAUGUAUUUGAGUGUCCAUUGGGAGGAGGAUCCUCGGAGGUUGCCGUGGGCGAGGCUGUCACAGCUGGUGGCUGGCCACUUGGAGAAUGCGGAGUGGAUGGAUUGGGUGACGUUGCCGGUCAUGCUGGAGGAGGAACACCGGCUUGAUUGGUGGUGAAGAACGGUGGACACUGUUUGAGAGAAAUGGCUAUCCUCUUGAGCGAACUCAUUCUCUGACAGUGGGACCCCUGUGGAAAAUUUAGAAUAAAAUUGAAUUUUUAGCAAAGAUUCAAACUAUUGCUAAGUUAGAAAAUAGUAGUAAUUCAAUGCGGUUUCAGCACGAUAAAGAACUCAUAUCUGCAUGGCUUUUCUACGUACGUGCAUGCAUGGAUGCGGUUUUCUAAAAUCUGUCUGACCAUCGUGAUCUCAGUCCAGCGGUUACCAUAACAAUUUUUCCAUAUACAAUACUUUCAAUAAACUCCAAAUUAAAUCAGGUAGAUGUGCCGUUUCACUAGAGUUGUGGAAUGGUAAUAAGAUAAUUUGAGUUCAAAAGACACGGUUUAAAAGUCACCUAAAUCUUCGUUAAACUAAUCAAUUCAAUCCAGCAAACAUAGUUCACAGUUCAAGAGAGGGCUCUUAAAAUUUUCUUCACUUAUCGAAUUCAAGGUUCGAGUUCUGAACGUGAUAGUUAAAGAUGGGAAGCGUGCACGAAGAGAGGUGGGACGUUAAAAAAAAUAGUUAGUAUGCUGGGAAGGUCUAGUUUGUGACAUGAGACCAUAUUAAAGGGAAAAAAAAUAAAAAUACCUGAUGUUGUUGGGGCUGGUUCUAGACUAUGAUUGAUGCCGGGAUCCUGUAUACGCGGCCAUCUAGGUGUGGACUGUGAUGAACACAAAUCAGGCCGGUUUUGCUGGACUUCCUGAUUCUUGUUUGGCCCAUGGGGAAGCAGAUGAUAGUCAGAGUCCCAAUUGUUGGAGCCAUCUUCUGGUGAUCCCAGCCUGAUAUCCUCGGACAUAUCAAGUUGCACUAGCUCGCUGGGCUCAGUAGUUUUGAUUUGAGGCAUGCUAUUAGGGUUCUGAACCCCAGAACUAGGGGCACUACUCUGAGGAACUGUCUCACCGUCAGAAUCUGAGUCAGCAACAGCGUCAGCGUCCGCGUCUUCUUCGUCGUCUUCUCCUUCUUCUUCCUCUUCUUCUAUUUGAUCACUAUUAUCUUGGGACGUGUGAAUUGUGGUGUAAGUAGCAGGCACUGGCACUGUGGAAGAAUGGAAACGUGGCCCUGAAGCAGUAGCUGGACUGGAAGUGGAGUGCUCGGAUAACGCAGGCUUUGGAGUCUGAUGAGGCUGUUGAUGCUCUGCGAAAAUGCUCUUGAUAUGUUGGACGAAUCCCAGAUCUUCUUGAACCUAAGAUCAAGAUAAGGGGAAAAAAAAAAAGAAAAAAGAAAUCAUUCCUUGACGGUCUAUUACUGCACCCCAUUUGUACGUGGUAGUUCUAGAGUGUUAUAAGCCUAGCAAAGAUGAUACAAGUGAAAUGGGUUUUACCCUUUCAACAGUUCCGAGUUCAACUACGCCAUCCAGCAAAGGGAUGCACACCACGGUCUGUAACUUGCAGGGAAAAGAGUUUGUAUCAUUAACAACCUACUCUUGCCAUACCAAGUCGAUAGUAAUGCUUUUGUACUGUCCGCAGAGAGAAAUUUAUUGGAAACUAAUGGCAGUGAGUUUUACCUGUAUGCGAGCACUCUGACGGAUUAGAGAAAUAAUUCACAAGAAGAGAACAAAUAAGGAAAAAGAGUUAGUGAACUUCAGCGAAUUUUUUGGAGCAUAUACAUGAUAAUUUGAAAGAACGAGGAUGAGGUACGUACCUUGGCAAGAAUGGCUCUUGUAAAGAGUUUGCUGUCAACCUCAUUUGCGCCUGUAAGCCAUACAUGUUGCCUCUUAGCAUAUGCCCUUCCUGGCAAUCUAUUGUGUGACACGUUUGAAGUACAGAUUAACUCCUUAGGCAAUCACCACUUAGAUCAAAUAUAUAAUCUAGUUCAGCGAAUUGAUUUGUUCUUUCGUUUCGUUGUGAUAAAAUCGUCAACCUAUCUACAAAAAACUAUACUUAUACUCAUUCAAUUCAAUAAAAGAAGGGCUUCACUUGUAACUUACUUCCCUAAUUGCAUUUGCUUCGUAUUAUAUAUGGAAGUGAAUAUAUAUAUAUAUAUAUAUAUUUUUCAUGUCUUCGAUCGGGAACUCUACGUGGACUGAUGGUUUUACUGUGUCAUAUAGUAUUUAUUGAGUCGAAAUCGGAAGAUUCUCGACGCCACAACAUUGGUGCAUUUUGCUUUCAGAUACAGUAAAUUUACACCCAUUUGAGAUGUAAAUGAAACUCAAAAUCUUGUAACAAUGCUACGUCCUUGGAAGUUUUAGCCGGUUAGCUGUAGGGUUACAAAAGAAUUUCUACUUGGCUUUAUAAGCAUGAAGUUCUUGAAAAAUUAAACAUCGAUCUUUGUUGUACCGCCGACAACUUUAUAAAAAUUUUGCAAGAUAUUUGUCGCCGAGUUACUAGUUAAGAUCAGCCAAAUUUCUCCCCCUACGCUUACAUUACAUUUCUGUAUACGUUUCUUUGUCAAGAAGUAGGACCAUUACUUGUUUAAUACAGCACCGUCAUUUAUUUCUGGCCGAGUGUUCAAGUCUUGACAGCAAUUUCCUCUGUCAUAUCUUUGAUUGACUUUCAGUGGCAAAGGCCAGAUUGUCAAAAACCAAAUUUGGAAAGAAAAAUUAAUUCAUCCAACCGAAGUGCAAGAAGUCCUCAAAAGGAGGAGGAUACAGCAAAACUAAUAAUAUGUUUUAAAUUUUGGGUGGGCAAAAAAACCUAAUUAGCAGGUUGAAGAAUUUUGGAGUGUUUUUUCACAAGUAAUAGUUCCAACUAGAGGUGUCAAAAUGGGUGACUUGAACACGUUAAAAUGGGUAUUAUCCAAGAAUACCCGUUUAUUAAAUAAGUAUUCUUGAGUAACUCAUUUAUAUCCAUAUGCAAAAAUUUAAGAUACGCACUCAUCUAUUUAUGGACGAGUAUGAAUAAAUUUAGUUAAAUGAAUUUGUUUGUCACCUAUAGUUCCAACGUCCAAAUGUCUCUAAAAUUAAUGCAAAGUCAUCAGUGGGCAGUUUAGUGUAUAGAAGCUUCAUUUAAGCCCAACAGUUUCAUUGUUAGUGUCUAAUUGCUUUUCUGAAUUUUAAUCACUCUAAUGCCCCCAAACCCCAUAAUAGUUCAUCAGAAACUGGAGGAUGAUACUCUAAGUUUCUAAUUAAUCCCACCUCUCUCUCUCUCUCUCUCUCUGUAUACGUAGUGAAUGUUGGAUACUGAACUAGGUCUAUUUGAAUGACACACUGCUGGAAAAAGGCAAAGCGGUGACUAUACAAAUCUCCAAAGCUGGGAGCCAUCGAUCGAGGAAAGAGACAACAAGCGAGUAAACAAAUACGGUUAUGGUUGUUAUACUUAUCUGUCGUUUAUUAAAUCAAGUGUCGAAAGAAGGAAAUCAUCAAAAUCCUAACUUUCUCUUUUAUCUUUCCGCAAUAAGACCUAUUUUUUUCUGCUUAUAAAACACAAGUAACAUCUAACAUGAAAACUCGGCAAGUUCCUACUGCUGUCUUACUACGUAUCAUGAAUAUGUGAGGAUGUUAAUGAAUGAACGAAAGCUCAAGUUAAAUCAUAAAUCAUAAUUAAGUAGAAGAGUAGAAGCUAAGCUAUUCUUUCAUGAAAACACACUUACCCUACUCCAGGAGCGAAAGAGAAGGACACACACAUCAAGUAAAACCAUUCAGACUCCGUUAAGUCCUCCGGAGACAAGGAUGCAGAAGGUCUUCGCGCUUGCUGCUGCUGCUGGUUUGUGUCUCCGGAAGAGAGGGCAUCGUAUAGUUCUCUGAGCUGCUGGCUUCUCUGAAGGGAUGCCUCCUCCGCGCUUACUUCCAUUGGCUGCACUGUCUUCCUAGUCUUUAUAGCUCCAUUAUAGUACCCAUCACCCCACACUAGAAUCCUACAUGUUUUGUGUUCGGAGGAAAAAAACAAAAAGAAGUCAUUCAAGUUUUUUUCUUAUUUUCAUCAGUUUGUGGCGUGCAGAAUUACUUGUAAAUAGAAAAGAAGAAGAAGAAGAAAAUUUACUAAUUAAACAAUGACGACCCUGGGAUUUGAUUAUUCUCAUGAGUCGGGUUGUAGCUAGGUUGUAGAUAUUAUUUACCUUUGUUGGGAACAGAGUUGCCAGAAAAGACUAUAUGUCCAUUCAACCGUUUGCACCGCCCUCUGCAGCAUGUGUUGGAGCUGACGACUACUUGGUGGUGCAGCCAUCUACGGCUGUGGCGAGGAGAUUGAUCUUUAUUGUUGUGCUAGAAAAUGUUGUUGAUCAUUUCUGAAACUCAAAUAAAAAGCACAGAAAACGGAAAAGAGGAAAUUGUUCUGGUGCUGUGAAUACAACGGAGGGAUGGCAAACGGAGAUAAAGAUGGAUGUUAACUGAAAAUUUUUCAAAAAAAAAAAAAAAAAAAAGUGCUGUGAAUACAACGGAGGGAUGGCAAACGGAGAUAAAGAUGGAUGUUAACUGAAAAUUUUUAAAAAAAAAAAAAAAAAAAAAACUUGAAGAAAACCCAAGUAUAAGUGAGGCAGAUGGAGUUGAUGAAUAAAAGGGGUAGAUAUUUUUGCCCUUUGCAUGGAGAGCUGAGGGUAGAUAGAUCAAUGAUGGGUGGAAUUAGGCUGGGACUGGCAGGAGAGAAAAUAGAGGUAGAUGCAUGUUGAAAUUGAGGAGAAGACUUGUGAGGCCCUAGAAAGAUAUUAAUUGGCCAUUCGGGUUCGAAUAAGAGGACGAAAUGCCUGCCUCACACCUGAGAAUGGUCGUUAGGUUUGGAAGCCGAACAAAUUAAGGUUUUAUAGAAGGCAGAGGAAUGCGGUGUAAUUUGGAAGCACAGGCAGAAACACAGAAAGAUUCUGGGAGUUUUGACUGGUUGGUGCUUACCUGACAGUUUGAGAGACUUUUUAUACUUCUAGUUGGAUAUGUGUGCUGCAUUUCUGAAGAGAGGAUGCACACUCGAGAGGAUGCACACUCACUCUUUCUUAGAACCUACAUCGAUCGUUGACUCAAACGUGAGCAUCAAUCGAAAUUACAAAGUGCAGAGAUCUUCUUUUUAUUACUAAUAAUGUAUCACACGUUGUAGAUUAACUGAUUAUUUAACACUUGUCAUAUACAUAUAUAUAUAUAUAGCAAAUUAUCGAGAUAGUUACUAAGCUCUUUGAAUGAUAAAGUUUUGGUUACUCAACUUCUAAGAGUGUGUAUUUAUUCACUAAACUAUUACAAGUAUAAAUUUUUUGCUAUUCCGUAUGUUUUUACUGUUAAAUCUAACAAAUCUAAGAGUCGCACGAGUCACGAGACAUAACCAAAUUUGACAAACUUAACUGAAAAAAUAAAUGAAAUGGCCUAAAAUUUAUAUUUUUAAUAAUUUAGUGGGAAAAUAUAUUCUUUUAAAAAUUGAGUGGCCAAAACUCUACUAUUCACUAUUCAAAAAAUUUGAUGACUACCAGGAUAAUUUGCUAUAUAUAUAUAUAUAUACUCACACAUACACAUACAUACAUGCAUACACAUAUACUCUAGCAAACUUGACUUUAUGGAGUAAAUACUUGAACACAAUGGCAUCAAAAUCCAAACUUAUCAUCUAAUCAUACUCUGUCUUGAUUUGAGAUUACACGAGAGAAGUAGCAUGUGUGUGUGUGUUUGCGUAUGAGUAAUCACAAAAACUUAAUUAUCUAAUGCCUGAUAAGGUCGGUCAUCUCUUAUUUGAAGACUAUAAAGAUCAACAAUUCAGGCAAUUUCGAGUUAGGUGCGUUUCCUCUCAAAAUCUAAUCUCUCAAAGUCUAAUGCACGUGGGCUGUUUCGGUGCAGAAGCGGCCACCAGACUAGGGAGUCAUGACUGGGCGUUGGCUUCCCCAUUUAGAUGCACAAAGUCCAAUGGAGGGCUAAAGCAGCCUCUACGGUUGGGGUUGGAUUAGUCAUUAAACCCGGCCCGAUAAGGAUCCGGCAGAGGGACUAGAUCAUUAGUUGAACCGCAGUAUUAAUUUAAUAUUUAUAAAUAUAAAAUAAUAAUUUUAAUAUAUAUGAUAAAUUGCUUUUAGAUACUAAUUAUUAUAUUUAGAAAGCUAUAUGAGAAAUAUAUAGAUAUUAAUAGAAUAUUUAGUUUCAUUUUAUCGUACUUUUAAAUAAAUAAUAUAGUGAAGUAUAAAACAAAUUUAUAUCGCUUGCUUAAAAAAAUAUAGCAUUAUUUUUUCAUUAUUUUAUUUUUAUUUAAAAACAAAGUUAUUUUCUAACUAAUCAAAUAUUGUUAGUUUAAAAGUUAAAAGGAUUAAUUGUAUAAUAAGACAAUAAACAAGUUUCUUAAAAAAAUUAGUUAUCAAAUAAAAACUAAACAAGUGGUAAAAUAUAUAUAUAUAUAUAUUUAAAUGAAGAUCCAAUAUACAAAUGUUAUCAAAAGCAUAUAUAUAUAUAUAUAUAUAUUGUUUCAAAACCAAAGACCCACAAUUCUUUUUUUUUUAAAUGGUAAAUCGGGUCAAUUGAAAAAUCGGACGGAUUCCCAGUUGAACUAUCAAAUAACCCGAAUUUAUCCGGAUUUGAUUGGGUCAAUUGCUUGUCCCUUCAAACUCGAGACCCGGCCCGGGCCACCAAGUCGGAUUUAAUAACUGUGGUUUGAAAUGCAAAUUGAGCUGCCUAGAAAAGUAUUAGGUAUACAAUCAAAGCCGCGGAGUUUAUUGCUAAAAUAACUCUUCUUCUAAAACAUAUAUCCAAAGUAACCUAAUUUUAAAAAUUAUUACCUUUAUAAUUCUCUUUUUGCCACAAAGGUUGCAUAUGUGGCAGGAUGGAAAUAGAGACAUAUUCUAUCUUUCUUUUUUAUCUGAUAUUCCCCCGGAUUCUCUCUCUGAACUUUUUCCUUUAGUUAUUUUUUUCUUGUCAAAAGUAAUUUUGAGAAGCCAAUAUUUAUAUUAAUAGAAUGUAAAACUUCACUAUCAUUCUUGAUAUUGUAUUCGUGGAUGAAAAUAUUCUUCUCGAAUUGAUGAUCUUAAGGUAAAUGAAGAUUAUUCUCUUGUCUUUUCUAAUGUGUAGUUUUUGGAACAUUCCUAUAGCCUUCAAAAAAAUUUUGAAUACUAAUUGUGUAACAAAUGAUUUCUCAUACCAUGUGUUUGUUAAAAUGUCCAAGAGGAAAACUACAUAACAACAUAGAUUCAUACUCAAUAUGUUUGAUUUCCACCAUAUACACGAGCAUGUUCAUUUGUAGUGCUUCUCUAUCACAUGACCAGAUAAUCUCAUAUACUUAAUGUAUUUUUGCACAUUUAUUCAACAUCAAUCGAUGGUUUGUGUUACUUUUGAGCAACUUGAGCAUUAUCUUAAUUGCAUUAGUAGAUUUCUUUUGCAUUACAUGAAAUUUACUAGUCUCUAUUUCGAUUUAAUCUACUAGUGGUUCUUGUAUCUAAUGGUAUUCUAAAUAACAUGUAAAUGAUAACCUUGCUAAUUAUUGACAAACACUGGUAGUUCCUGUCUUAGAUAGCAUGACAAUAUUUGCUUAAUUAAUGAUUUUUUUAAUUUUGUGUAGGUGGUGCUGCUGAAUUUUGUAGCAAUGGCUGGUAAAAAUGUUACUAUAUUUUUGUAUUGUAAUGGUAGGAUGACAACAGGCAUACAUGGUCUUAGUUACGAGGGUGUUACUCCAAAAGCCAUUCGAGUAAGUUAUCAGAUAAAAUACCAUGAAAUCAUGGACAAGAUAUAUGUUAUCAAUGGCUCUGAAAAACAUCAAGUUGCGAUAAAAAACUUCUAACUUGUGAUACCUCUUUGUUUUCCUCAUUCCCUAUAUGUGAUUUGCAAUGAUCAAAUAGAACUUACCCAUUUUGGAGAUAGGAUUAGUGAAGUGCUCGAAUUUGGCAUUAUUGAAGUGUCUAACAUAGAAUGAGUGGAUUGCGUAAUGACAUUUUUGUAUUCAUUUCCCCUUUGCUAACACUUAAGGAAGUUUCAAGAGUGUGGGUUCAAAUAUUUCAAAAUUGCUUGCAAUUGGCAAUGAUCAUGAGACACAUUUAUUGAUAGCAAAUUUAUUGUAAUUAUACCAUGAAAGUUUAUUUACUUCAGAAUAUCUUGUUUUUUUAGUUCUUUGCAUAAGAUAUGGAUGUUGAGAACUUUAUUACAUUUUUAAAAUUUAAUUAAAAAAUCUUUUUUUUGUCUUUUUUUCCUUACAACAUGACUUUUUCCAGUAGUAGGAUGCCAUUUGCCUUUUAUACUACUUGAUUACUUAGAUAAUAGUCAAAUUGAAAACUUGAAAAUUUCAGUUUGAUUACUUUUUGUAAAAGUUCUUUUCAAGGAGUAGGAAGCAUAACAUAAACAAAUAUGAUAACCUUGAAGUUUUUGUAACUUUUUCUUGUUAUUACUUACAAUUUUCAUUGCAAUUUUUGUAUUUUGCAAAUUUAUUUUUGAAAAAUAUAUGAAAUAGGUUGAUACAAUUUUUUUAAAAGUGUAGAGACCAAUAAUAGUAAGGUCAAUAACGGUAGAAUUUAUUUUAAGUAAUUAUAAGGAAAUUAUCAAAGUUACGCAAUUUUCUUGUGCCUUUAUAAUAAAAAAGUUUAAAUUUUUAGUUCAUGUUGGAAACUAUAGACUAGAUUAAAGUUUUCCUUUCUUGUUAUGCUACAUGGAAAUCAGGGUAAUUAGGUGAUAACAAUAACAUCAUUAUGGGAAUAAAAUUUGAAAGUGAAUCACAUUGAGAAUAUUUUUUAGAAAGAGUGUUAUUUUGGCAAAAACUCCAAAGCCGCAAAGGCCAGUUUUAUUGGAUAAUUACCAAUUGCGGGUCUGCAAUUAUUUUUUGGCAACCUUCACAGCGCCAUAAUUUUCAGUCUUAAACUAUCUCAACAACAGUGAAAUUUUAGAAAGAUACUCAUUGGGCCCAGGCCGAGUGACUUGAUGAUACAAAUCUAGGAUUAAGUUUAUAGCAGACAGAUUUUUAGUUCAUUUGGGCCGGGCAAUCUACUUCUUCCGACGUAUGUGCAAUCCACAGGCUCACCACUUCUUUUUUCCUUUUUUUUUUUUUGGGUUUCUUUUUUCUUUUCCCUUUUUUGUUUUUCUUUUGUUGGUUUAUAAGAAUGACAAAUACCAGCCUGUAUAUGCAGCGCAAUUUCUUUAUUCUCCAAAGAGUUUUGAACCAGUCCCACCCUCAAGUCAAAAUUACCAUAUUGCACUCUGAACCGAGUGAAAGACCAUGGGCUGUAUGUUUUUUUCUUUUAUUUAGUUAUUAUUUAAUUUAAAAUAAAACAAAUAGUUAUUUUAAUUGGGAGAUCUUUCGUUUUUGUAAAUGCUAGUAUUUUAGCAUUUGCAGAAACCAGGAUAUUUCCGUAGAAUUGUGUCCACAUGAGACAGCAUCAGAACCAUCACGUGUCAAGAUUCAUCUUAAUCAAUGGCCAAGAACGAAGUAAGAUUCCUUCCUCUUUUUUUUUUUUUUUUGUUUUGGGUCCAGAUGCAGUCACUUGGAACAACAGUGAUGACUAGCAUUAGCGACCACAAAUUAAUACUAGUAGACAGCAUGCCAUAAUCAACUAUAGUUAGGAAAAUUAAUGAUCGCUAACUAAAACCUUUUCAAACAUGGUAAGCUGAUGAUGACACUUUGCCAGGUAUUAACCACUCGCUUUUCAUCUAUAGAAGCGAGCAUUAAUAGUUUUUGUCCAGCAAAAGAGACUAGUGAGAUUCGAUUUUCAUCUUUAGGAUGACAAUGAUCUGAUUUCUCCUGGUUUGGAUCGCAAUUUUUCUUCAAAAAUUUUUUUAUAUUUUUUAUGAAUAAAUUUUUUAAUUAUUUUUUUUAUUUCACAAACAUCAAAUCGUUAUAAUACAUAUUUUUUACAAAAAAUAUAAUCCAAACAUAGAGGUGCACGAUUGUUUGGACUGACAAGAUACCACGAGAGACAUUGCUUCAACUACCAACCGUGCACUCACGAAAUACACCAAAAGUUGUCACAAAAUGAACCACAAUAUUGGAGCUUUGAAUUUGUGGACUACUAUCCAAUCGUUUAGAACUUCAAAUAACUCCAAGCGAGACUUGCCUCUCCCAUUAAUGAUGCUACUGACCAUGAGUUUCAUUUUCAAAAUGGAUAAUUUCAGAAACCUCCUCUAAAAUUUUUAACUGUUUUACCAGUCUCUUUUUAGGUUUUUAAAAUUACAUUAAUUUCUCUUGAAAUUAAUUAUCUGGUAACAUUUAGACUCAAUCAAUAGUUUAAAAGUAAUAUUAGGAGAGAUAAAAUUAUAUAAUUUCGUCAUUGUCUCUCACCUAUUAUAUUAUUUAAUUAAAUUAAUACCAACUCACACAUUAAAGAAAAACAUUAAAAUUUGCUGUUAUCGUUAGGAUUAGAUCACAUAUAACAUCAAAAAAUAGUAUAUCAUUUUAUAUUUUUUUUUACUUAAUAUGAGAUAUAAAUUACUUUUUUUAGUUAUAUACGUAUUGUCAAAUAUGAUCAAUAACAAAUAAUUAAAAAAUUUGCAACCAAAGUAUUAUAAAGAAUAAACUUUAAUAUCAUAAAUACUCUUGCCAACAUAUUAAGUUUAGCUGUUAAAAUUUUUAUGGUAUUAAAAUUCAUUCUUUGUAAUAAUUUGGUUGCAGAUUCUUUUGAUUAUUUAUUGUUGAUCACGUUGGAUAAUGGGUUUAUAACUGAAAAGAGUAAUUUGGAUAUUACGCUGAGUGAAAUAUAUAUAAUGAUACAUUAUUUUUGAUGCUAUAUGUGAUUUAGUUCGUAAUGAUCAACAACAAAUUCUAGUAUUUUCUUUAAUAUUUGAUUGAUAUUUGAUUAAUUACACAAUUUAGUGGACGAGGCGUAAUGGUGGAAUCAUAUUAUCGUUCUUCUCAUAAUAUCAUUUUUUUAAUUAUUGGUUGAAUCUAAAUGUUACAAGUUAAUAAAUCUCAAUAGAAACUAGUAUAAUUUUCAAAAUUUGAAGGGAGGUCAAUGAAAUAGUCAUAAACCUCAAGGGAUGAGGUUUCUAAAAUUAUCCCUUCUCAAAAAGACCAUAUAGGAGAAAUUAUACGUUGAUAAGUCUAGUCGUUACUUUUAAAAGAAAUAAGUCUAGUCGUAGUUAGGGUUGCAAAUGAGUUGAGUCGAGUUAAAUUUUGAACUUUUCGAAUUGAGUUUGACUUGUUAACAUACGAGUUUGAAUUCGAGCUCGAGUUCGUCGAGUCAUAAAAAUAAAACUCGAGUUCGACUCAACCUAGAAAAAGGUAAGUUCAAAUCGACUCGUUUUUGGCUCACGAAUUUAGCUCAAUUUCUGGCUCACGAGCUGUUUGAGAUGUCAACUCGAGUUUUGGUCAAUAUUCUGGCUUAUGAGGAAUUCGAAGUCAAUUUAAUUUUAAUUGAUGUAGGGACAUUUUUAUAAUUUCACAUCAACUCGAGUUUUUUCAAGCGUUUCGUGAAACUAUCGAACCCAACAAGUGACUACCCAAGUUCGACUCGUAUAUAUUAACGAUUUACUUGAGUUCGAACUUAGCUACUUGAGAGCCAUUCGUGUGGAUUGCAGCCCUAGUCACAGCAACAAAUCUGGGUGACUUGGACACUAACCUAACUUAAAUGAGUGAAUUCUAUUCUGUUGUGGGAUGGUGGUGGCAGAAUCAGCAAUGUCCAUUUUUCAACGGCAAAAACCCAAAAGUUGAUAGUACACGAUAAAGCGGUGGAUAUUCCACUUGUCACCUGGUCGUUUCCUGUCUUUUUGCGUGUGGGCAACACAUCGUCACUCAAUUUCACUUAGUCACCAUUUUUCGGACUCGGGGCACGGACGGUUGCAGGUGCAACCGUCCAGGGCAAUUUUGGCCAUUAUCAACUGCGCGUAACUUUCUUUGUAUAUCGUGUAACUUUUUUUUCACAUGAUGUAUUUUCACAACAGAUAGUGGUGGGUCCCACACUUGGCGCGGAAAUCGAGUUACAUGGUGUAAUCUCAGCCGCACAAAAUUUUGAGGGCAAAUCUUGGCCCUUAACCGUGCAGGGACGGUCAUCAGUAUGACUGCGUAGGGAUUGGUGGUACACAAACUGAUAAACUUCGUCUCUCUAAACUGCGGAUUGAGCUGGCUCCUUUUUUUUAGAGGGAGUCAAACCUACUAGAGGCACUUGACUUUUUUGUUCUCGACCAAAUCAAAGCCGUAAUACUAAUAUCUCUCUCUUAUUUCUUGCACUGCCAUAACUCCUGAACAUAUUAUUGUACUCCCUCCGUCCCGUUUUGUUAGUCUUGGUUUUUUUUUCACACAGAUUAAAAAAGUGUAAUUAAUUUGAUUGGAAACAUAAAUUUAGAUUAAUAAUUUCCUAAAAUACCCUUAUGCUAAUCACGAAGAGUGCCAAUUAAUAUCAGUUACAGCUAAUGGGUUAGUAUUGGAAAAGUUCAAUGUAUUCAAUGUAGUGGGUUAGUAUUUAAUAACAAUGUAUUAAUAACAAGAUAUUUAAUAAGGGUAUUUUAGACAAUUUGAAAGAUUACUACAUUUCUUAAUGGGAAAGUGGACUACAAUUUGGGACAAACGAAAAAGGAAAACAAGACUAUCAAAGUGGGACGGAGGGAGUAAGAAUCAAACAGCACUCCGUUGACAAAGAGGCGUCAUAUUAUUAUGAGUAGUGGCGUGCUCUAUUCUAUUUGGUAGCUGAGUACCACACAACCUAUUCCACAAGCACUCAUCAUUUAUCAAGAAAUUGUGAUUAGUGCACUGGCAACUCGAAUUACACACUUAGAACCAAAAAUUAUUUAUGUGUUCUUCGAACUAAGCACCCUUUGCCGAACCGUUGAAACUCAGUAACCAAAAAUUAAUGCUGUAGAACGUAUUUAUAUGGUCUUUGAUUCGAACUGCGCCAACUCAAGUACUGAUGGGUUUGACAUUUUUUAGUCACCUUGGUUGAGCUUCUUUAUAAACAAAACGAUAAAGGUUUAUGGUGCCAACGAGUCUCAGAACUCAUUGAGGUCAUUUAAUUAAGUGCAGAUCAGAUAGACAAAUAUUUUAGAGAAUUAAUAUUUCGGAAUGUGAAAGACAGCUGAACCUCCACUUUUUUUUUAUAGGGCAAGAAUCCCACCAAAUUUUCCAGGACAUAAGUCCUAUUCCUGUACAAGUAAUACACCAAUUAAGUUCUCAUUAAGCCGUGUAUAUAUUGCAGAAUCUCAGUCGGGAAUAAAGAAUGCAAAAAGAAAUCCGCAUCGUAUGUAUAUCCUGCUAUUCAAGCGGGACAGUUCAGUAGGAGAAAGCAUACAACUCAAAACUCAAGUGUACCCAUAUACAGUUUGACAAAUUAGCCCGAGUACUGUAUGAUCGAACAAAAGGCCGAAGGAGUGGAAAGUAAGGAGAAGAAGAAAGAACGAGGACGUUUCCAGCUCUAGUCAAAAGGCCGAAGGAGUGGAAAGUAAGGAGGAGAAGAAAGAACGAGGACGUUUCUAGCUAGCCUGGGUACGUUUUAAUUAAUGCUCGACCCUGUGGGGAUAUCGCAUGCAUAUGCAUAUGGGCAAAUUUUCAACGGGUAUCCAUUGUGGAGGAGAAUGAUGAAACGCACUCAUAAACUCGCUAAAAAUUCCCCCUCCCUCAUUCGAAUUAUGCCACUUUCUUAUGCUUAAAUUUCUGUAAAUUUUUCUUGCAGAUAGGUUUCUAUCAACAGCAAUUGCUUUGAAUCCAAUGAAUUCAUCAAAUGCACGUCCCACAUUUAAACCUGAAAAUCCUUCUUCUUCUUAAAUAAAAGUAUAAAAACCUCCUCAUGAUUCAUGAACUGCCGGUGCUUGGAAACUUAACGCUGAUUAAUAUCGUGCACCAAGUAUAUAUAAUCAUGAUACAAAUGCAUCACCUCCAUGGCCUUUUUUUCACAUAUGGAAUAUUAAUUAAUCAAGAUUUUGGUCCAUGAGGGUAUUUUGCUCUUCAGAAAAAAAAAAAAAAAAAAUCCCAUGAAAUUUUUUUUGUUAAUGGAUGAAAACGUGACACCAUUCAUUUGCAUUUGCCUGCUCUUUAUCUGCUUAUCGUCUUAAUUUGUGGAACUUUCUCGCGUCCAAAACGUGUAGUGACAAUCUAUUAAGACAUUUCUUUUCGCCAAUUGGAUUAUGCGAUCAGGGGGGUGUACGUACGUUUUAGUGCUUAAAUAGUAGGUAGCUAGGUAAAAUUUUCCCCAACUGAUAUUAUUAGAUUCCACUCGGGCGGCUAUUUUGUAUUUGAGCAAAGGUAGGUCUAGCUAGUAGUUUGCUGUUUAUAAAAAGUUUAAAUUGCUUUUACUAAAGUUUCCUAAAUUCAGAACGGCAGUUCAUAGUGCCUGACAUUUAUAAGAGAUCAUCUCUUAUCCUAUUUGUCUUUAUAGGCACAUGCAUAAGAGAGAAAGCCUUUUUGAAAAAAUAAACUUUUUUUUUUUAAAAAAAAAAAACUAUACUACAUCAAUAUUAAUUGUCUACAUUUAACGGUGAUUUCAACCUGAGAUAUGAUACAUCAAAAUUAAGGACCGUCGUAAUUGUCUAACACAUUCCUAAACUUGAAUAUUUUUAAAUGCUGGAAAAUAAACAUGCAUGCUAUCAAGUCCAUAACUUUAAUGGCGGUUAAAUUUUAAUUACCCACAUUCCUCAGGUGCUGGAGGUCGCCUGUCUAUAAGUACGGAUGAUUAGUACAAAAGUUAGGCCAGGAUGAUCAAUGAUGAUGUACGACACUACUGCCAUUUUCAUUCUGUUAGCUUUAAACUCUACCCCCUCCCACCGCCGCCGUGUGGCCGUGGAAAUUUUAUUGGAAAGUGGCCUUCAAACACUAGAGCACGACAAGUUUCUUUCGAGAAAGGUCACUAUCUUAGUAGUAUUAAAUUAAUAGCACUAAAGAUAAAGAAGACAUAAAAUGUGAUCACUAAUCAAAAGCUCUUGUGUGGUACAGACACCGUACUUCUAAAGUAAAGCAGCCGUGGUUAGAGUUAGACAGCAAAAAAGCAUUUUGACUCAUUUCUCCACCGGACGUUGGAAAUGGAGGCCAAUACCGUUGUAGCUGUAAUUUUCUAAUGUUUAUUUCCAGAAUUUUCUUAGAUAAUAAUCAUCACGUCUGACGUGCUACCAUUACUCAAAGAUACUCUCAAAGAUUUUCUAUGACAGGUAUUAUAAUCCAUUGUAGUUUUCACUGUACAAGGUUAGCGCCAGUUGUUAUUUACCCAUAUGAUGAAAUGGUAAAAGUCUCUCCAUCCAAACGAAAUCAAUGCAUGGUCAUAUUCGUGCUUCUUAUGAAUUGGACAUUCUUAAGUUUAUUUGGACCAUACGAUGGAGGACGAAUUUUAAUAUAUCUGAAUCUAAGUAUAUAACAUAACAUAUUAUCUAAUUUUUAUGAAGUUUAUAUUUUAUAGUUGCAACAUAAAUUCUGCCAACGUAAAAAAAAAUAAUCGUUUUAAACCCCUCAUAUAAUGAUAGUGGGUCAUUUCUUGUCAGUGAGUACCGUGAACACCGCAAUAAUAUGAAUUCCUAUCUCAUUCAUCAACCUCUUAGCAUUUGGUUAUCGACCCGCCAAGGUCUCGAUUAACGGAGGUAUUAACUAAGAUUUAGUCCCUAACAUAUUAUCUAAUUUUUAUGAAGUUUAUAUUUUAUAGUUGCAACAUAAAUUCUGCCAACGUAAAAAAAAAAAAUCAUUUUAAACCCCUCAUAUAAUGAUAGUGGGUCAUUUCUUGUCCAGUGAGUACCCUGGACAUCGCAAUAAUAUGAACUCCUAUCUCAUUCAUCAACCUCUUAGCAUUUGGUUAUCGACCCGCCAAGGUCUCGAUUAACGGAGGUAUUAACUAAGAUUUAGUCCCUAACAUAUUAUCUAAUUUUUAUGAAGUUUAUAUUUUAUAGUUGCAACAUAAAUUCUGCCAACGUAAAAAAAAAAAGAAGAUCAUUUUAUACUUGGCAAUUUUCUAUUGCUUUUAAUUCAUGACAUGAGAAUAUUAUAUGGCAUAUGAUCUAUAUAAUAUUUUUCUCAAAAAAUUACUUUAAAAUAAUGGUGUCUUCAAAGCACAUCUAGCUAGUAACAAGUGUGUUUGAAUAGGAAAUUAUUUAAAAUAAUUAUUAUGAUCUUUUUUGUGACAUGAUAUAUGUGAAAUAAAAAGGUGAUUGAGAAGAUAAAAAGUUGAUUAGAUAUUGUAUUGUGAUGCAAGCAAAAUGUUAGCAUGUUAUUCAUAAUCUAGAGUUAAGGGUGGUUUAAUUACCCGUCCCAUUUUUAAUUUUUAAAAAAACUAGUAAAAGUCUUUCUAUCCAAACAUAUUAAUGCAUGGUUAAUCUUGAGGCAGCUUCAAUGAUUUUUUUUUUUGGACUUUCUAUUAAGUUAACGUGGGCGGGACUGUGCAUAGAAGAAAAAUUGACCGGUGGUAUCAUGAACUCUGCCAAAAGGAAAAAGAUCUUGGAAACCACUCCCACUCCCUCCCUUAGAGUUAAAAGAAGACAAAACCACGGAUUGACUUUGCUGUAGACAAAAUUAAAAUAAGAAAAAUAAAAAUGAUGAUGCAUUCCGGUUAAUGACAAUUACUAGUGGCCCAAUACGAAGCACCUAAACGGAAGCCGUCCUAUGAUUAAUCAUGCCUAGGCUUACUCUCAGUCGUGCCAACUCAACCUCUCCUUCCUUAUCGUCUCAAAAUCCAAUUGUCCGUUCUUUGACUUCUUUGAAUUGAUGCCUCUCAGCUUGAUCAUUAUUCGCAGCUAGCCCAGUAAUAGAUUGCUUAAAGGGUGUUUGGUAAGUGGAUUUUAUAUUAAGGAAUGAGUUUUGAAGAGUAUGCCGAAAUCACAAUUCGAACAGAGCUUCUGUGUGUGUUCCCGAACUGACCUGCAAUAAGUCGAACAGAGGGACUAGCUCUCCGUUGUAACUCCGACGCUCAAAUCAGUUGAGAAAUAAGAGGGAAUAGAGAAAGUAAUUGUAUUGUAUGGCGUUGUGUGUGUAUGUACCUUGUUAGGUUCCCUCCGUUCCUUAUUUAUAGAGCUGCUAGCGAUAAUUUUCAGGGAAUCCAAAGUUAUUCCACUACGCACAGUAAUUAUCUCAUUAGAAUAUGAGUUCUACUGGAUCACUAGAAGCAGAGCCCCUCUUGGACUCUAAUCCUGGCCUUGUCCCGAAGAAUGAGGAGCUUCCUUGCCAGUUCGACCUAUGACCAAACAGGCUCAUAUGUUGGGCCGAACUGGCCCGAAAGAACUGACACAUGUCGGUGGACAAUUAGCUCCUCUACAAGUUUCAAACUUAAUCAUAAUAUGAUCAUACUGAUAGUUUGGUUAAAAUUAAUCAGAAUGAGAUAAUGAACACGAUAGACCCAUUCUAUGAGUUUUGUGAUUAAUUAUAUUUCAGUAGACAAUUAAAAUUUGCUUAACCAUGUAUCUCAUAUAUUUUUAAUUAAAAAUAAAAAGAAGUCAAUUGUAAAAGAGCAGUGAAAAAAAUAGGAGAAAGACGACGAAAAAGGAAAAAAUUGUAAAACCUAUGUCUAGAUUUUAGUUGCCAAACAGUGUACGAAUUUCGACAAAAACCCAUUUCCAUUAACCUGUAAAUCAUAAUCAUUAUGAUUGUGACUGACGAACUUUUAUCAGAGGUUUCUUAAUUCAGCCACUUUGCUAAAAAGUUCAGAUAGCAAAAACCAGCAAAAAGGCAGCUAAAUUAGGAGAUGAUAUAUUAGCUUUUUCAACAUCAAAACGAAAAAGAAAAGGGAAUUAGGAGAUAAUAUAUCUGUCACUAAUAAGAUGGAAAUGCUCUCUGACUUUAUCGCCAUUUUCGAGACCGGAAACUAAAACCAUGUCAUGGGUAGCAGCCGAUAGAAGAGCCAUUGAGGGGAGUUGAGUUAAUGGGCGCAGUAAUGUCGGCCUCCGUCUUAAGCUGACGGAGAGUAUGGUGCUUGCUUGCCCACCAACCCAAAUGCCUAAAGCAGGAACGAUCUUUAAACCUGAGAGCCUGAACCCCGAAGUGUACUCUAACUAAUACUACAAUGAACUAUGUGCAUGUGCUACAUCAAUCAAAUCAUUUUUGUUGCUUGCAUCGUAUUAUCCAAUCAACAAGUUCCAAUAGUGGCCAUUUGAUUGAUGCCCAGUAGUAACGUAGUGUGGACAUUCCAUCAAGGACAUGAUUGUUAUUUUUAGGAUUUUUUUUUUAAAAAAAAUGUAUCGUAGCGAUUUGAUAUAUAUGAAAUUAAAAAUUAAAAAAUACUUUUACAAAAAACGUAAAAAGUUUUUGACAAAAAAUCACAAACCAAACCAGGCAGGCUUUCUAUAUGUACCUAUGCUUUAAAAUUCAGGCUAAAUAGUGACUUAGAUUAGAGUUAAAGAUUAGGGGUUAAUGACUUCGACUGAUCGGACUGAUGUUAAAUAAUUGAAUAAUGUUAUAUAAUUAAAAUUUUAUUAUAUUAUAUAUAAAAAUUAUAUUCUUAACAUGGAUAAGAAUGUUAGUUUUAUUUCUCAAGUUUUAUUAGCAAACAUUCUAUACUCCAAUGCCCUUUAAACUUAACUCAAAGUUGACGAUUGGAAGUUAUAAAUACAAAUUGACAGAUUUUUCGGUUAAACACAGUUUUGACCGAAUAUUUGACAGAUGAGUUUUUGAAGAAACUUGAAUCAAGUGUCUGAUCAAUUACCGGCUUAAACAGUUGGAUCGAUCGAUCCCGUCCGAGUUAAAGGCAUAGGUAUAUACAUUUAGGUACGCACUAGUAAGCGCUUCUGGUGUGUCCCCCCCCCCCCCCUCUUCUCCCAAAAAAAAAAAAAAGCUUUUUUGGUUUUUUGGUUUAAUAAAUAAUCCUGAUGGUGCGUAAGGAGCGCGUUCCACUUCCGAAUGCACGAGUCACUAAGUUUCGAAGACAAAACUUUCAACGUGUGAAAAGACACACCUGACUGAUCAUGAGAACUACAAUUGCAUAUGAUGCUUGGUGUAGUACGACCAAAUCAAAUUACUGGAAAAGGUUUCAAUAUUUUUCUUUGGCGAACGCAAUUUAGGUAACGACUGCGACUCGUAUAGUCGUAUGUCUACCUCUCUGCCGGCUAACUAUAUAAUCAUCUCAUCAUGCGUGCAUGGUUGCAUCGCCCAUAUCCCAGCUCUCUUACGACUAGCAAAGAUAUACGGGCACCUGACAAGAGUAACAGUACUACCCAGUAUCAACUCUACCAGGCCCAAAAGAUAAAGAGAAUUGAGCAAGAAGGAGUGAUGAACUCAACCGUCAUUCCAAUUCCUCCAAGUGCAGAAAAUGUUGAAUCCUCGUAUAAGGACGCCAAAAACAUGGGAAACAAGUUUUCGUUUCUAUCCACUUGUAGUGUUGCUUUCCGGGUCAUCCAGGAAAAAAGAUGUAGUCAGGGCAGCAUGAGAAAAGUGAUUCACAGUGUCAAGGUGGGGAUUGCCUUGGUAUUGGUCUCGCUGCUGUAUCUGCUGGAUCCGCUGUUCACUGAAGUUGGAGAAAAUGCAAUGUGGGCUAUCAUGACCGUCGUGGUUGUCUUCGAGUUCUCUGCAGGUUUGCCAAUUAUUAACCCAUUAUUGUGACCCAAGUUGUUUAGUGGAGUACUAAAAACAUUUUUUCUGUGCAUGGCUGUUUGCGAAUAUAUGCAUAGGAAUUUUUUUUUUCUUUUUUCCUUUUUGGGCAAUAAACACACUAGUCAUAAGUACUAAUAGGAAGCAGGUUGAGAAACUUCUACUGUAGCCAUUUUUUGGGUCAAUCAAUUAGACAAUAUACUAACUGAUGUAUUCACUUUGAUUUGAUGCACGUAUGUCAGGAGCUACGCUAAGCAAAGGCAUAAACCGUGCAAUCGGUACCAUAUUAGGCGGUGGAUUGGGGUGCUUGGCUGCAAUGUUGGCUGACGAGUUCGGAGGGAUAGGCAACGCAAUCGUUGUUGGCGCUUCGGUUUUUAUCGUCGGUAAAAUAUUAAUCCUACCACGACUUAAACUCUGGACCGCAGUUUUGUGUGUGUGUGUGUAUACAUACAUACAUAUAUAUAUAUAUAUAUAUAUAUAUUAGUAGUACUUAAAAGUGACUCACUGCUUAAAAAAUCAUACUCAGGAGCGGCCGCAACGUAUUCGAGGUUGGUUCCAAGAAUUAAAAGGAGAUAUGACUAUGGCGUCUUGAUCUUCAUCCUCACCUUCAAUCUGGUAGCUGUGUCGGGGGUACGGGCCGACAAAGUGAUCAGGUUAGCCAAGCAGCGUCUGUCAACCAUUGGCAUGGGUUUUGCUGUCUGCAUUUUCACCAACUUGCUUAUUUUUCCAAUUUGGGCUGGUGAUGAGCUUCAUCGUUCUACAGCAGCUAAAUUCGACAAACUCGCACGUUGCCUUGAAGGUAAUUUUUUGAAAUUAGUUCUACUUCUGUACUUGGCGUAUAUACCUAAAUCGGGGAAUCAUUGUAUUGUUUGGCUUUUUUAAUUAAAGCAAAGGCAUGCACAAUGUAUUAGCCGCGCGAUUUCACUGAACGGAACAUCAUAUAAGUAAAUGAAUGGCGGAUUUGAUUAAUUUGUAGGAUGUUUGGAGGAGGAACCCAACAACAAAGCAGAAAAUCUGGGCGCCAAGGUCAAGGACUGCAAGUCAGUGUUCCACUCCAAGUCCACCGAUGAAUCACUGGUACGUUUUGAUCUGCUUUUAGAAGACACACACACACACAAAAACAACAGUUAUAUAUAUAUAUAUAUAUGGAGUUCUUGAAAUAAAUAAUUGGUGGGUGGAGAAACAAUCAGAUUUUAAUGGGAGUUUUUUAUACUAUUAGUAAUUUUCCCUGUCAGGGCACGUGUAUUUUACCUGCAAAUUUAAGAAACUAAUCCUUCUAACAAUAAUUAAUGCAGGCCAAUUUUGCUAAAUGGGAGCCCUGGCAUGGGAAAUUUGGAUUGUCUCAUCCAUGGGACAAGUAUCUGGAGAUUGGAGAGGUCCUGAGGGAGCUCGCCGCCUUAAUCCUUUCGCUCGGAGUGUGCGUUCAGUCAUCCAGACAGGUGUUCAAUUGAGUGACAGUCCUACUCCUCUCCAUGUUGUUCUUCAUCCCCACCCCCCAACAACCCCACAAACAAAAAAAUAAUAAUAAUAACGCAUUCUGCAUCCAUUCCUGGGUUUUUUUUUUUUUAAAAAAAAAAAUUUAAAAUUCUGAAAAAAAAUAUUUUUUUUUUCUUUUUUCCGGCUCCAUCCAUCAGGCUGCAGCAAACCAAAGCCGCGCAAUCAGAGAACCGUGCGAAAUCAUAGGGUUGUCUCUUGCAUGGAUAUUGAGAGAGCUGGGCGAGAGCAUCUUCAACAUGACAAGGUGCCGAGCCAAGGCUUUGAUAGCACCAAAGCUGGAGUUCAUUAAACAAGAACUAAGCCGGUUGGGCUCUUCUCUGCAAAUCAAAGGACUAGAAAAAGAUGAAAAUCUUGCGAUGGCAACCUUCACUUUCCUCUUAAUGCAGAUAUCAGAAAAUGUGGAAGUAAUAGCGCAAGAGGUGGAAAAACUGGGACAGCUUGCUUAUUUUAGGACCAAGAACCCAGAUGUUUAACAUUAAUCAAUACACUUGAUUUUGGCAUCAAUCAAUAUACUUGAAAUAACAAGUAAAUCGACUGUGUGGUCAAUCCAGUGAAAUAUCACCUUUCCUCUCUCUCUGAAUUCAGGAAAAGGCGAAAAUGAAACAUAAAUAUGGCGACCCGAUGGAAGUGUGACAGUAGUGUGAUACGACGUAUUAGCUAGAAUUGUAGCACUGCAGUUGAUGCAUCAUCAUUUUUUGUUAUGUGUAAGCAACUAUUACCAGUGCCUUCAAAUGUUGUCUGUAUAUAUAUAUAUAUAUGGCCUCAUUAAUUCAUCUUUCUUGAUGCAUCAUCUUUUUGUACUUGCGCAUGAUAUGGUGUGUCAAGUCAACACGGGUGAUUUUGUUAGCUAAGUACUGCAACAAAAUCUGAUCCUAUGGUUUUUUUUUUGUUUGUGUUUCUACAAAUCUAGGAGGUUAACACUCUGUUACCGCAAGGAUUUUUAUAUGCUUAUUAAGAAAACGUAGGGUAAGGACGCAAGAAUAUUUUUUAACCUUUUUGCAGGAUAAAUAUUACUUAAACGCAACCAAAUAUCAAAUAUUGGGUACCUUUAAUAUGAAAAUAAACCAUUAUACCCUCAUAAGCUUCCUCGUCGUUGGCUUUGUUGAGUUUACAGUGCAGCUUUUUCUUUUUUCUUUUAUCCAAGGAAUAAAAAUAAAGAUAAAAAGGAUAAGAGAAUAGGGAUGCCCUUGGGCCCCCCCCCCCCCAAAAAAAAGAAAAAAAAUUUGCAUCCAAAUCACUCAUCAAUAAUGAGGAGUAUUAACAUUUUAGCAUAAGGUCCAGACUUAUCAACCCGGGAUUUCACCAAGAUGGUCAAAAAAAAAAAAAAAAAACACUCACCCCCUUUGACCUCUGGUGUUUCUUCCUUCUCAGCUUUUUCUUCACAAAUUAUUUCUGACUUCAUGAAUAUCCAACAGUUACAAUAGAUAUUUAUGGCUACCCAUUUGUCGGUGGUAAAAAACACACACACAAGCACAAAAAUCACAAAAUUCUACUUCUACCACAAAUUUUAUAAACAACUCAAAUUUUGAUAUGACGAGACACAUAGGUUGUGUUCGCAUACAAGGUGCUCAACUCAUGCAAUGAUGCUUUAUUUCCAAGACAACCCAUCGAUCGUUUGGUACGCUGAAAAGGGUCAGAUCGAUAUGAGCACCGGUAGUUGGAAAGACAUCCAAAAUCGCAUACAUUGAGAAUGAUGAUGGUAAUUUGCAAUAUCAGAAAACGUAAAGCUUCGAUCACACACACGUUCGCUGGUAUCCAGUACAAAGGGAAAUCACCACUAAAAGGGGUACUGCUCGUACCUCAUCGAACAAUCGAGGAGCACAGCACGAGCACCAAUCCGGCUACCGCAACCGCUGAUCAUCGUCGUAUUAGCAGCAACUAGACAUUUUUCACAAUCUGAGCUAGUUAUGUUUUUGUUGCAAUUUGCUUGGCCGUAGGCAAAAGCAUUGGGAUAAGGAGAAAUAUUGCGGUAAUCAUAACCUUUGCGCGAUGGCGUCUGAGUCUCUAAAUCUGCAAUAACAUAUGCAAGACUGAUAGCAAAAGGAUCACCUCGAAAAUACACCCCAGAAUUGCACAGCACGGUCACGACUUGGGUGUUUGCAGCACUUUCCACGGACCAACAAAGUGAACCCGCCAUCCCAACAACUAAUAUUGCUGCAGAAAUUGCCGUAACGUGUCGAGCAAGACCCAUGAUUUCUUUUGCUUGGUCUUCUUCUCUGGAGCUUCGUCUUUUAUUUAUGGUUGAUCUUUUGCAAGUUGAAAAUUGAAAUGCCCCGCAUUUAGUUUGUUUAUCGUCGGCGAUGUCCUCGUUUUGGGCUGUUUCUUGCUUGUCUCGUGAUGGUGGACCGGUGGUCGCAUUUCGUGCCGGCCUCGUUCGCUGAUUGGACGUUGGUACUGAGGAAUUCAUUUAAACAAGGAAAAAACAAAGUUAAUUUUGGUAAGCCAAGCCUUUACCAAAAAAAAGGUAAGCCAAGCCAGGCCCGGCAACUUCUGUUGUCUCCUUAGUAGAUGUCACAAGCAAAGACAGAUAACAAAAGAUAUUUUGGUGCCACCAAUAAUGGUUUCGAGGGGCGUUAAUCUGAAUUCAAUGCCCACCAUGUGGAAAACAUUUUCUUGGGUAUCUCACUGCUACGCAUGGUGGAAUUUAAUUAUUGUGGUAAAUGGUAGGGAUAAUUUCAAAAACGAAGUUACUGACAAUAAUAUCAUUGAGCUCGUCUAACUAAGGUUUGUAAACUUACAACUACCUUCCUUGAUUUAAUAGUUUUAGUAACCAAAUCUUAAAAUAACAUUACCUUGAUCAAAAUAUUUAAAUGAAUAUCCUAAAAUACCCUCAUUUAAUGAAUUUUAAUUUACUUCCAUACAUAAUUGUAAAAUUAUCUAGCACAAUUAUAAGGAACAGAUGCCAAAAUUUUCAUAUUCAUAUCUAUUGUUUGAUAAAUAGCUAUAAUAACAAUAAUUUUAUAGCUAUUACAGGAUAUUUUUGAUGGUGUUUUACUAGGGAUUUAGAUUUAUAGGAUAGAAACGAAAGUGUUCAAAUAUUAUCUUUUAGACUUUAUGAAUUUUUCAAAUGGUGGAAUUAUUAUAAUUUGGUAGUAAUUUUGGGCCAUUUGUUUUAGAUUUAUCAUUGAUGUUGAUACCAAUAAAAAUAAAAUAGAAAAACAAAGAUCACCGUAAACGUUGGAUUACAUUCAAAGUUAACUCAUUAAAAAAAAUAUUACUAAUUCAACAUUUUGUUACAACAGAAACUAAAAGCAAUAGUGGCCGUCCAUGAUUUUGUUGACAAAAUAUAAAAAAAGACGAUGAAGAAGGGAAACGGACUAGAAAAUGAAAGUCCUAGUUGACUUUAGACUCAUCAAAUUGCAAUCUUCUCAAAUUUUGAGUCAUUAGAAAAUAUAAAGAGGGUAAUAUUUUUUUUUUUUUUUUUAAAAAAAAGGUAGAGUGGGCAAUGGGUAUGUGGGAUAAACUGGAAUAGUGGGAAAGGGAAGUUGAUAGGUAUUUUAUAAAUUCUACCAUGCUCAUAAUAUGAAUGGUAUCAGAAAAAGCGACAUUACAUCCAAAAGUUCGUAAUUUUCAUUUUCAGAUACAAUUUGAUACCAAAUUACUAAUGUUGGGCACAUCAGUUGCUACUAAAGUCAACAAAUUUCCUUUGUAUAUACCGUUCCAAAUGUACAAUUUACAGAAAAUCAAUGAAAAUGUAAUAUAAUUACAUGUAUAACUUGUGAUCUGGUAAAAUCGUUCAUACAAUCUAGAAUAUACAGAUGCUUUUUCCAGCAAUGCUGACAAAUUAGCAUUGGCAUGGAGCCCUUAGACAAGCCCGAUUGUGAGCUUCACGGAACCUGAUCAUUUUCUUUCCACAUAUAGCAAGUCCAUCUUUGAUCCUCCACCUUUUUGAUGGGAACAGGUAAUAUGGAAAUACAAUAAAUAAUUAACAUAUAUUUUCCAUGACCUGAUAUUUUGCCGGUUAGAGUGAUCACUGCAGCUUCAGCUUGCUCGCAGUGAAAACAGAUCGUCAAGUUGUCUCUCAAUCUAGAGCGGAGGUGGAUGCAAAUGUUGUGCUGAAUUUUGUGCAUCAGUUAAUUCCUUUCUGAGUAACGCAGCAUAGAGAAGUUCGUUCCAUGAAUCAGGAACACCAGGCAGGCACCAGUGGCUACAGUCUUGCCGAUGGAGAGGAGCUGGUCCGGCCUUGGGCCCUAAAUAAUACAAAGAUGAGUGACCAUCUUUCCUCUGAGACGUCAUUCGUGACACAUUCAGUAGUUCUACAUUCUGCAAUUCAGACUUCUUUAUGAGAUUCACAAACACAUCAGUUGUUGUUCUUACUUCAACUGAUGUUUCAGAUGGCAAUCGUGAUGAAACCAAUUCAGGCAGUGUCUCCAGAUGACAGCUACCACCAGUCUUCCAGUCCCCACCUCUGUUCAUUUGAGUGAUUCGUUAAUUGCUUAUUUUGUGAACAAGGUAAAAAUGAUCACAGAACAGAGAACUACUGGCUAACCCCCUGUCCUGACAUGAGUCUGAAAGGAAUUGAGGUGAAAAGUCUGAGCAGUAAAUCAUCUUAAUUGAUAUCCUAUGUAUAACAAGGAUUUCAAGUAUCUAGCUUGGUACCAUUCAAUGGACCACGCCUGAUACCCGAUCAUAGUAGAAAACCUGAAUGAUACAACUGAGCGACUUCUAUAAAUGGUAAAACACAUUUGGUUAAUCCAGUCUUCGCAACAACAGAACAAAUUAGACAAACCUGAAAUGUACAGGAGCAUAGCUGCGGAAAAAUACGUGUGUCUUCUUUAGAUUGACCUCACGCCUUAUCCAAUCAACCAGUGUCUGAAUUGACCUGUGAAAUGCACUCUGUACGCUCAUAUCCAUCUCAACUUCUGCUCCUUCUUGGAAGUAACAACCCCUGAAGAGUGAAAAUGGUGAAUGUUCAGAUCCAGUAAAGCAGAGAAACCCGACCUUACAGCACUAGGUUUUAAUUGAAACAUCCCUGGUUUAUGUUCUGCAUUAUUACGUGCCAGAAUAUGGAAACUAAUAAUAAAGAUGCUCAAUCCUGUUUUAACACAUUAAGCAGACAUCACUCGAGAAAAAUAUUUACCGAAAAAUAGCACGAAAAGACAACUAAAUGGAACUAUGAUCUAGACAUCCUAUGGGAGUAGUGACUAUUUCGCCACUGCUCUCUUAUCAACUCAUUAUUCAGACCAUGGUACCUAAUCCUAAAAGUUCACCUUAACAUUUUUUUCAGCUAAUCACCCACAAGCCUAAUCAGCAAACAUGGUUUCUGUUAAUUGCUAGCUUGGCAUUGCUAUUAUAGCAGGAGAAUUUAAGGUAAAAGACUUGCAUUGAAUGGCUUUCCUGGAUCCGUCCAUUUAUGAGAGAGAAUUAGCAGCAUGAGUGACAAGAAAAGGUGAUGGUAAGCCAACAACAAGAGAAAUAUAUCUUACAGGUGACUAAUGACCGAUUUAGUUGUUUAGUAGGACAGAUGAACAAGCAACUCGUUCUCACGCAUUUUCCACAACCAGCGGACAUAAAUAUUCCAUCAAUGAAAUAAAUUUCAGAAAAUCUAAAGCCAACUAACAAAGAAGGUUAAAACAAGUUACCCUCUAAUAGUUUUCUCAUAAUUCCACCAGUGCCCACUGUUGAAAACUAGCACAUCUGCAUCUUUCCAGUUGGAAGAGCUCCAAUCCAUUUGAUCUAGUUUUAUAGUCAUCUUGACGUUUACUGGAGCUCCAGCAGGUGCACGACCCUGCACUACUAGAAAGGGAGCUCUAUAGUACUCAAUAGAACAGUUGAAAUCCCCGAACUUAAAGCUUAGGGAACCUGAGUGCUUUGUGAUUGAAUUCCCAUUAACUUCAUAUAUUGAGGUCUUAUCGGAGACUGCAGAAGACAACAUACAAAGAAGGGAUUCCCACUGGUUUCUUCCAAUUGAGUCCCCAACAAAUGCAAGGCGUCUGUUCCUCAAAUUUUCCAACAUCCUUUUUGCAUCAAACCUGUUUCCCAGUGGUGGUGACAAAAUUUAGUGAAAAAAAUCUUUAUCUUACCCUUUCCUAGGAACUCAUGUUUCCAACAUUAAUCAGUCAGUUCGACGACAUCAAUAAGAAAUGAGCCUCAAAGAAUGAGAUUGCUAGUUUCACAUAUAUUCACUUGGCGGAAGGGAUGAUGCUUAAGAACAUAAAGAUUAACUGGUUUUAAGAUAAUACCAUUGUCCAAAACCAGAACUUCUGGUAAUUUGGAACUUAAUGAAACGCAGUUAAAUCAUUUUGUCUCAUAGAGCUAGAGUCUCAUCUGUAAUGAAGAUGCUGUGCGUGGGAAUCAUGUACUUCUCUUAUGUACACCAAAUCCUCUGGCCUCUGCCCACUUAGUUGUCAAUAUGUAAUAUUUGAUUAUCUGAAGCCACAGUAUUGAAAUUAAGAUUGAAACUUGAGACGAUUAAAGCACCUUUGUCAUCAGUUGAUCACAAGAUACAAGACGUGCCAAAAAAGGACUGGCACUACAACAGGGCAUGACCUUUCCCAGAUUACCACUCCAAACGGGGGUAGUAACCAUUGUAGGUAGUAAACUAAAGAUUGCCUGAAGUCCUAUUAAAACCAGUGUCAAUAAAAAAAUUUAUGAUACUGAACAUUGAGGAACCUAGAAUGGUUAUUUGCAAAAACAUGUGUGCUGGUAACUUGAAAACUCCCAACAAUAACAAUUUUCUUGCCUAAUUGGCUAGCCAUCUCCCAGUUUUCACCAUUUUGCAAAUCUUUUAGUAUAUUCUUAGCAAUCAAAAGCAAAAUGCAAAAUGCAAAAUACAAGGGAGAAAUGUCGGAAAAGAAAGAUCAAAAAGAAAACCUGGGCAAGUAGCAAUCUUUGGGCUGCCAUCGCCACUUAGUAUAGAAUUUAUCAGGCCUGCCAUUCUCAGAGCACCGAAAUCCGGGAUCCAAAAACUUACAAUCUUCUGAUUGAUAGAGAGGAUAACUCUCGUCCCACAUCCAAUUACCAUCGAAGAUAUCACAUCCACUACCUCCAGCUUCGAGGAAAUUCACUUUCCCAUUUCCUAAAUCCCCGGGUUCUGCUGACGAUGAAGAAAAGGAACUAUUGAGACCAAACCAAGUGCGAAGUAAACUGUGGCCAUGCAAGCCGAAACCCCUGUUGGCCGUUCUGUAAUCCAGUAAAAGAAUACAAAAAAUCAAACAAAAGCUGAAGAAUAAACAGCCAAAAGCACCAGGAGAAGUGAGCUCAAGAGCGGGGGGCUUCAAGCGCCUGAAUUUCUUGAAGAAAUCCAAGGGGGACGUUUUGGGGAAGCCUUCAGGUCCCGGUGCUUCCGCUCCUUUACACAUUUAGUAGCAAGUAGUACUCGAAUUGGAAGAGGGAGGUUGUGGGUUUCUCUUUUUGCAGUGCAGUACUACUUCUGCUCCAGAGCAGGCAAAAAGAUGUCUGGGAUUGCGGCAGUGAGUUUUGUUCAGUUCAGGAAAGUGCAGGGUAAAUGCAGUCUCUCAAAAGACGAGAUGAAGAUGAUGAAAACAACACACGACAUAAAACAACAGUAGCAGUAGUAUUCUUUCCAAAACUAAAGAGAGAAAUAGAAAAUUUCGAAAAAACAUAAAGCAGUGUGGAAACAAAAGAAGAGGACUAGGAUCGAACGUGGGCCCUUGGUAGUGGAGAUACGUUCAUAUAUGAGUCGAAAGUCAUAAAACGGUACAGAAGAAAAGGUCGUGGGCCUAUAGAGAGAGAAGACAGAUUGGGAAGAUGAUGAUAGGAGGUGGGGUCCCGAACCUUGACAAGCAUUUACACACAAGCAUGCAGUUUCUGCACCGGCAAAUUUGUUCUUUUCUUUUGUUUUUUUAAAUUUGUUCAAUUUCUUUCUUAUGAUCAGUUUCUCGUUUACUGGCAACUAGUGGGAAUACCCGUUCAUAUGACAUUAUUGGAAAAAAAAUAAAAUGGUGAAUAAAUAAAGGUGAAAAAAUUUUACCAAUAAAAUUAAAAUAUAACAUCUGUUUAACAAUAGUUUGAAAUAUAAUAGAAUGUACAUAUCAUUCAAGAACCGUCUUUUUUCGGUUGUAUGAGAAUUUUUUUAUCAUUGUAUGAGAAUUGUUAACAAAAAAAUACAAUAGUUAAUAUAGAAUAACAUCAAUAGAAUUUAAUACAAUUGUGUUGUAAUCAAAUGAAAAAUACGCACCAAUUGAAUUGUUAUUAGUACCCAUAGUUAAUGAAGUAAUUCUUAUACAAAUAUAUUUUGGUACAUGUAGUAAUUGGUAAUCUACAAAAUAAAAUAAAUUGCUAAGUUGUCUAUAAAUAGCAUCAAUAGAAUGUAAUACAAUUGGAUUGUAAUCGAACAAUUGUAAUACAAUUGUAUUGUAUUGUAUCUAUAGUUGAUUUAGCAAGAUAGUGCAGCCAAAAAGUGUGUAUGUAAGAUGAGUAUGACGAUAUAAGAAACUGUAUAUUUACCAUGAUCACGCAAAAUCAUUGGUGAUGUGGAUGCCUGGCGAUCUUGAGGACAGUUAGAUUUUUCAUUUCUUUGAUCUAGAAAUAAAAUAUAUAUUAAAUUAAAAAUCAAUAGUUUAUGUAUUUAUUUUAUGUGUAAAUAGUGAUACAUUGUAUGAAAACUGUUAACCAAAAAAAUACAAUAAUUAAUAUAGAAAUAGCAUCAAUAGAAUUUAAUAGAAUUGCAUUGUAAUCAAAUGAAAAUGAUUACAGAGAAGUGGUUACCUGAACUAAGGAAUCCAGUUUUAAAUGCUCAAAAGUGUCUUGACGAUUACACAUAUGUCAGGGGCUUGGUGAGUUUUUUGCUCCUCUUGAAUCAAUUUCUUUUUUCUAAUUGUAAUAUAUUACUUGCAGGUGUUAAGUAGGACUUGACUCUAACCUUUCGUUUAAGUACUUUAAGCAAUGAACUAUUUAUUCCAUGAGUUGAAUUGUGCUGUUGCUAGAUAGAUGAAUCACGUAGUUGUAAUUGUCAUUGUUGAUAAAGAAAAGAAAGGCUAGAAUGCAAUUUUGCCAAAAGGAUUUCUGACGAAAUUAAAAAUUAAUCCAAUUUUAAUAAUGGGCGUAUAGUGCUUUAGUUAUUAGUAGUAUCUGAAUUGUUUUUCUCCAAUUAUAAACCAUUUUUAAUUAUUUUUUUUAAUUAUCAAUAAAUCUUUUUUUAUUUCAUGCACGAUCAUUUUUGGAAUAAAAUUAUGAAAAUAAUUAUCGUAACACCUAUUUUAUGUGAUAAAUGUGCAAUAAAAAAUAAUUAAAAAAAUUUCAGUAAUACAAACAAAUAAAUUUUUAUAAUAUACAAUUUAUGUUAGAAAUAGUAGAACCCUCAAUCAUUAACCUAUACCAUCCGCAAUUAUAUAAGCAAGCAAUACCUUUUUAUCUUUGCUUUACAGUGUAACAAUAAGCAAACAACCGUUCAUAAGAUUUUGUAAAAAAUUUUCAGAAAUAAUGGAUGAUCAGAAAAUCAAUGCAAUAUCAUUCAUGACAAAAAGCAAAGCAAAAGCAAAACAUACUUAAAAGGUAGAGGGGACUGACCUGAAAAUUAAGCCGGCCGCAAAAAGGUUGAUUUCUGUUGGAGUCUCUGCGCAUAAUAUCUUCCACUACUGCUCACAAAAGAAACAAAAUCAAUACAUUUACAAAAUCAAUAGAGAACCCAAAACAAAUAAGAAACUGAGAGAGAGGGUGAGAGAAUUAAUUCGAUAAGUUAAUUAAGUCGAUCAGUAAAAGGGUUGGAAAAAAAUUAUAGACAUAUUAUAUUAUUGGAAAUAAUCGAAAAUAAAAAAAUUACAAUAUGGGGAAUAAUAUUUAAAGAAAACACAGUACCGGAAUUUUUGAAUUUUGAUGCGAACGACGUUUUAAUCAGUGUAGCCUGGAUUUUGUCCUUCGGAUUUGAUUUGAGAUUUUUCUUUCGUCAGCGCAAACUUAUUGAAACUUUUUCAAUUGGUGUGUGGAAUCGUUACGGUGUAUGUUUCGUUUUCUAAGCAGAUAUUUCCUCCUUUGCAAUCUUGCGAGUUUGAAAUCUAGUUGUUGUUGAAAUGCUUGUAGGCGGACAUAUUCUAUGGUGAGGAAACUUUAGAUGGGUUCCCUACAAAUUUUGAGUGAAAUUUUUUAAUAUAUUAAAUAAUAGGACAACUUGAAUUUGGGACAGCAGAUAAGUGGGGCAAAGGUGAAAAAACACAAUAAUACUAAUCAAUAGCUAAAUGAGCAGGGUCACUUACUGAAAGGUAGUCACCGCCGGCUUCGUGAUGUCUGCCGAAGGUUCAAGAAAAGAAGUAUGAUGCGUACUAAGAAGAGCACCGGAGUUCUGGUACCAGGAUGGGAUAGCUUUCAGGUAUUUUCCUGUGUUAUGUGAAGACGCAAUUUUGAAUUAAAAAAAAAUGGGUCAUUAAGAGAUAGUUGGAGUGGACUGUUAAUUGGAGUGGGAAACGUGGAAAAAUUUGUAUGAGUGAUUGUAUGAUAAUUUAAGAUAGUGGGAUAGUGGGAGUGAGAUAGUGGAAAUAUUGAUUGGUGAUAAGGUGGGUUAUAACCCACUACUUUUUUAUCUAUUAAAAUAAAUACAAAAAUCUAGAAAAAAGUAUGACAAGUUUAGAAGACAUUGAGAGGGUUUCUGCUAAAAACCCCUUCCUGAAUACAUAUAGAUAUAGAUUGGCAAACGAGGAAAAAGAAGUCCUUUCUAGCUUUUAUUCAUCUGGCAGAGCUGGUUCCUUUCUCUUUUCUCCUGUUCUGAGGUUUACAGCCGCUAAAUCUUUCAGGUUCUCACACCUUUUUUUUUUGGUCUUCUUCUUUGGCUAGCAACGAGUUACAUGGGUUUGUAUAGAGAGUAUUAUUUGAUAUAAUUAUUAUAAUUUUUUUAUGAUGUGAUAUAUGCGUAAAUAAAAAUAUAAUUGGGAAUUUAAAAAAAUAAAUUAAAAAAUAUAUUUACAAUGCAAGCGAUAGCUCAAUUUUGUCAUAUUUGGUUUGCAUGUAAACAUAUUUUUCAAUUCACCUUUUUAUCUCACAUACGUUAUUUUUUGUGUUACAUACUUAUUUCAAAUAAUAUUUUAAAUAAUACUCUAUCCAGCAAAAUUAAGUACACCCACAUGUUAUCAAAAGAAGAUGAAAAAGGUAGCGUGCAUCUAUCAUCUCUUUAUUGCUGACUUAUCACAGAGAAACUGUGCCCCAAAAUAGAGAGAUAAUCACUAGUGGGAGAGUGAUAAAUGAUAAUGGCACGUUCUAUUAAUUAAUGCGUGUGAUAUAAUUGAGAGUGUGUAUUUAUCAUAGAUUAUUUGGGAUAAUGUUUUGAAAAAUAUAAUGUGAGAUAAAAUGGUGGUUAAAAAAUUGUAUUGAUGAUUUAAACAAAUAAAAUUAUCCAAAUAAUUUAGAAUUCAAACAAAAAUUAUGUAUAGUUAAUAACCAGUUACUACAACCAUGAUGGAUAGUAUUAAAUGAUUCAUAAUUGAACAAACAAAACAAGAUUUGGAUAACUAGGCCAUAUUCGGUGACCAAAUGAUAACUAUAGAUUAAACAUUUGUUCACUUAAAUACGUGACGGAAUUUUUGUUUAUCAUUAUUAUUAUUAUGAAUAUCAUGGGCGAGUAUUUGCACCGAAUUGAAUUAACUUGAAAGUUGAGUGCAACAGAGUCACGGUCUUAAUAAUAUCCUUGAUUUAGGAAAAGUUUUAAUCACAUAAAUGUUUCAUACGUAUGGAAUCAACUUUUGAUUUUAUCGUCCAAAUGCAAUUGGUUAAAAACUUAUAAAAAUGCAAACACAAAACAGUGGUUAAUUGAGCGCACGAACGAUGGAUGCGGACGCAGAUGGAGACGAUGAUAAGGCGGCCAAAAAUGAACAAGAGUGGACAAAAGGUGCUGUGCGUACGGAAGAAAGGGCGGGAAUCAAGGGAACGUGAAGAGACGAGCGGAGUUGUGGUGGCUAAGGCGGCUAGAGCUGUAAACGAAUCGAAUUGCUUAUGAGCGAGUCGAGUUAAAGUUCGUCUCGAGUUCGAACUGAUCAAAUCGAAUUCGGACUCGAAUUCGAGUUUAAAAUAUUAAAUUCGUUAGUUCGGGGAAUUUAAAUAUAUAUUUAUUUAUUUUAAUAGUAAAAUUACAUAUAUAUUUUUAAUAUUUUAUUAUUUAUUAAAAAAAUUAAAUAUUUGUUGUUUUUAUUAGAUUAAUUUCCAGAAAAGUGAGGCUCACGAAUCAAAAAUUCGAGUUACAUUACGAGUUGACAAUUCGAGCUGCUCGCGAGUCAGAAAUCGAGCUACAGCUUGCGAGCCUUGUCGACUCGAGCUCGAGUCUGGCUUUUCUUUGGUCGAGUCGAGCUCGAGCUCAAUUUUCUUGGCUCGUCCAGUUCGAGUUCGAAUUCGAGUCUAUCUGUUAUUAAGUCAAGCUCGACUCGAUAAAUCCAAAACUAGAUUCGAUUCGAUUCGAUUCGUUUGCAACCCUAGCACGGACAAUGCUUCUUGACAGGUAAUGCUCUGCGACUAUUACAAACUAGUGCAAAUUAAAAACUAUUUCUCAUGACAUUCUGGCAUUCUCACUCUUGUGUUUGGACGGCGGACCAAGACCAUGUCCCUCGUAAAAUUAAAUUGAUAAAAUUUAUUUCUAACUUAAGUUUUUGAUCACUUUUUUGUGAAUUCACCAUGUGACUCACAUAUGAUCAUUUUUUAGGAGUAAAAAUGCUAGAUCUAAUUUGUAAGUAAAUAAACUGCUCAAUUUAUAUUCAUUUUUGUCUUUUAAAAAAAAUGAAUUACAGCGGCACUCCUAUCUUAUGCACUUUCAGAGUCCAAAUUACUGCGACAGUUAUCAUCUAAACAUACAUCACAAAUUACUACACUUUGUUAAGUAGUGGUAAUAAAUUUGACUUUUUGCAAGUAACUAAAGUGAAGAAAACUUGCUAGUCAUUACUAUGUAAUAUUACCGACAAAUAAACCACCGUUUUGUUAUUAUUCUCACAAACCGAUAAAUUUAUAUUUUUGAUGGUAUUAUUGUCAUAGCAGUUAUAGUAGGCAACGACCGUUUGCCGACCAAUUAAUUUGAAAAGAUAAAUUAAUAGUACUCGAAAGGACCUUGUAAUAUCUAGAAUUUAUAUCAGGAGACAAGACAGCAAACCUCACCUUCACGAUCCACGUAUUAAUAAAAAAUAAAAUAGUCAUAUUGAGACGAAAAUGGGAUGGUCAACUUAGAUUUAGUAUGUAAUUUAUCCGCAAUGGAUCUUUUGUCCUACACUUUGUACCAUUCUUUGUCUCAUUUUUUAUUAUAUUGCUAUUUUUUCUACAUAAAUACCAUAUUUUAAUUCUUUUUUUUGUUUCCUUAAGAUCCAAUAACUAUUAACUGAAUAAAAAAUCAAUACAACAGCUUCAAAAAAGUAAUAUAUAAUAGAAAAUUAAAAAAUACAGCAAAAAAUUCAUAAAAAAAUCUCAUUUUUUAUGCAUUUUGAUUUUUUGAGUUUGUUAAAUUUUGUAUAUUACUCAGUUAAUAAUUAUUGGAUCUUAAGAAAACAAAAAAGAACUAAAAUAUGAUGUUUAUAUAAGAGAAAUAGCAAUAUAAUAAAAAAUGGGACAAAAAAUGACAUAAAAUGUGGGACAGAAGAUUCGUUACGUAAUUUAUCGCGUGAAAGCUCAGUCAUACACCUCAGAAAGAAAGUCAAAAGGAUCAUAUGGUUAGACUGACAGAGGAACAAAAUUAUUGAGGCCAUGCGGAGUUCAUCAAUAGUAAUCCGCAAAUUGCUUAUCCUCAGUUGUUGCCAUCAAUCAAAUCGUUAGUUAAGUCGAUACCCCACGUUAAAUGAGAAUCUUAGUUGCUAACUAAGAUUGAAGCAGUUUUGGACAGAAAUCUUUUUGCUUAUCAGCUGACAAUCUUUCAAAGAAAAAGAGGAGUAGUACUACUCAUCAAUCCAAUCCAGUGGUAGAUUUUUACAGGUAGAGAAGCAUCAGAAGAAGUGAUCACACUUGCAGGGUUCACAAAAAGUAGUAACAGAAUGUCAUACAUACUGCAAUGCCACCUAAAAUAAAAAUUCUAUCCAACCUGCUUUCAUUUCUCAUCUUUUCCUCUUUUAGUUCACUCUGCACCUUCGAGUACAGAAGACAAGACUCGAGGGCCUCGCUAUAAUUUUUGCUCCUCCUGCAGCUCAGUGCUUCUUUUAGGACAAGCAAACUGUUUCUGCCAUUUACAUGAGCACCUUCCAUAUCUUCCAGUUGCAUGCUCAGUUCUGUCAACUUGAGAGUUGUCUGGACUCCAAUCCCCUCCGUAUGGAUCACCCUAAACCUCAUUAAAAGGAUGCAUUCGACUGCAGGACAUGGAAGAAUGUCCUUGGCAGGAAGAACGGAUCCAAAUCUUAUCAAAAAAUCCUUGUCAGUUGGCCAAUGUCUCUGCCCUCCGAGAGAGCUCCAGCUUGAGAGAUUAGCAGCCUGCUUAAUUUUGCUGUUCACAAGAAUCCAACUUAAGCGGAUUCCAUCGUGGAGAUCUUGCCAAAGCUUCCCGUCUUUCCUUUCUUUUUCCAUUGAUGUGAUCGGAGGCAAUCCGUCUGAAACAGAGAGCUUUACUUCACCAGCAUGGUCAUCAUCCCUGGCAGAGUUGGUGAGCAGAUCAAUCCGGAAAGGACAAUUGAAAAACCAACCAUUCAAGCCGUUAGCAUUUGGGAUGCCCCAAAGGACUUUCGAGCAGAUGGUUUGGUCCUUGUACCUUAUAUCCACUAUAGAAACAAAAUCUGAUGGUGAGAAAGUUUCCAGUUCAUCCAUAUCAUCAUAGUAAUCAGCUUCAUUCCAUUCUUCAGGAUGGUGAAGAUAGUCAUUAAACCGAAACUCGGGAACUUCCUUGUUCACUAUAAGAGGGAAACAAUCAGCAUAGAACUUUUUAAAUCCACCAAUAGAUGAUAUCAGACUUCUGACAUCAUCCCUGCUUGUUGAGGGCCACAUGGAAGAGCAAACAUUUUCCCAUAAUCUCUCUUCCUUUGAGAUGGAGGAAAAUGCUGCGCAAGCACAUGCUGCACCAGCCAAUGUUGCACCAUCAAGACGCCUCAGUAUGUCAUAGAAUAAAUCGCUACUCAGCGAUGCCAUAUGUUCAAUUGUUGCAAGAGAUUUUAAGUAGUUCUACAUCUGGAAACAUAAGAACAAUGAGAUGCCCAGAGACAUAAGACCACUUUGAACAUGAUAUCUGCAAUCAAAUCGCAUAAGGAAAAUAAACGUGCAUAAAAAUAAAAAAGCCCGCUUCCAUACUCAUUAAUUACUUUGCCACUCGAAUCCAAGAUAAAGGCAGAUUGUAGUAUCUAUGGCGGAAUGUAAAGCUAAACUCCAUAAAACAUGUUAAUAUUACUAAUUCAGGGAUCAGAAAUGAGAGCAUAUUAAUUUUAGUCUCGAUAUUAUCUUCUGAAAUUAUAAGUUCUUACUCUCAAAGCCUUGAUGUCCUUGUGUAGCAUACCGGAGAGCAAACUAGUAAAACGAAUGAAAUAAUCCUUCAAUGGGUAAGUAAGUAGCGCAGAGAUAAAUUGUGCGAUACACCAAGUAAAUGUAAUCACCUAACAUUCCUUGUCCUGAAGCAGCGAGGAUCCGUUCCCCAUCUUCAGUUUCUUUUCUUUUGUGUUCUGGGCUUAUCUUUAGCUUUAAAGUAAUGCUCUUAGCAGUGUUCAUUUGGGGUAUAUUGAACCACACAGGAGUGAAGUAGUGUACAAUUGUUCUAUUACUAUAAUAAUUCUGGAAAUGGACGAAGUUUUCGAAUCUAGCUCGUGAAUUUACAGUUGCCCUGUAUCUUCUUUAAAAUGACUGGAAACAACUUGCAGCCUUAGCUAUGAUAUAGUUACAACUUCCAACCAAGCACGCAGCUGUACCAUACCGUGUCCUCUGAGAUUAAUGUCUCUUUUUUUUUUUUUUUUUAAAAAAAAAAAACUCUCGAUUGACCAAUCCAAAAGAAAUAGAAUCAGAAAAUGAAAACGGAUGAUGAAAUUAAAGAAUAAGACAUUAAAGGGAACAAGGAUGAAGGAAAGAUUUAGAAAACCAGAUAUUACCGGAAUGUAGAAUCUAAGGAACUGAAAACUAUGCCUAUCACAUAACAGGCGGAAUAGGACGACAAACUAAUAAUACUUCAUCAGGAUCAUGUGAAGUAGACACAAAAUAGUGCUUCAAAAUCAAGAAAAUAGUCCUUGAGAGGACAUCAAGUUAUAAAAAGCAAAAAAAAAAAAAAAAAGUGCUUCAAAAUCAAGAAAAUAAAAAUCAAUUAAAGAGAAAGAGAAAGCACCUCAGACCGCCGGAGGAGGAGGAGGAGGAGGAGGGCAACAGCAGAUUGAUGCGUCACUUGUACUAAGGAAACUAGCGCUCAGACAGUACAAUGAAUUGGGUUGGAAAACGCAAUAAUGAUGAUUGAAAAAAAAAGAAUAAAAAUGACCCAGUACCAGUAGUAGGGAACUGUAAAAGAUUUCGAUGGGAACGGUAUGGAAGAAGAGAUCUUUUUUGGGUAAGGUAAGAAGAAGAAGGUGAUGAAGAGUAGUGACAGUGAGCUCUGAUAGCUAGUAGUAGUAUUUACUAGUAAUAUGACUGGGGAGGAGUUGGAGGCACAGCCAUUAUUACUAUGACUGGGGACAAGCUGUUGCCUUGUUGGAGUAGGAGACGCAGACGCUUCUUUCCUUUCUUCCAGCCAGCAAAGAUGAGGAGAUGUGGAUUACUAUUCGAUUAGGUCAUCGGCUUGAUUAAAUGUGUAAUUAGUGUCUGGACGCGUAGUAGGGGGCCCGUCAAUAACAACGUGCAUUAAGUGGACCAAUGACGAUCUUCGCGAAUCGCAAGCCAGGACCGGGACCCCCUUCCUCGCUCCCCAUUGCCUCCGGAACAGGGAAGUACAUGUGUUUGAAAAAAUUUAUUUCACUUAAAUCGUAAAUAUAUUUUUAAUUAUUUUUUAUUUCAUAUAUAUCAUAUCACAAAAUAAAAAGUACUUUAAUAUUAUAAUAAAUAACAUUUUUCAAAUAAUAAGUAGUAUUAUUAUUGUCAUUUGCUUUCCUCAUCUAAUUAUUUUUCUUUUUAGAAUUUGUUGAACAAAAUGGGAUUCAUGUAGUUUCUCUCGAUUACCUUGAAUUAUUUCGCCUAAUUCUUGAAAUUGUUUUUUUUUAAAUGUAUUAUUAUCUAUAUCUAUAUGUAUUCAGGAAGGGAUUUUUAGCAGAAACCCUCUCAAUGCCUUUUAAACUUGUCAUACUUUUUUCUAGAUUUUUGUAUUUAUUUUAAUAUAUAAAAAAGUAGUGGGUUAUAACCCACCUUAUCACCAAUCAAUAUUCACACUAUCCCACUAUCACCUUAUCACCAAUCAAUAUCCCCACUAUCUUUCUUCCACUAUCCCACUAUCUUAAUUCAUAUUUUUGUAUUUAUUUUAAUACAUAAAAAAGUAAUGGAUUAUAACCCACCUUAUCACCAAUCAAUAUUCCCACUAUCCCACUAUCACCUUAUCACCCAUCAAUAUUCCCACUAUGUCACUCCCACUAUUCCACUAUCUUAACUCAUCCUACAAUUACUCCUACAAAUUCUUCUUUUACUGAUCGACUUAAUUAACUUAUCGAGUUAAUUCCCUCACCCUCUCUCUCAGUUUCUUAUUUGUUUUGGGUUCUCUAUUGAUUUUGUAAAUGUAUUUAUUUUGUUUCUUUUGUGAGUAGUAGUGGAAGAUAUUAUGUGCAGAGACUCCAGCAGAAAUCAACCUUUUUGCGGCCGGCUUAAUUUUUCAGGUCAGUCCCCUCUGCCUUUUAAGUAUGUUUUGCUUUUGCUUUGUUUUUUGUCAUGAAUGAUAUUGCAUUGAUUUUCUGAUCAUCCAUUAUUUCUGAAAAUUUUUUACAAAAUCUUAUGAACGGUUGUUUGCUUAUUGUUACACUGUAAAGCAAAGAUAAAAAGGUAUUGUUUGCUUAUAUAAUUGCGGAUGGUAUAGGUUCAUGAUUGAGGGUUCUACUAUUUCUAAUAUAAAUUGUAUAUUAUAAACAUUUAUUUGUUUGUAUUACUGAAAUUUUUUUAAUUAUUUUUUAUUGCAUAUUUAUCACAUAAAAUAGGUGUUACGAUAGUUAUUUUCAUAAUUUUAUUCCAAAAAUGAUCGUGCAUGAAAUAAAAAAAGAUUUUUUGAUAAUUAAAAAAAAUAAUUAAAAAUGAUUUAUAAUUGGAGAAAAACAAUUCAGAUACUACUAAUAACUAAAGCACUAUACACCCAUUAUUAAAAUUGGAUUAAUUUUUAAUUUCGUCAGAAAUCCUUUUGGCAAAAUUGCAUUCUAGCCUUUCUUUUCUUUAUCAACAAUGACAAUUACAACUACGUGAUUCAUCUAUCUAGCAACAACACGAUUCAACUCAUGGAAUAAAUAGUUCAUUGCUUAAAGUACUUAAACGAAAGGUUAGAGCCAAGUCCUACUUAACACCUGCAAGUAAUAUAUUACAAUUAGAAAAAAGAAAAUGAUUCAAGAGGAGCAAAAAACUCACCAAGCGCCUGACAUAUGUGCAAUCGUCAAUGCAUUUUUGAGCAUUUAAAACUGCAUUCCUUAGUUCUGGUAACCACCUCUCUGUAAUUGUUUUCAUUUGAUUACAAUGCAAUUCUAUUAAAUUCUAUUGAUGCUAUUUCUAUAUUAAUUAUUUUAUUUUUUUGGUUAACAGUUCUCAUACAAUGUAUCACUAUUUACACAUAAAAUAAAUACAUAAACUAUUGAUUUUUAAUUUAAUAUAUAUUUUAUUUCUAGAUCAAAGAAAUGAAAAAUCUAACUGUCCUCGAGAUCGUCAGGCAUCUACAUCACCAAUGAUUUUGUGUGAUCAUGGUAAAUAUACAGUUUCUUAUAUCGUCAUACUCAUCUUACAUACACACUUUUUGACUGCACUAUCUUGCUAAAUCAACUAUAGAUACAAUACAAUACAAUUGUAUUACAAUUGUUCGAUUACAAUACAAUUGUAUUACAUUCUAUUGAUGCUAUUUAUAGACAACUUAGCAAUUUUAUAGAUUAGCAAUUUAUUUUAUUUUAUAGAUUACCAAUUACUACAUAUACCAAAAUAUUUUUAUAUAGGGAUUACUUCAUUAACUAUGGGUGCUAAUAACAAUUCAGUUGGUGCGUAUUUUUCAUUUGAUUACAACACAAUUGUAUUAAAUUCUAUUGAUGCUAUUCUAUAUUAACUAUUAUAUUUUUUUGUUAACAAUUCUCAUACAAUGAUAAAAAAAUUCUCAUACAACCGAAAAAAGAUGGUUCUUGAAUGAUAUAUACAUUCUAUUAUAUUUCAAACUAUUGUUAAACAGAUAUUAUAUUUUAAUUUUGUUGGUAAAAUUUUUUCACCUUUAUUUGUUCACCAUUUUAUUUUUUUUCAAUAAUGUCAGCACCGUGCAUAGCACGGGUAUUCCCACUAGUAGUAUUGUAAGUUAGGAGCCUAGCUUAACUAUAACUUGUAAGUUAUAAUUAAAAACAGUCAAAUCCAAACAAAGCCUAGCUUAAUUAUAACUUGCGAGUUAGAAGUUUGAACUGGACUCUCAAACACACUUUAUUCGCUCUUGGUAAAGUGGAGCUUUUGCUUGUGAUGGUUAGCUUCCAUAAUGCGUAAAGACCCAAAAGUUUAAAUUUAAAGAAAAAGAACAAUGCAACCCUCAAUACUCGCAAUACAUACAUAAAUAGUUUAUUGGGAAAAUCAUUUAAAAUGUCCCAUAUGUCUCGCCAAAUGAAUUUUUUCGUCCUUUAAUUUUAAAAUUUUAACUUUACGUCUCUUACAAAUUAAAGUUAAUAGAUUUUAGUUGAAUUUUCGGUCAUUUUUAGUUUGAAAAUCACCAUGUGAUCUAGAUGUGAUCAAUUUUUAUACAUAGAAAGAAAAGGUUAAAAUCUUGAUUUUUUAGGAGCAAAAAAUGGAUACGGAUCGAGUCAUAUCUCAUUUUUUCUAAGAAAAAAAUUAAAUAUGAAUCAGAUCAAAUUUUAAUUUUUUUAGAGACAAAACUAAAUAUGAAUCGGAUAAUUUGUUUCACUACAAAUGAGAUCUAACGUUUUUGCCAAAAAAAAAAAAAAUCAUGUAUACAUCAUGUGAUGGAUUUAAGGUAAAAAGAGUGAUUGAAAACUUUGGUUAGGAUCAUUUUGCUAAUUUGAUUUUGUAAGGUACGUAAAGUUACGAUUUUAAAAAUGAUGCACUAAGAAAUUCAUUGAACAAAGUGUAAGGAAUCUUUUGAACGAUUUUCCGUAGUUUCUAGCUCUUAUCUUACUUUCAGUUUUCUAUUUCAAAUGACAAUUUUCUACACGACUUGUGUUCCUUAUCUUUUCGUUUUUAAAGAGAGAAGACAAUGGCAAUGCUCCAUCUCACGUCGAACGAACAUUCUUUCUAUUUAGGAGGAAAUAUCAAGGGCAUUUUGGUUGGAUAUGCAUUCAACCGCACACUACAUUUUGGCCGACGGUCUGACACAACAAAAAUCUAUAAUUAUUUGGUUCCGGAACUGCAGCAUGAUUUGUUUGCAAGGCAUUGGUCUAUCUAUCACUUUUACCUUUGCAUUUGUUUGAUAUAUGAGCUGUCGGAUAUAAAUGUCUUUUUAUGUAAUUAUAUAUAUAUAUAUAAUGGGAAUAGCUUGGAAGGGAAGUUUACUACUCCAUAUUAUUAUUUUGUCUUGGGUUUCAUGUGAAUUUCAACUGGAAUUCACAUGAUCAAUGAUGGGGAUCCAGCAUUCAACCACCCUUGUUCCUGAAGCAUCCUCCCUAACUCUUCUAGUUCAUGGAGUACACCAAUUGCAUGAGCAUGCCGGAAAAGAGAGGAGGUUUAGGUGACCUAAAUUGCAUGAGCAUGCCGGAAAAGGAACCGGCAACCGAUUUUUCCAAAAUUGGCAUUUGAUGCUCUCCACCCGCCGUCCGUCAACCAUGCAGCACUUAAUAAUAUUUAGAUGCGGGCAUUAAUAUUCUCGAGUCUAAGAAUGAACCCGCCGUAGUGAUGACUCUUCUUGGGUCGUUAGCAAACCAGUAAACUGAAACAAGGUUUGUCUCAUCUAUUACCCUCCCAUCGAUAAAUUCAUACAAAAAUUUGGAGCAUUCGAAAACAGAUGGCUAUGAUCUCAAGCAAAUUCCUUCUUUGCUUGCCAUAUUCAAAGCAUAGGAAAUUCCUUCUUUGCUGUUAUAUUCUGUCUAAGCAUAAAUUGGGGAACCCAGCUACUGCGCAAGUGGUUGCGAUGCGGUGUUUGAUUUCUAUGACUGUUAAGUAAAUCCUUAGCGGUGGUGUCUAUCCCUUAGUUGUCCCGUCGCUGUUUGUCCAAUUAUCGCAAUUAAGAUGAACACUCCAAACACUGCUAGUAGCAGUACUAUUUAUUACUAAUCAAUUCACCCCCUAUUUCCAUCAUCAACCUUUGUUUUAUCUGCAAACACUGGAAAUCAAUCCAAAAGGCAUUUAUUGCUUUGCAUCCUCCUAAUUUUGCUACCUGAACGAGGCUACUCUGAUAACAUCUUACAUACCACAGUCCGUCCAUAUAUAUAAAAUCCCCAAAAAAUAUAAAAAUCAACAAAGUCGACUAAUAAAUAAUUAAACCUAAAAACAAGUAUGCACAGGAUCCACUUAAUCGAGAAACACAAACAGAAGAUUGCCAACACAAAGAAAUUCAAAUUCUAUGAAUUAAUCAGUGAGGCAAUCCAUAACAGCUGAUGAUGCAUCCAAAAUAUUAGACUUGCCAGUAAGUAUUAAUGGAAAUUCUGCGGUGGUACUCGUUAUCUCAUCUCUCCUGCAACAGAGAAGGCUAUGACCUUUUUUUUCUCUUUUUUCUUUUUUUUUUGGACUAAUACUACCAUAGAACCGGUAGCAGUAACAUUCAUAAGCAGAUUAGAGCGGAAAAUUGAGUUACACGUUGAACAACAAGUAUGUGGAGAAGUAAUCACUUGUCGGCGUCGGAUGCAUGAGGCUCGUCGCGGGCCUCGUCCGUUUUCUCAGCACUGUCGCUGACGUCAUCAGGGUCACGAGCGGGAUCAGACUUGUCCAUGGCCGCUCGAGCUCUCUGGAGCCAGGGUUUGAAAGCGAGCUCUAUGGUCAGCCACCCCAUGGCAAGGGCUCCCAACACCACCGCCGCCGACUUUGCUGGGUUUAAGUUCAACUUCGCCAUUGAUUAAGUUGCUUCCCUGCGCCGACUAGAUAUGAUAGAUACACGCUAACCACUUGUCUUACUAUUAUAGCUUGUGGAAUCUCUGUCUCGCUAUUCUGGGUUUUGGGCUACGCCGACUUGCAUCCGAGUAUAUAGACACAUUGAUGCCCCUUUCGAGGGGAUGGCGCUAACCAAUUGGCAAAUUCCUACAUACGGCUCCUACUUGGGCCCAAAAGCAAUUUGGCUCCUACUUAGCCAAUCUCUCUCUCUCUCUCUACCCCAAAAAAAAAACAAAAACUUAAAAUCUUUUUUCGUCACGAAUUCUCGCUCACGGGAGAAAAAGCGCCAUACCACAAUGAUGGCCAUGGACUUUGCGUGGGGAUUGUUGGAUUUUUCUUUUUUUUUUUCCUUCUUAAAUAUAUAAGGGGAUUGUUGGAAUCUUUUGGGCAUGCAGGAAAACGGGUCGUCAAUUUCUAGUGGUGUCUAAUCUAAUGGACUGGUACCGCUCGCUUAGAAAAACCUUGAGCAUGGAUCAUGGUAGAACAAUCUUUUCUUAAUACACGAGAUGGCUAUCCACAUUUUCACUCUUCUUUCCGGCAAAUAGAAGAUUCUCUGCUCUGCAUUCCUAAUCAACUAAGGUAUCCAGUACACGCAGCAGCAAUAAUCCUGACGCUCAUAAUUUUCACUGAAUUUCGUAAUCAACAAAAAGGUAUUUAGAUUCAGAUCCCUACGUUCGACCAACGUAUUCCUAAGUACGUACCAAUCCUAGUCAAAACAUAUGACUGCUGGUAAACAGGCUGAUACAUGGUUUAAUAUAAUACCGGUAAUUAUUAAGCAUUACCAGAACACAUGAAACCAGAGGAUUCUCGCGGGCAAUCAGAAUUAUUCACCAUUGGAUUAAGACGCAUAAUCUCAAACUAGAAUACCGAUGUAAUAUAACCACUGCAAGUCGGUAAGAGCAGCGAAUCAGACAACACAACUGAGAAACUAAUUCACAUCCCUGUGCCUGCCUAAACUUGGCCACUGAGAAUUUGCUGGAGUACAAAGAUAAGUCGCACAUAAAAUUCCAACAUAAUAUUGAAGAGAUCCGUCGACCUAAUUAACCAUCCCUCAAGUUAACAUGUUUACAUAACUGAUUGUCACAAAAAUUGAAACCAGCGGACCAGAUCUAGCGACCUCGACCGCGGCCACGCCCGCGACCACGCCCUCGUCCUCGUCCCAAAGGCCUCCCUGCAUCAUGACAGACAAAAAGAAAAAUUAACGGAAGAAUACGUAGUAAAAACAAGGAAGGACAGUAAAGAACAAGAGAAGUGGAAUCAUCAAGUAAUGGUCAUAUCAGCACAGUAGAUAACUUCCAUACCAGUGGUUGGCUUCUUAGGCUUCACCCUAGGUGUCUCUUCCACCAGCAAUGUCUCAAGGUUUAAGCUGUCUGGAAGGAUGUAAUAACGAAUGUUAUUGCCUCUCACACUCAGGUGAUCCAAAGUAACUGGGUUCUUUCCCUUUAGUGUAAGUUUUACAGUCUUCAAAUGUGUGUUCAUGCUGAUAUCCACACCUGUAACAAAGGCAACAAACCUACUAUCAGAAAGCAGGCCCAGCAACUAGUUUCAGACCAUAAUGUUUGUAUGGACUCAUCCAACAAGAUUAAGCAACAAAAUAAGCAUAAGGGCCUAAAGCAACUUGCAUCAGGACUAGGCUUUUGAUAACUAACAAAUGGGAAUUUCUAGCAUUUUUAAAGAAAAUCACACACAUCCUCAAGCAUAAACUGACUUGCAACUGUUAUGAAAAGUUAAAAAAAUAGCUCAAGUAGACAUUUAUACAGUAGCAAAUAGCAAUCCGAGUUGUUAUACACGUUUCACCAAAUUAACAACCUGCAAAUCAAAUUUCAGCCACUAUGAAUUAAGCGUGGUUAGCGCCAGACAAAGAAUGAUCAGAUCACAUGAACAUGCAUUUUAUGUCAAGCUCUCUGAAGUCUUUAUACUAAAAACCAAAGACUAUAAAUCGCUUCUGCAUGCUUUCACAAUGAUACAUCAUCAUCCAGCUAUCUGUCUAGUCAAAGAGGAAUAACUUUCUGAUCUUCUUCUAACCCAAUAUUGGUUUUACUGGGAUUGCAGCUUUAGGAGAGAAGACAGACAAGUGAAAAAAGAACUACUUUGUUUCAGAAUUGCACCAAUAUUUGGCACUUGAAAGGUCGCAUCAGGAAACUAGUGAAAAAAUCUUAAAAUCUGACCUUAAGGUGACUACAGUAAACAAAUUCCUAAUAUCAAACCAAGCAUAGGGCUUAUUAAUGAUCCCAUAACUGUGUAUAUAUUUCAAUUUACACUGAGUACCAAUCAUCCACUGCUUAAAUGUUUUAGGCACUCAAUGACUAGAAACAAAUAGAAAAAUAUAUUUUUUAGCUUAAGCACUGAUUGAGGCUCUAUUUCUCACUCCCCGAUGGCAUAGUUCACAGAAAUUGACUAAAUAAGAGAUGCAGUUUAUAUAACUCCACAUUCCUAACUUAACUCUCUUAAUAAUUUAAAGGAGUGAAGUACCAUAACUUCAACUAACUUAUCAAAAUAGAAAAUUUUGAACAUAUGCUGGGAAGACAACCUGCCUUUUCAAAUUUUAACUACGUCAUAUUCUAGGAUAUAGAAUGGGCCUUUUUUUUUAACCAACAUUCUCCAUCUCAGGAGUAGGCCAUUCAAGUAACCCCCCCCCCACCCAUUCUGUGCUUCAUUCUAAACCCUUAACUUGACAGUAGUUGUCAACAUGGAUUGAAACUGGCAUCCAAAGGAAAGUAAAAGACCACAUUAAAUAAAUAAACAUAAAUUCAAAUUUUAAAAAAAAAAAUGUGCUCAAAUGCAAGUGAUGCUUGCAGUUUGAAAAUUCAACAUGAAAGCAAAUGCAGAGCAACAGCAACAACAUUUGGAUGUUAAGAUCUAAAGGCAUGAAAAUACAACCAUUGAAGAAGACAAAGGCACACAACCAUCAAGAGGGAGCAGGGAUAAGAGACAGAGAUCUCUAUAGCAAUAUGUGGUAUGCUAGAUCAUUUUCAUCUCAUAGCUUAUCCGCUUAUCUGCAAAAUUUGUAGUCUAGGUCAGAGUGCUUCCAAUGUAUCAGCCUAACUCUUCUUUCAUCUAUUAUUCUAUCCAGAAGUUUACUUUAAUUCAGUAUUCUAUUUAGAUAGAACAAGAGUGUCAUCCGUAAAAGCCAGUAUCAACACAAUUUAGAACAUUGCAGUCCACAAUCCAAAAGUCGUCACCACAAAAUUACAAGUCCCAUUUCUGCUAAUCUGAUCCAGGUUCAGAGUUGAAAUUCAUUGAUAUCUGGUUCAGUAAUAAACAAGGAGAAAUCCUGUGGUUAAACAAGCAGUUGACAGUUCACUAUUCCCAACCCAGGCCUCUCAAUAUACUAGCAUUACGAUUUUCUGUUGGAAAAAAUUCACAUUGCGUGCACAACAGCAAAUGACAAAACCCAAUAUUCACCUCAGUUAUGUUCUGAACGAAGCAAAAUAUAGAACAAAACGUCCACCACAAGAUGUAAACAUAUAAUUAUCCACAAAAAAAAAGGACGUACAAAAAAAAUUGCUAAAGGCAUCAACACAAGUACAAAAAAGAAACCCUAAACUGCUAUUGACCUAAUUUCAAAAUCUUAUUCAGUAAAACAAAAAGCCGGAAAGUAGAAAAAGGACACCGAAAUCUCUCAGAAAAACCUAAUUCAAAAUUUUUAAGGCGGCUUUAGCUUGUUUUCACCCAAAAAACAGAUCGAGAAAACAAGUGGCUUAUAAAUCUCAGCGCGUCGGGAAGAGAGAGAGAGAGAGCAAGAGAACCUACCUGUAAUGGUUCCGUGAACAACGGUGCCGUUUUUUAGCUCAAUCGACACAGUCUCAUUGUUCAACUUCAUCAGAAAUCUGUUGAAAAUUUAGUUAGCAUACAGCUAUAAUAAGCGACUGAAAAUAUCAAAAGUAGUAAUAAAAUAAAGAAAUUUUACCUAACAAGCUUCAUUGUUGCAGAAAGAAGAAGACGAAUGCUACGGCUUGGCAGAAGCAACAACAGGGCACGGCCUCCUGGAGGAGCCAAGGGUUUUAGGGCAGAGGACUGCUUUGUCGCUUUGGACUCGCGACUACUUUAACAAAGAGCCCCGUUGACGUCUUGACGACGUCGUACACUGGCGCCCUUCUUUUGUUAUUCCCUUCGUUAGUUUCUCGUCGAGAUUGGGCCAGGCCCAUGACACUUGUGGUAGUCUAAUCGCCUUUAGCAAUGGACCACAAUGCAUUAAAACAAGGCUAGACAUUGUUGUGUAUUUUAGGCUUUCAGUAAGCCCAAAUAUAAUUUAUCUGUAAGCUAUUCUCUUUUCCUUUUUUCUUCCAAACCGUCAAAUAAGAAUUUAGUUGGUUUUUAAAAGAUAUCCUAAGUUUUUAUUUCUGGAACAAAUGAAAAAUAAAGGUUUAAGUCAAAUCAGUUAAAUAUUGUACAUUAUUGAGAAUUUUUGGUCAUUUAACCAAUUUAUAAUUCCGAAAAAUAAUGAGCGUGACUUAUUAUUUUUUUAAAAAAAAAAAGAAUUGAGCUACAGGGGAAGCCGUGUCUUGCGAAAUAUUUCCAUGUUGCUAAGGGAAGUUUCGAGCAUUGAACACUGCUACUGCUUAAAUCAUCUCGAUGGCCUCAUUUUGGGCAGACGAUCUAGGGGUGUCCGUUGCUGCAGCCCAAAUAAAAUUUUGAGCGAUUAGAACAUGAAGGCCAACCUCUUACUUUUUCAUUUUCUUUUUUUUUUUUUCCAAUGAGGGGAGGUGGAAUUUAAGAAGCGAAAAUACAGAUUUGAAUUCAGAAUGAUUUGUGUGAAGGUCAUCCCGUAGUAUAUAUUUUUUGAUAUACAUCUGGAGUAAGAAUAGUUGAGAAGGAAGCCUACUAAAGGGGAAAUUUUAUUCCUUAACUUGUGCAACUUGCCAUGAAUUGACCUUAGAAAGACAAGGCCCUUGCCAUGAAUCGAUGGCUAAACCACAAGUCCACGAUAUGUAGCUGGAAAAGAUGCAGUAGUAGAGUAUUCUUUUGCUUGAUAGCAAUUGCAUGGCUGUCCUAAUAACAAGUUGUGGUGUGAAGGACUAAUUGCAAGAUUAACAUUCAACUGCAUGGUUGCAUGUAUUUGAAUGAUGUUGAGAAUCAAAAGAAGAUUAACGUUGUAUAUGGUCCCAAAAACCAUCUUUUAUUCCAAGGAAUAGUAUAGUAAUCCAAAGACACCGACCAUAAGGCCAUUAUUCGGUGCUAAAUAACAACAAAAGUAAUCAUGUAUAGACAGACACACACAAAAAGCAGCAGCAGCAGCAUGAGUUGUGACUUGAGAAGCAAUCCACUCUUUGACAGAGAGUUUAGGCUGUGGAGGUGAAGUUAAAGUUUG